GUUCGUGUUAACUCGUGACCUUCCCCUCGGUUGCGACACUAGACAAACAAGUUGGGAAGUCUACCACCAUCACUUUGCUGCCCGACAACUUGGCUACCUCCAAGGUUGCCCGAUGCUUCUACUUACUUCCCGCUCCCUUCUAAGCUGAGGACACCUAUCUGGUUUCUCAGAAAGGGAGUGCAGAAACAUCGAGAAAAAGUUUCAGGAACGGUGUAAGAAAUUCUGCCUUCGACCAAUCGUUCCUAAAUCUCUCGGCACUGAUACCUUCGAUGACUGGUGGGAAGCAUAUACCCACAACUUCUUUGGUGCUUCGGUCGAGGACGUAGUCAACAAAAUUUUUGGUGAUCGGCCCAGAAAAACUUUUGCCCCUCAAUCUAAGGAAACGCCCAAGGUAUAAGACUAUCAUACCUUUAUUUUCUGAAACACUUAAACAAUUUUACUAAUUAGAUUUCGCUUUCUCAGGCGGUCGGGUAUUGAAACAUGCAGAUGUGAUCGCCCCGGCUGCAGUAAAAAAAUUGGCUCAUUCUUAUAAGAAAUCCAAAAUCACCGCACAAAACACGUCGAGCAAAAGGCCUCGCCCUAACACUGAGGCGGCGGGUGAAGCCCCUCGUCCCACAAAGCGCGUCAAGAAAUUUACGAAGAAAGGAGCACGGGAGAUUCAUGUUAUCUCCAGCCACACCACUGGAACAACUGCUUCGAGUGUCUUUCCUGCUGCUCCUGCUGUCCAGGCCUUACCGGAGAAAUUGCCAACUCCCAUUAGCCCGACACCUCAAGUUCACCCGGCCCCUGAGGUUCCCGAGGUCACGGUCGAACCAGUUGUUAUACCACUGGUCGAGACGCCUGCCACCUCGGGACUAACCGUAGCGUCCGUCAUGAGGGAGGCAACCCCUUCCGUCGGGAUAAAUCUCCCCAAGAAUCCAAAAUCAUCUGCAAUCAUCUUGGAAGAGGUAUAAUUAUGUUGUUGAUAACUUCAUUUUCUUAUUAAAUUCAAAAGUAUUAAUCAACUCUUUUGUUCCAGGACGACGAGAGUGAUGAGAUUCCGCCACCGAGUCGUCCUCAACCAAAUGAACCUUCUUCCAUCGACCCUCCCCCUAUGGUUGAGGUGGUUGAUCAAUCCAAUCGUGGAAAACGACCUCUUGUCAAGCCUGAAGUGACGCCAGAAACCCCAGUUCACCCGCAGGAUCAAGAUCUCGGCAUUCUCUUCCAAGAAGCGACUUCAGUUUUUGUAAGGCUCGAUUACCUUGUCUUGUUAAUUUUGCUAUAAUGAGUCUAAAAUGAAAAAAUAUUAAAUGUCAGGUACCCAGUCCUUCAUUUCACCGAAAAUUCUACGCACCGAGGGGUGUUAUCUAUAUUUCUUGGCCACCUCAGUGGCCGUCGAACAUAGAUAGCCGCUAUUAGCCGCGUGAAUUAAGAAGCAGUCUAAAACAUUGGGCUUGGCCAUUAAGUUCUCUUGGUUCGAGCAAUGAAACAGGAGACAUGGCCGAAAUCUCUUCUCGGCAGGUCUAACAUAAAUUCUCUUUGUUAUGUUCUAUUGUGAUUUUCCUUUUGCCUAAAGUUUUUUUUUGUGUGCAGUCUUCAUGGGAAGUUGAGUUUGAUGCUAUCCUAUCGAAUACUUCGGGAGUGGUUGGCCCUUCGGCAGCUACAAUCGAGUCGGCCGAAUCAACUGUUAUUGUUAGGUUGCAGGAGCUCUUGUCACUCUCAGCUUCUCAAAUUCUCAAAUGCUAUGGCCUUGAUUUAGUGGGUGCGUGUCUGAACGAUCUCGCGGUUGAUGGUUUCUUGAGCACCGAGGCUAUCACUCAAGCAUCUUCUACCUUGGAACGGACCCGAGAAUAUUUCGGUAUUUUCGAGAAAACUCUUCAUGUAAACUGCAAUAGUCGUUUGAGACACUCUUCAUGUAAACGUCAAAGUCCUAAAGGAGAAAAAGGAUGCCCUAGCCGACCUUAACCGUCAAAUUUCCGAACUCCAACAUUGAAGGUCGGUAAUUACUUCCGAGCAUGCAAAGGAUUUUAAAUCGAGCGGUAAAUCUUGUUUAACCAAAUACAUGGCUUGCGUGAGGCGGGUCAAGCAGCUAAAGAUGGACAAGAGGAUUUGGCAAGCUGAGGUCACGAUGGGCGAGGUGCAGUGGUUAGAGUUAAAGGCCGUUUUUAAAUCUCUCAUACCUUCAUCACCCUAGAAUUAUCUGAUUGUAACCGAUCGAUCCACUCCAUUUGUACACCUUUUACAAUUUUAAUGAAAUGAACUUUUAUUCCCGUAUUUCCCUUGUGACUGGAUAGUAUUUCUUUAAAAACCUAUCGUUGAUUGGCAACUUGUAAACUACACCAGUUUGAUCCCUAAGACGGUAUACUCCCAUGCCAAGAACUUUAUGAAUAACGAAUGACCCUUCCUGAUUCGGCGACCACUUGCUGAACCUGGGGUCUUUGAUUCAUACGGGUAGUACAGUUUACCAAACCAACUUUCCUUCGCUGAAUGUUUUCGGUUCGACUCAUUGAUUAUAAGCUUGCUCGGUGAUCUUCUUUUGUUCCACUAAUAGAUUAUAAGCAUCGAGCCGAGCUUCUUCUAAAUCUUCUAACUCUUACCUCAUGGCCCAACCAUACUCGGCGUUGAACAAACUACUUUGUUCGAUUAUAUGCAACGAGUUUAUACUUAGCUCGACUGACAACAUUGCGUCGUGUCCGUAAGUCAACGCGUAAGGAGUUGUUCUAGUAGCUGUCCGUAAAGAAGUUUGAUAAGCCCAUAACGCUUCGCUUAUCUUUAAAUACCACAUACUCGGCUUUUCUUUUACAAUCUUUUCAAGAAUACCGAUUGGAACCUUAUUACUUACUUCGGUCUGUCCAUUCGGCUACGGGUAAUACGACGUAGAUUGCUCGAGUCAAAUCUUUAGAUUUUUUGUAUAUUCCUUAAAUCUGUCGGAUGUAAAGAUCGUAUCGUUGUCUUUUAUGAUUGUUUCUGGCACGCCGAAGUAGCCAACGUAUUUUUCGUCUAGACUGGUGGGUUACGCAAAUUCCUUCAUGUACUUCUGCUAUUGCUUGAGCAGCUUCAUGCAGGCCUAGGCACAUCAACAGUAACCCAUCCUCGCCUCUUCGAUAAAGCUGAUUCUAGUAUAAUACGUAGUUUGUGGCAUGAACCAUUGUCCGUCGGUCGUGUUUUUCGUUGGGGUUAUCAGUAUAUCGCAUAAUUGUCAUUCUCCAAUCGUCUGGUAAUGCCUUGACGGCACAAACCUUAAUAGUGUUCUUUCGUUCUAACAACGAAGGCAAAGACAUGACCCAUGUACGGAUCACGCUAUCACGUUGGAGAACUUGCUGAUUAAUCAAAGUCGAAUGUGCUUGUCGUGACACAGGUAUUUCUCGGCCUAAUUUGCCCCCCAUGAGUUGGGCUCCGGAGGCUAUUUGAGAUAAUUCGUCGACAUCAGUGUUAUGAACUCGUGAAAUGUGUUUGAAAGUAACACCGUCGAAAGAUUCGACCAAAUAGUUAGCAACCAUGUAGUAAGGAGCCAGAGUAUAACUCAUGUAAUGAAAAGUCCCGUUGAGUUGAUUAAUGACAAGUUCGAAGUCACCAAGAACAAGAACACAAGUUGCCCGCAAAUUAUGUAGCAUGCCGAGGCCGAUAACAAGGGCUUCGUAUUCGGCCUGAUUAUUCAUACAAUUGAAAUCGAGCUUGAGGGAAAAAUACCAACGAUUACGAGUGGGGGAUUGAAUAACGAUCCCAACGCCAGCCGAGAUUGAAGUAUUUGAUCCAUCAAAGUACGUCAUCCAGUAAUUAUCACGUGUUUGUACCAGGCCAAUGUCAACGUCGUUGCCCCCGAACUCAUACGGGAAAUGGUGUUGGGCCAAAAAAUCGGCCAAAGCUUGGCCUUUGACGACUUUCUAGGGCAAGUAUUGCAAGCUAAACUUAGAAAUGGCAAUCGUUCACUUGCCAAUUUGGCCCUUUACGAUCGGUCGAGUAAGCAUGUAAUGAAUAACAUCGGUCUGGGGGAUAACCUGAGUGACUGAUGAGAGCAUGUAAUAUCUAAGUUUUGACGCGGUGAAAAAUAGGGCGAGACAAAGCUUCUCAACAGCAGAGUAAUUAAUCUUUAGCGGGUUGAGGUUUCGGCUAAGGUAAAAAAUGGCUUGCUGGUGCCCAGCGUCACUGUCUUGUGCAAGAAGGCAUCUGAUGGAUUCUUCGGCCGCCGAGAUGUAUAGCAUAAGAGAUCGGCCCCGUCAUGGUGGGACGAAGAUUGGUGGAGUCGUUAAAAAGACAUUGAUCUGCGUAAAUGCCUCUUGGUGCCCGGCACGUCAUUCGAAGACGUCAGAAUCCUUAAUUUUCAAAAGCAUGGAGAAGGCUUUCAUUUUCCUGACCGAAUUAGUAAUAAAUCGUCGAAGAAAGUUGAUCUUGCCGAGCAACGAUUGCAACUGUUUCUUAGUCGUCGGGGUGGAUCAUUAAUGAUUGCGCGAGCCUUGUUGUUGUCUAUCUCAUUACCACGGUGAUGUACAAUGAAGCCUAAAAAAAUUUCGGUUGAUACGCCUGUUGAUGCACAAAAUCAGUGAGGACUUUUGUACAACAGAAAGUGUUAAUUUUGUGACCUUCGCUAGAUUGCUUUGGUCACUAGUGUGAAUAAGUAUGUAAAUGGAUAAAGAUAGGGAAGCAAACACAAGAUGUACAUGGUUCACCCAGAUUGGCUACGUCCACGGAGUAGAGGAGUUCUCAGUAAUUGUGAAGGGUUUACACAAGUACAUAGGUUCAAGUUUCCAGCAAAUAAUUUAGUACAAAUGACAUUAGGAAAUAUUGUGAGAGAAUGAUCUCUAUUUAUAGAAGAGAGUUUCUAGUUUCAUUCUGACAUUGACAUGUGUCGUGUUGUGAUUGGCUUCUGAUGUUGACACGUGUCGCGCUAUGAUUGGCUUCUGAUGUCGACACGUGUCACGCUGUGAUUGGCCUCUUGGUUGGAAGGAAACUCUUCUGGGUCCUUGACGGUAUAACGUUGACCGGUGCUCAGUAGUUUCGGGAUUGGUCAAGUAUGGUACAAACAGUGCUCCCCUAAGUUCUCGAGUGAUGGAAGCUUCUCGGUUGGGGACUUGCAAGAUCCAAGCCAUUGAGUAAUCACGAAACUUCUAAGUACCAAAAUGUGGUAUCAUUUUCACUUGCCUUAUCUGUCUCAUACGUAGAUGUAGCAUCUUCUCUGGAAGUACUUUUCCUCCAUCCAGGGGUGGUAUCUUUAACCGAUGAAGAUGCACAAGGUAAUGUAUCAAUUUCACUUGAAGCUUACUUGUAGUUUCGGGCUUGGUCAAGUGUGAUACAAAACCCUAUAGUAGGAGUCCCCUAAGUCGCCGAGCUAGGAGAUUUGCCGAAAGAGGUAACAGACAAGGUAAGCAAUCAGACUUCCAAGCAAGCAACCUGGAUCGGAGGUUCGACUUUGGCUUCCGAUUGAUUGUUCUCCUUCUCCUUGUGUCGUAAGCAGCAAUAAGGAUAAUGAGAAGCAAAUGGAGAAGAGAUGAUAUGAGAUACUUUUGCUUUUGAAGAAGUAACUUUCCACAUGCUUAAUCUUGAACUGGGAUGGAAGGUUUUCUGGUUUCUUCCAGAGUAUAAGGCCGACUCAAGAAUUUGAGGGUCAAAACAAGUCCAUCAAAUCAAGAGUGCGUUCGACCUUAAUGAUAUGGGAUACUUUUGCUGUUGAUGGAGUAAUAGAUGAAUCGGCAUGUGUUCAGUUGUGCUUGUCUCCACAUGCCUCCUUGUAUCCUUCUCAUUUGCCCUAUUUGUUCCUCAAGCAGAUGUGGUAUCUUUUCUAGAAGCAUAAGAUGUUGAAGAUGAGUACUCGAGAGCAAUGCCAGGUAAGUAAUCAGGCAAGGGGUUCCAGGCAGUCAAUUCCUAACUGGAAACUUGAUUCCAAGUGCUGAUUGAUUGCUCUCUUUCUCCUUGUCUUGCAGGUAAGAACAAGGGCAAAGGAAAAGACAGGAAAAAAGCAUGAUAUGGGAUACUCUUGCUUUUGACCCUUAUGAUAUGAGGUACUCUUGCUCUGGUGUGGCUGGUUUGCAUAGGUAUUAUUGGGGGGAAGAAAGCUGAGUAUUUCGAGAGACUUCGUUGGGAGUGCCCUCUCAGAUAUGAGGAAGGGUUGAGCAUUUUUGCAGGUCUGCCUAUCCGUAGAGGAUGGAGGUCGACAUAUAUAGGAGUCUCCCUAACAACAAGUAGUAAUGCUAUUCUUUUACCCUUCUUGGUCGUAGCAAUGUAAUGGGAGCUGCAAGCUUCACGUGUUUUAACUUUGUCAGAGCACUUUGAAAAAGUGGUAUGUGGUAUCUGGAAAGCUGAUGUUGCGUGUGAAGAUUGCAGACAAGCUUUAUCCCAGGAAAUCUGGCUCACGAAGUUCGGAGAUCAAUGCCUCUUCGGUUUUCGAACAAUUAAUCCUGUCGGAGAUCUAGCUCUCGAGAUUCGGAGAACGGUGCCUCUUCGAUUUUUGAGAAAGUAAUCCUGUUGGGAGUCUGGCUCUUGAGAUUUGGAGAGCGGUGCCUUUUCAAUUUUUGAGAAAGUAAUUUUGUUGGGAGUCUGGCUCUCGAUAUUCGGAGGGCGGUGCCUCUUCGAUUUUUGAGCAAGUAAUAAUGCUAUUUCUUUACCCUUUUUGGUCAUAGCAAUGUAGUGGGAGCUACAAGCUUCACAUGUUUUAACUUUGUCAGAGCGCUUUGAAAAAGUGGUUUGUGGUAUCUGGAAAGCUAAUAUUAUAUGUGAAGAUUGCAGACAAGCUUUAUCCAAGGAAAUCUGGCUCUCGAAGUUCGAAGUUCGGUUUUCGAACAAGCAAUCAUGUCGAUGAUCUGGCUCUCGAGAUUCAGAGAAUGGUGCCUCUUCGAUUUUGUGAAAGCAAUCCUAUUAGGAGUCUGACUCUUGAGAUUCGGAGAGCAGUGUCUCUUCGAUUUUUGAGAAAGUAAUCCUAUUAGAAGUCUGGCUCUCGAGAUUCGAAGAGUGGUUCCUCUUCGAUUUUUGAGCAAGCAAUCUUGUUGGGAGUGUUUUCUUGAAUGUGAGUAAUGGUUGGGCAUUUUUGCCAGUCUGCCUUGCCACGGAGCACGGAGGUUGACACACAUUGGGACUUUCUAGUUAUCAAGUAGUGGUGCUGUUCCUUUACCCUUGUGGGUAAUAGUAGGGUAGCUGGACCUUCAAAAGUUAUGUGUCUAAAUUUUUUCAGAGAUCUUUGGCAAAGUUAUCUGUGGUACUCGAGGAGCUGAUGUUACGUGUGGAAAAUGGUGCCUCUUCGGAAUCUGGAGAGUGGUGCCUCUUCGAUUUUUGAAUCAACGACCCUAUUGCCAUUUCUUUUAUAAGGGCACCAAUUGUGUGCAAGGAGUACAUUCAGAGAGUUAUUGCUUGUAGGAAUUUUCCCCUUACUUCAGAGAUUUAUUGCACCUCAUUUCUCCUUCAUCAUUUCUAAUAAUGUCUGGCCCAUCGGACCGUCAUUUUGACUUAAACUUUGGUGAAGAGGCAACCAUGCCUUCUUAAGACAACAUAUAAUGUUCAUCCUUCUUAUCCCCUACUAGUCCUCUUACGAUUGGGGACUCUGUGAUGAAGAAUGAUAUGACCGCUGCGAUGGUGGCCAGGAACAUUCUCAUUCCCAAAGAUAACAAACUACUUGCCAAACGGUCUGAUGAGUUGGCUGUUAAGGAUAAGAUCUCGUUAUAACCGGCAUACCCAUCCAUAAAGGAUAAGAUCUCGUUAUAAUAGGCGAUGAAAAUCUGGUUAUAACCGGCAUGCCCAUCCAUAAAGGAUAAGAUCUCGUGAUGUGCUGCGGCGUCAAUUAACAAGUCGAAGAUCGACAUUGGGUAUUCAUCUUUGGCUGUUGCCAAGUUCAGAUUACCAAAAUCGAUACAGAUGCAGAGGGCGCUAUUUUUCUUUAGCACCGUGACAAUAUUGGCCAGCCACUUGACGUAUCGAGCGUUCCGAAUAAACCCGACUUUUAAAAGUCGAACUAGUUCAUCUUUUAUGCCAAGCUGCACUUCGAUCAAGAAUCUGUGAAAGGGCUAGCGGAAAAGCUUACGUCUAGCUUUGAUGCGUAAUUCGUGUUCAACAAAGGUCCGAUCAAAGCCUGGCAUCUCAUAAUAACUCCAAGCAAAAUAAUCUUUAAACUCGUUGAGUAAUUUACAGAGUUCGAUUUUCAAGGGAUUGAGUAACAAUGCACUGAUAAAUAACGACUGAGGGUCAUCGGUUGUUCCAACAUUUAUUUCUUCUAAGGGGUCCUUAACUUGAGGUCGACUGUCUUCGAGUUCGGCCGGUGUGGCCUGAACUUUAUCCAACGAUAGUAAUGGGCCGUUAUAGUCAUCGGCCAAAAAUUCGAUUAAGUUAAUGCCUGAUCGUGGAUGCUGGGAAAUAGUAUACCAAUGAGCCAGUAGACGUUCCAUCGUGGAUGAAACAGCGGCCCAACGAUUUUCUCUUGUGGCGUCAGUCAUCAGUGUUGGUAAUUAAAUCGGCCAAGCUGAUUCUUGCCGAAUCCUGGUAGACAGUCUCAGCGCCUACCUCGAUGGCCUUCUAGACUAAGAUUCGAGUCGGUUGUCCAUCUUCAUUAAAACCUUGUAGGGUAAUGUGGUCAACGUGAUCGUUAUAACAGCGGGCCUGAAUCAUGUUGGUUUCGAAUGGCUGAUUAUCGGAUGGGUGGACCACAACCGAUUUACCAUCCCAAAAAAUAAGAACUUGGUAUAAGGAAAAGGGAAUGCAAUUUGUUUGAUGAAUCCAAUCUCGACCGAGCAAAACAUUAUACUCGGUCUUGGAGUUGACGAUAAAAAAUGUGGUCAUGUGAUUGCGACCUGCAAUGUUUACCUCUAAAGGGAGCACUCCUUGUGUUUGAGACUUAUCACCGACGAAGCUGCUCAUGGUUAUCCCUGAUGGGAUAAGUUCAUCGUUGGAUCGUCGUAAUGUUUUCAUGACGGAUACGGGCAUGAUAUUGACCGUCGCCCCGCAAUCGAUGAAAAUUUUAUAGAUUAGGUAACCUUCAAUGUGGACCAUAACAUAAAACAGCUUUAAAUGCUGAAGAUUAGUCGAGGAUAAGUGAGGAAACAAUAUGGCCAGUGCUGUUUUAAAUUUGUCGUCGUUAUUUGCUUGCUCAUCUUCAAUGUUGAUGAUGAAAUCAACUUGCGUUGCUUCCUCAGCCACCACAUCUCCAUCCAAGAAAUUUGGCUAAUGUGCAGUUGGUUGAAAUUCAACAGGUAGAAUAUGGACCAUGUUGAUUUCCAUGUUCUCAAGGAUUGAAGGGCCCAUUGGAUCUUGGUCUUCGUCUUCCGGGUUAUAGAGGACUGCAACAUCGUUCGUUAGAACAUUCUCGGCCUGAUUAUCGUGUGUCUCAACACGUUCUUGCUCUUGUGUCAUGUAACCCGACCUUGUUUCCUUCUGACUGUUGUCGUUGGGCCCACUCGCGUUUGGUGUCUGAUUUUGCCCCUGCAGUGCCUUACGAGUUCAUUCUUCAUAGGUGAUCCGCGCGUCCCUUAUGUCUAGGUAGGUGUCCAAACGUGCCACCCGAUCUUUCUCAUCAGCCGUUGGACCGAAUAAGGUCGGGUGGUUUUUUGCUGAUCAGUGGUUUUUUGGAUGAUGUGUUCAGCAUCUGGGCAAGUUAGUGCCAGGUCGAGAGCUUCUUGACACGCCUUGGGUAAUCCAUACAAAUCGUUGGCAGAAUAUUUCUUGUGAAACUCUUUCAUGUAUUCCAAGGAUUCAUUGAUGAAUUAGGGGUGUAGAUUCCACCGAACUCUUAUUAACGGCUCUUUCAGGGGUAACGAGGGAAGUUGGCUUUCGGCCUCUUUCUUAAACUGCUCGAAGCGAGCUUUCAUCUCCCUGGGGCCGAAUGAGGAGUUUGAUGCGCUUCUCAGACUCUUCAAUGGUAGUUUCGAAGUCGCGAUUGGUUUCCUUCUGCCCUUGUAAUUUAGCCAUGAUUGUUAAGGUUGGCUGGUCAUCUCCGCUCCCUACCGCCUCUUUCGGCUGCCAUUUAGUGGCCGAAACAGUCUAGGCCGCCUGCCAUCAAGCCAUGCAGUCUAUACGCUGACGUCGACGUUUCUGAGAUUUGGAUAACACAGUAUACAUGCCGGUGGGAGAAUUGUAACUGUACCAACGUUGGUCGUGUGGUUUAGGCAGCCUGGAGGUUUUUGGAUUCACUGAUAAGCUUGAACCGCUGGAAUUACGCGCAUAAUAAUCCUCGUUAUAAAAUGAUGCAUCGAAAUCAAGACGUCGUCUGACCGAGGUAGGGUCGUCCGUCCAUUUCUAGGGGCCGAGCCUAUCGAACACUUUUUGGCGCUGGCUUUCACUAAGUUCCUUUGGAGGUGUCGCCACGGCCGUAGAUGAUUGCCGUGAUGUCAGAGUCUGAGUCUGAGGCGGUUUCUCUUUGGGUUCAGUUAAUACGACGCGUGCCCUAUAAUUGUUGCACAAAACUAUCGGCCCGUCACUUUCUCUUGUACUGGAAUCUAUCAUGGAUUCGACUACAGCCGGUCUGGAAAACUCAGUGGGUGGUUCAUUGGAAAAUAAGUUGAUCUUGAGUCGUGGUUGGGAAUUUUUCUUUAGGACGUGUUGUACUAGGACAAACUCGGCCUUCCCUUUCCCUUUGUUCUUGGGCAAACGGGCGUCUACCAUGCCAACUGUUGCUGAAAGGAAUGGGUCAGCGUCGACCGUCAUUGUUUUUUCGGGAAACUUUAGCUUGCCUUUGUCAAUCCAGCUCUGGAUAUCAUCACGGAAUACGACACAGUUGUUCAUGGCAUGCUUAAUCGAGUUAUGAUACUUGUGAUACGUCUUCCCUUUAAGCUCUUCGGCCUUGGGAAUGUUAUGUCCUGGCCGAAGUUUGAUAAUUUUUGCUAGCAACAAUUGGUCAAAAAUUGCCUCGGCCUUUGUGAUAUCAAAAGUGUAAACUUUCGAUGUUUUCGCCGUCUCUUCAGUGGUUGAGCGGGUUUUGGUAUCCUUGGAAUUAAUUUGAGUCAAUACCUUGCAAACAUAUGGUUUAUCUAUUACUAUCUUGGUCGUGGGAUUUUUGUAGAUCGUUCCUUGGGAUAAGGAUUUCGAGAUCUUUUCUUCUCGGAGCAAAUAAUCAUAUUGCUCAACAUGUUGGGCUAAUUCAUACAUAUCCUGAAAGUUUGCCCCCAAGAAUUUCUUUUUAUACUCCACGUCGAGCCCAUUCAGAGCAAGCCUAACAAAUUCGACUUCGGGGAGAGGUACUCGGCACCAAUUCUUGGCUAAUUUAAACCUUGUAAGAUAGUCCAUCGGUGACUCAUCAGAUGCUUGAGCCAUCCUAGCCAAUGAAGAAACAGACAUUUCCAUCCCCGGGCGAUAGAACUGCUCGUGAAACUUCUCGACCAACUCCUCCCAACUUUGGAUAGAAUUAGGUAGGAGGUUGAUAUACAAUGCGAAUGCUGAGCCUGUCAACGAAAAGUUGAAUAGCCGUAAUUUAUGGAAAUCACUAUUGACAUCUCUGCAUUGCGCAGUGAAAUGGGCUACAUGUUCUAACGAGGAUAAAGACGAUUCUCCAACAAAAAGGCUAAAAUCUGGAAUCUUGAAACCUUUAUGAUAUUCAAACUUUUCCACAUAAGUUGGAUAUGGGUGGAUGAAUUUCGAGAAUUUCGGCCCGUUUUUCAUGGCCGAAUCGAUCAUUCGUUGGACCUCGAUCAUAUCGACGGAUGUUGCUUCCAUUUUAUGGUCAGAUCCAUCUAACCUACUACUUGAUCCUCCAUUUUUUCCUAAGUCAAUCGUUUUGGGCCGAGUAGACACUACUUCGGCCUGUAGCGGAUGACUUUUAAGUGGAAGCUGCCGAGCCUGAUCAACAGGUCAUUCUUCGAAGACUUACUUACUAAUAGUUUGAGCAAUUUGGUGUGGGUUUCACCAUUGCUUCAUAUCACCUCGAGCAAAUUGUUCAUUUUUUAAACGACUGUUUGUUCAACUUGUCGAGAUUGCUCAUUAAGUCGUCUUCGAAGAAACGACCUAGUUUGAGGGUCAGAGCCUUCACCACAGUCUUCGUCGCAGUCCUCCAUUAUUCCUUUAAUGAAAACACAUGCGGUUCGGUUGGGUACUUCUGUGUUUCGAGGCUGGGUACCGAGGCACACUUCAUUUUCUCGAUGUGUCACACUUGCAGCCUCAGGGGUCACAGCAACGAUAGGAUUUCGCGCAUGUGACACUUCUUGUCCAGGACUCUGAACCGGCAAAUCGGUUGCUGAUUUUCCCAUGGUUGUUUUCUUUUUUACUGAUCGUGUCUCGAUGGUCAUGAGCUUCGUAGCAAUGGGUCCCACUGGGCGUGCCAAAAUGUUGACCCUAAAAACUACCAAGCCUACGUGGAGCGCAGGCCGAGUAACUAAUGAACUAACUACGUCAUUCGAUUGUAUGCGGGGCGUGCCAACUCGUCGGUCGAGCUCGGCUGAGGAGUAAAAUUUCUUGAUGUUGCGUUGGGUGCGUUGUUGACUUCUGAAUCCUGCGACUGCGGCCGAGGAAAGAACACAUCUCGGCCUUCGGGUUCUAUAGCCUGAAGACAAGGCUACUAGUUCUACGAAGUUCACAAAUUGUCGGUCCCAGAUUCGGUCACAAUGAUUAUAUUCAUAAGAGUAUAAGCACGCCGAAUCGACACCAGAGUAUAUGGACACAAAUACUUAAAACAAAUGUACGGCUUGAUUGUGAAGGUAGUUCGACCGUCAGAAUGCCGAACUCUAAAACCUAUUUGUGAAUAACCAAUCAUAAACAACUCGACGUUCAAUGUGCCGAGCCCAGUGACUCGCGAUACCUCACUUCCCCGAGAAGGCUAAUGAGAUGACCUCUGUCAAUAAGGAUUCAAAAAUCCUUCUCGACCGAGACUUGGAUAGAUAACUAGUCGGCCUCGACGCAGUGCUGUUUAUCCAAACUGAAGGUGCUCUACGGUCGCCUGAUUCUACGACUUCAGUGUUGUUUAUCCAAACUAAAGAUGUCGCCGGUUGCCUUCACAAUGCUAUUUAUCCAAACUAAAGAUGUGUCCGCGGAAAAGGAAAAUAAAAACUCAAGGUUGUUGGAGGUUUCGCGAAAGCGAGGGUUUGCGCAGGAUAGUUUAUGUGUUGAAUUGGAGAGGUCUUAAUGAUGUUCUCCUCCCUCUAUUUAUAAUAGUCAACCUACUUCCACUCGAAUCACAACCACCAGCGACUCCUAAGCACGGCCUCUGGGCUGAGAACAAAUCUAAACUCGGCCCAAACAAAGAGCAAAUGACUUCUUAAUAUAUUAUGACAUAUUACUAAUUUGUAAUCAAAAUUGGAUGGAUUUAGAAUUGAGAAUUGGGAAGGAACUAAAUUGACGAGGAGUUAGAAUACAGAUGUUUAUAAAAAUUGUUACUGAACAAUCUAAAAUCAGAGUAGAAAUGAUAUCGAUUUUAUAUAAACUAUUUAUUAAUUCACAUAAAUCAAGAAGGAAAUGAAUUUGAUUUUUAAAAUUUUGUACAAGUUGUUGGGUUAAUAGAAUGAAUGGACAAACUUGAAAUUUUAGAAAUAAUGUGGGGACAUAAUAUGUAAAAAAGAUGAAUUCCUGAUUAUAUAUACUUGUUUUCUAGGAAUCAGAAUUUUUUUUUUGUUUGAGAGAAAUACUAGGAAUCAGAAUAUUACUCCUUAAAGAGUCGAUUUCUCUAUAAUUAAGAGUUGAUUUCGUUAUUUUGUGCGGCUCCGUAAUUACUCAUUAGUUAGUAAAUACACAAUAAUCCAUGAUCAGAAUCUGUUUUCUUAUUUUGAUUUGAAUUAUGGAUCAGCUGUAAACGUGUCAUAUAAAGCUAAGUAAUGCUCAUUUUUAACAGUAUAAUUUCAUGAGUGGGAGCUUUGCAUUGGAGUUUGCACUAGCAUCAACGAAAUGGAUGUUACCCUUUUGCCUAGAAAUCAUAGGUGGUCCUGCCGACGAGCACCAAAUUCAAAUAAUUCGCACACAUGCACUGAUGCGCAAACACUCACUCUCUCCGUGUCUCUGCAGAAUCUUUGCAGGUCUGUUUUGUUCCCUUCCUUCUUCUUCCCCAAACAAAAACCAAACGGAAAGAAAGAAAGAAAAAACAGAAAAAUAAAGCAAGUAUAUAUACCCAAACAGCUCCUCUACGCUGGACAUGUCCUGAAGCUCUCUCCCUUUAUCCCAAAAUUCAACAUGAUUGGUUUUGGUACUGCAUAUAUAUCGAUCAAGUUACCUCACGGCAACAAAAGCCUACUCAUGCACCUUUAAUGCUAGCUAGGGUUUCCACUUCAUAUAUGUGCAUGUAUGUCUGUUUCCUAGUAUUUACUGUGAUUCCUUUGUCUGCAUGUAUAGUACGUCGUACAUGAAAAACCCUAUCCAUCCAUGCAUAGGUCACGUCAACCUUCCCCAUUUGUACAAGGCAAACCAAGCUGUUGGUGCCUCAUCCUUCAGUUCUCGACUGAAAAUUAUAUAUUACGUUUUGCAGCUGCUCCAUUGAUUGUUUUCAGUCAUUUUUUACGUACUGUAUGUUAAGUUAUAAAAACCUACUGCGGUGAAAAAAAAUGAAGGAUGCCAAUCUAAAUAAGGAGAUGUUCAUGGUCCUCAGUUCAGUAAUAUGUUACGCCACAUGCAUGUUAGGUACAUCCACUGAUGUACUAAUUAAUUCAAUGUGCCCAAUUUAGCGUAGGGCAUGUUUGGGACUUAUUUUAGAACUGUGAAAAGUGCUUCCAUGAAAUUUAAAAUAGCGUUGUGCUUCUUAGAUUGUUUGGUAUUAAUGUUGUUUCUAGAUUGUAAUUGAGUAUUUCGGUGUUUUUUGGAGAUCGUGUGCCUUUUUGUUCUUCAAAAACUUGAAUUUUUUUUAUAAAAGUUUUAGUACUGUGCUUCAAACAAAAUUCUUUUAAACAAAAAUGUUUACAAACAUGAGUGUUUUCUACAUAAACAACGAGCAUUUUCAAACAUGUGCUUCUUCCUAGGUCGUAUGGCACUAAAGGUGUUUCUGAAUUAUAAUUGUUUUUUCUUCAGAAUUUAAAUCUUUUUUAUCAAAGUUUCUAUAUGCUUCAAAUAAAAGUGCUUUUAACAAAAGCGCUUAUGAACAUUUUCUACAUAAGCGAGAAUUUAAACGUGCAUGUAAUCUCAUUCAACGCUAAUGCUUAAAUUAAAAUAUGCAGACUGAGUUACUGAGGAUAUUGACUGACUAUAUAAGAUUAAUUAAAACAUCCAAUUAGAGUAAAUGGCAUCACAUAUGAGAUUGAGAUGAAGUAAAGCCAAGCAGAAAAAUAUUGAGCUCAGAAUUUUAUGGCACAGGCAGGUAUGCACGUAACUUGUGACCUCAAAUUUUGAUAUGUGGCACUUGUGAGCAAAUCAAAUCAAAGAUUUGAGACUUUAAAUAAGUUGUAAACUUUCUUUUUUGUUCUACACGGAUGAACCAAUUCAGAUUCAGUGCCUGCUAUGCUUUUUACAGUGGAGCAAUCUCCUAAUUUGGCACAUAUACUCAUAGUUGCCGCCAGCUCUAGAAGCAAACAAGCCGGUUAAAAGAAAGAGAUUUCUCAAGGCUCUGAGGAAUAUUAAUUAACUAAUAUUAACAAAAUAAAAUAUUGAAGAACGCAGGCUCUGACGAGUCAAACCUUGUGAUCAAAUGUUAAUUAAUUAAUAUUAAUUAACUAAUAUUAACAAAAUAAAAUAAGGAGUUUUAACGAAACACUUCCGGUAUUGUUCACUUUUAAGGAUCGAAAAACUACAUUUUUAUAUUUCCCUAGUACUAUUCACUACAUAUUUAUUUAUUAUUUUUCAUUAAAACUUAAAUUUUUUUAAAUUUUUCGUUAAUUUUUCUAAUAAAAUAUUGAAGAACGCAGGCCAGGGAAUACUAGGGAAGGUGAUCACUUCCCUUUACUUUGACCAUAUCUUGGGAGACUGUGAUUGUAAUGCUCCCCCUUCCCCGCACGCCCUUGAGGUUCCAUUACCGACAAAUCUCAAAUUUAUAUAAUGUUAGAACAAAUACAUAUUUUUGCAGUCCAAUAGAAAACUGUCGAUUUAAAGUUUCUUGCAGUUACCCAGAUUCCCUGUUCCCCAUCUCUUGUGCUGUUUUUAUGCAAGAAGCUAAACUUAUGUGUAUGUAACUAUGCUGCAUAUAGAAUAUACCCUACGUCCUAAUAUUAGCCAAGCAUUUUCUACUCUGUUUACUAGCGUGAAGAUUAAUUUGAACCUAAAUACUAUCAUCAACUAAUGCAUCUCAUGCCACACAGCAAGGUUCUAAAAUGCUAGGCGCUAGUCAGUCGGCAGGAUGGAACUUAGCGCCUAGCGGGGGUCUAGAUGGAUUUAAAUAAAUUUAUUAUAUAUCAUAUAAAUAAGGGAGUUUUAACAAAACACUCCCGGUACUGUUCACUUUAACGAAAAAUCACAUUUAUACAUUUCCCUAGUACUAUUCACUAUACCUUUAAAAAUGGCUUUUCAUUAAAAGGGAAGUUUUUUUUUUUACUUUUAGUUAGUUUUCCUUAUAAAUAGGUGUCUGCUUAUACUUAAAAAAUACAUAAUUGUAUUGUGAUACAAAAAAUUGCAUAAUAGAAUGACAUAUAAAUUAGGUUUUUUAGCCAAAAUGGUAUCUGAGAUUUGCAUAACACAUCACUUUGGUCCCUGAGAUUGAAAAUCAAUAAAAAUGGUCCAUGCGAUUGUCCACCAUCCAUUGUUUUGGUCAUUCUACUAAAAACUUCGUUAAGUAUCCCGGAGCUCUUGGCCGAAAGUUUGGGCAAUUUUCAAAGCUUCGUAAUUCAAUCGUUUCUUAACCAAAUUCGACCCAUAAUAUAUCAAGAUAAGAAAGUGUAGAAUAAGAUUAUACCAAUUUGGAAGCCCAAUGGUUGCCGGAGAUGGCCGGAAAAUAGCCUGAAAGUUGAUUGGUCUGCCCGAAAACUGGAAAACUCGUCGGAAACUGAGUAAACUUUAAACGUUCAUAACUUCUUCAAUGCUCAACGAAAUCGAGUGAUUCAAAAAUGUAAAUCAUACUUCUCGACGAGAAAAAGAGAAUGGUACAUUUCUCGAUUGUCAUGGUUUGGCUGGAAAAUGGCUUGAAAGUGGCUGUCUUGGUCUCGAGUUAGCCAAUUUCGAGCCGUUUUCUGACCAAAACAUGGUGAAUUACCCAUUGAGAAAGGUACCAUUCUCUUCGUCUCGUUGAGAAGUAUGAUUUUUGUUUUUGAAUCACUCGAUUUCGUUGAGUAUUAAAGAAGUUAUGAACGUUUAAAGUUUACCCAGUUUUCGACGAGUUUUCCAGUUUUCCAGCGGACGAGUCACCUUUCAGGAUAUUUUCCGGCCAUCUCUGGCAACCAUUGGGCUUCCAAAUAUGUAUAAUCUUGUUCUACACUUUCAUAUCUUCAUUUUGAUAUAUUAUGGGUCGAAUUUGGUUAAGAAACGAUUGAGUUAUGAAGCUUUGAAAAUUGCUCAAACUUCCGUCCAAGAGCUCCGGUACACUUAACAGGGUUUUUGAUGGAAGGACCAAAAUAAUAGAUGGUGGACAAUCUCAGUGACCAUUUCUAUUGAUUUUCAAUCUCAGGAACCAAAGUGAUGUGUUAUGCAAAUCUCAAUGACCAUUUUGGCUAAAAAGCCUAUAAAUUAUAAAGUAUUAGAACAUAAUGAAUACAUGGAAACAAGCAUAUAAUGUGUGUCCAUCUAAGUAUUCAACAAGUCUCUUUCAAUUAUCUUUCAAUUUAUUGGGAAAAAUCAAAUGCAAAAUAAAAGUUAUAUAUUUUUUGUUGAAGUGAGAGUCACAACCUAGGUAGGUGCUAGGCGAGUAUGGGCGGGUUAGGUGGGUGCCAAGGUGGUCUAGGCGGUUUGGGCUACUUAGACGCCCUUUCUUAAUUUUCAAACACUUAGGGAUUAACUGAAGUCGUAGCCAACCGCCUAGCGCUUAGGCGGGAAUUUUCAAAACAGUGAUGCCACUUAAGUUAAGCCUAUUAGUUCACCACUAAGACUAAUGGAUGUGAAACAACAUUCCAUGUCCUCAAUCACCCUCUUGCAUGCGAUAAUACUCAAACUAAACAAAUAGACAACACACAAUUGGGUGGCAUAGAGCACAUUUAGCCAAUAAGUAUCAACCGUGAACAACUUGCUCGGAUAUCAUAAAAAGUUUUGAAAUUUCACAACAAACUCAAUUGUCAAUAAAGAAAGUAGAUUAAUUAUUUACAAGAACAUACAAGGUCCCAUAACUUUUCCAUGUGCGACUUUUUAAUAAUGUAUAUUAGUGAAAACCCUAAAAAGAAUUUCUUCAAUAUCAACCCAUUGACUAUAUGAUCACCUCAAAAGAAUGAGCACAUAUAUCAGGUCCAGAGCAUCGAAAUAUAUUAGUCUCUUGGAGAUGAGGUAAUGUCAUUGCCCUAAAAACUGCAAUUAUUUCAUAAUCUAUAUAUAUAAAGGGAGAAGACAAAAUUUGUUAAGCUUUGAUACUUCCGUAUGUCUUAGAUACGCUAAUGUAGAUGAAUGGGUUCUAAUCAAAUUUUGUAUUGGUUGACUAGGCCUAAAUUCAAAGACCCAAUUUAUAAACAGGAUUUUGAAAAUCUUUUUACUAGAUUUUGUAUAAAAUUUUCAAUCUUGGUCAUUAAAUUUUCUAUUAAGAAGAAAGUGAGGAAAUAAGAUUGGUGGGAGGCAUAACAUCUUUUACUAUUAACUAGAGAAGUUUUAGUAGACCUAUAGCUGGUUAGUAUAUAUAUAAUUUGAUGAUUUGAUGUACAUGGCUUAUUUGGAAGUGUUCAAAAUAAUUGAAAGUGUUUUUUGUGAAAAUGUUAUUUAUAUUAAUCUUUUAGUAAAAAUUUUAAUUGAUCAUGAAAAAGCUUUUGAAAUGUUUUAUGCAAAAAACACAUAUUUGAUGCUCCAUUAAAAAAACAUUUAAAGUGUUUUCGGAAUCCAAAAUUAAUUUCAUUAAAAUCGCUUUCAAUCAUUUGAAAUGCACUUCCAAACGAGUGCACAGUUUAGACAUUGUAAACUGCACAACAAACUGCACAAGGAUCAUUGUAAAUUGUAAAUUAAAAUUAGUUUUGGUGAUUUCAUAGCCAACCAAGCUGGCUUUUGCUAAUUAAUACUCAAUUUUCAGGCUGUUCUUCUUUAAAUAAAACAAGGGGAGCUAUUAUUUUAUUUUUUAUUUUUUAUUUGGUAAAAAAAAGUUUUGUGGGAGAUUGGUUAUUCUCACCACUAGCAUCAGGAUAUACCUAUAAUCUCGAGCCGAAAUGACUUACACUUGGCACCUAAUUACCAGCUGUGAUUAGUAAGAAUUUACGUAGAAAUUUAUAGAUCGCGAAGUAACGAGAACUACUGGCAAUGGGAACUAUUGUUUUUUUUGACUAAGUUACAAUGGAGUCUGCCGUACGUGGUGUAAAAUUCCGGAGAACCACACGACCACUCGGUCCACUCCCUCCACCUGUGGACCAAACGGACCAACUCCUGCCACGCGGAGAGCUCUUGGUCCCUCUGGGUACGGGACACGACCCCAUGCAAACAUUGGAACAGUGGGAGGUCAGUAAGAGAUUUUUUAAGUGAAUGAUAUUUAAACGGCAAACGGUAUUUUAAAUGUUAUAAUAUAAGUGAAAGAAAUAUUAUAUUGUCAACUAUGGUUGUUCGAUCUCUCGUUGUUGGUAAUUUCUGGCAAUUUGUAAAAACUUAAAAAAAAGGCUACACCCCUCCUAAACUUUUAUAAAUUUUCAAAGAGGUUUUUGAUAUAUUAUGACCUUGAGAUAGAUAAACUUCCGCUCCUCCUAAAUUUUUUGUUACAAAAAAUAUAUAUAUUUCUUCAUGUCUUUUCACUUAAUUUUAUAACAUUUGAAUGACCUACCGGAAUAAGUAGGGGGGGCACAUUGACCGAACGUUAUUUACUUGCCCUUUUAUCAUUACCUUUUCAACGGGGGGCGGCACGGGCAGCCGUACAGCCACUGCAAGGAGAAAUUAUUCAUUAUAAUCGGAACACAGAUAAUACAUUAUAUGUUUUUAUAUAAAUGAUGGAAAAUUGUAUUUUUUAAGUUAUUAAUUUUUUAACACACAUAUCCUACAAUUUGUAUAGUAAUACGUGAUGUAUCAUUUCGUAUUUCAGUCACAUUGAAAAAUCUCGCCACCGCGAGAGCAAACUCUGUGCUGACGUCAGUCACCAGUCCGUUUACAUUCUUUCUGGGCCUUGCACCUGUCGCUGUCAGGUCCAUCAGGGCAGCCCACUGCUAGUCUUCCCUCCUCCCAUUAUAAACCUCGCCACUGCCCCUUCACUUUUUUCCACAUAAAAAUUUCCGUUGUUUCUCUCUUCUUUCAUUCUGUCGAUGGGGAAUUCUCAAAAGCUCUCUUCAAACAUGAAAUCUAGACACAAAUUUCCACUCCGAGGUAUGCAAAAUCUAAACCAUUUUCAUGUAUGUAUACCUUGUGCUAAUAUACAACACGUCACGCAUUAACUUUAAAAUUCUGAUGAGAUCCGUUGCAUAUGUGUUUUCGCAGACUUUCACAAAAGCGAAGACCAAAACGGAAGCUUUGAAUUUGGGACGAGUUUUGUGGUGGUGUUGAAGGGAGGUGGUGGUUGAUGGGAAUUUGGUGCUAUCCUACCUGAGCUUUUUCUUCGUAUUUCUAUAUUCGUUCCUACCGUAUUCUUUCAUCUUCUACUACUUAUCGAUCCCUUCCCUUCUUCUUGACCUUGUAAGACCUUUUCUUGACCUUGUAAGACGUCACGCCGGGUCUGUUGUCUUUGUUUUGUGUUUUGGUUCAAGCUUUGUGUCGGAAUUCACUGAUAUAGAGUUUGGCCUCCGUUCCUCAUCGUUACCGACCAACUCUUCUUCUCCUUCCUUGUCUAUCCCUCCUGAGCUGUUCCACAAUUACCUCAAACUAGAAGCCCACCAUAGCAAAUCCUCAAUCAAAGCAAGGACUCUUUUGCCGGUGGUCCUCCAAGUAGGGUUGUAAAAAAUGUAGAAAUUCAGAAAUAUUAAUGAGUAGUGACAUACAUAUAUGUUGUUUUUAUUCAGUGGGAAAUAAAUAAAAAUAAAAUUUUAUUUAUUUAGUUUUGUUAUUAUUGCCUGCAGCUGUUACUUAUUCUGUGAAGGCAAUCAAUUGGAAAUGUAUUAUUGUUGUGAGUGCAGAAAUACUGAAAUAUGCUGUUGGCAGUCAUCAGUUUCGUUGUUUUAUAUGUUGUUGGCUGAGAAAGUAAGAGAAUAAAUAUUCUCUCAGAUCUGUGCAAGACUUCCCACUCGUGACUGCUGCUCUCCUUUCCGACCCUAAGUCAACAAGGUUCACUACUUUACGAAGGUCGGGAGGGAUCAUAUCAUAGUAGGCCUUAUUCUUACUUAUAAAGAAGUUGUUUCCACGACUCGAAUCCGCAACUUUAACUUUUCUGAUGCUCCUAUCUUUAUGUACAAAUUAAAAUAAAAUCAACUGUAUUAUUGGAGGAGACCCUCUUUUUCCUUUUUUCUACAAGUUCUUCAUCCAAAAGCUGAUGUCCCUUUUUUCUUUUUUGUUGAUUUUUUGGUUCAUUUUAUCCCUCAUAAAUGUGCUGACCUGAGAGUCUGAGAAGCUCAAAAAUGGGGUGAUAUUUAUUUAUAUUUUGCUAAUUUUUAAUCAGUGAAUUCAUCCACUCAUAAAUGUCUCAGUCUUGGUCAUAAAUGGACAACUUGGCCGCAUUUGACUCAAAUCUAGGGUUUGCAUGCACUAGUUGAUAACUCAAAUCUAGGGUUGAAUGUACUAAUUGCAGCUGAAUUUACGGCUAAAUAAGCGUUGAAGAAUAUCAAAAAAAUUUAACGAGUAAUGACAUAUUACAACACAAAUACGAACAUGUCUUGUGAGUAAAAGAGUUUGUAACUCAAAUUAUUCAUUUUAUUUAUCUAUGCACCCGUAAUAUAGCGUUCAAAUCUCCUCUAUUGGUUCAUAAUGUUCGUAGCACGGUAAGAAAUGUCAGUUUCACCUCGACAAUGGCCAAACCUCCACCACGUGGUAAGAAAAGUCUUUACCUAACAUUAUACCUGGGUAGAAAAUGAUGAACCGUAUAUAGUUUUAGACAAAUUGUUUUUCAUCUGAACCAAACAUUGGAUAUUAUUGAUCGAGAUUCCCCUACCAGAUCGGGAAUAUAUAUUAAUAUAUGUCAGCAUCGUAUUGAGAAAAACUUUGUAUGCCUUGUCCACCACAUCAUGGCUUAGGUUUUGCCAGACCUCAUAAGCAAUAAUUCAUGGGCAAAGUGCUAUGCUCUUUGUGCGUAUAUAUGUCAAUUUUUGAUGUGUCACGAAAAUGAUGUUUCUGUAGUUUCUGUCGAAUUUUAGUUGUUAGUUUUCCAAAUUGUAUUUUCUCAAACAAAUUAGGUUAUGCAAUUAUCUAUUAGGAGAAAAUGGCCAACUAAACUAUGAUGACAUUGACUCCAAUGCAUAAAAAUUUGAAUUAUCUGUGAAUCCAGAUGAGUUCAAAUCAGGUGAUAUGACCAAGGAACUAGUUAAGGUGGGUAGGAUUUUCUCUUUCUAAUAUUAAAAUAAUUUCUCAAAUUCGAAUCUCUUUCUACUCCUCUCGCCAAUUACGUCAUGAUGAAUUUAAUUGUAUUUCUAAUAUUGAAAUAAUUUACAAGUUUGAAUUCUCAAUGUGCAGCACUUCUUAAUUCUCGCAAUUCAUUUUGUGGAUAAUGGAGGGGGAUUGUCUACCCUUCCAUUUCCAUACUUUUUUUAUGUCUUCUUGUCAUGUGUGGUCACGGUUAAGCCACGUUAAUAUUUUAUAUUUAUUUUUUAUAGAAAUAAUAAAAUAAAAAGUAAUAGGAAUAUAAAAUAUUAACGUAGCUUAACUGUGACCACACAAAUAAGAGGGGAUGUAAAGAGUAUGGAAAUGGGAGGGCAGACAAUCCACCUCCGUGGUUAAUUUGCAAUCUUGCACAAGCAAGAAUCAUUAAUUGGAAAGUGUGAGGGACGUUCUAAUCAUGAUUCUUUCUCAAUUCCAACUUCUACUCGAUCGCUCUAGCUCUUUUUCACUCCAACUCUAAACACGUCAACACACUCUUGAGUUUACGCUUCUUUAAAUGAAAUUCAAGCAAAUAAAAGAACGAAAAAAUCUUAAAAAUAAAUGAAAAGUAGUUGGAUACAUAAAUAAAAAGAAAAACUAACAAAAAUUCUAAAAAAACUUUGAUUUUAAUAAAAAUGACAAAAAAAAGUGUAAGUGAAUAAUACCAAGAAAUGUAAAAAUGUGGUUUUUCGUUAAAAAUGAAUAGUACCGAAAAUGUUUCGUUAAAACUCCUAAAUAAAACGAUAAUGAAAUUGAAUUUCGCCAAAUUAGUGUUGCAUUUAACAGUCAAAAGUAAUUCUAAGAUCGAAGCAAAAUUUGGUAGUAAUUGUUGGUUGGCAUAGUUUUUUACAUGCUAAGAGGAGGGUCAGAGGGGUGGUGGUGACUUCUUGUACAAAAUGAUGAUGUCCACAAGUGGGAAUUGAAAAGCUAAAUUCCUUUUAACCUUCUCCAUGACUUAUUAGGGCUGAGUGUGACUGAGUCGAAAGAAAACUCGACAGAGGCAAAAUCUCAUUAUUUCCUUCAUAUCCCACUUGAGACUCUUUCCGUUGGGUUUUACCAGCAUGGGGUCCAUUUCUUUCAAGCUUUUUCCCUCCUUUUGGUGACAUGCUAACAUGCAUGGCUCUUCCUCCGUGGUUUAAUUUUUUUCCUACUUCCUCUCAAAUCAUAUCUUCGAAGACUGGUGAAAAGUAUUACAUGUCAACUUGGCAAAUAAGUUGGACUACUUUUCUUAUUGUUAAUCGGUUUUAUGAUAAAAUCUUAACAUUCUUCAUGGUACUAGAGUAGGUUGACCCACGUGUGUUGCUCAAAGGUCAUAUGUGCACUGCUUCACCCAAUUUGUGUUGUCUACGUGCUUAGCUUGAAAAUUUGUCACACUGCGUGUGAGGAUGUGAAGGUUAAAAGAGUCACACAUCACCUUGCAAGGGUUUAUAUGUAAGUUAGACUACUUUUUUUUUUUUUUGUCAAACAAUCGAUUUGUUAGAUUAAAUGUUAGAUUACGGAGCCGACCAGAUUCGAACCCACGUCAUAGUGAAAGGGCAACACUCAUUUCCACCACUACGGUAGAGGGUCACUUGCAGUUAGUUAGACUAUUCUCAAUAUUACCAAUUGAUUUUAUAGUAUAAUCCAAAUAUUUUUUAGUAAAAGUACUUUUGUGUAAAAUAGAAAAAAUAAAUAAAAACCACUUGCAAAAAGUAGGGAAAUGACAUUUCAAUAAUGCAUAGAAGCAAAUUUCAGGUCUGCUUUACAAUUUCAUAAAAAGCGUGUGGUCAAUUAAGGCCCUGACUUUCUAAGGGGGAAGUAUUUUAUUGUUAUUUAAUUUUGGAUAAUGUUAUCCAUACACUUAUUUUUUUCUACACACUUUUUUUUUAAAAAUUUUUAAUCAUUGGAUUGAAUAAUAUGAGAAAAUUAAUGAUAAAUAAUUAAUAAGAAUGUAUAGAAAAUAAAAAUAAAUGUGUGAAUAGCACUGUUUAUUAUUUUUACCGAAAAAAAAGUUAUUGGAUUUUUUUUUUUUUUAACCAUGGUUAUUGAGAACUGUCAAAGGCUUGUGGUAUUUGGUUGGUUGUCUUAAGACUUGGGGCCUUUUUAAAUUUUAGGCUUAGAGAAAAAGCCCCAAGUCAUUCCAGCUAAACCUAAAUAAGAGACUUGGGCUUCCAAUGCAGCCGGAGGAUUUUCAUUUCCUUUUAUACCGACUUCGUUAAUUUCAAGUCGUAGAAUAAGCUUAUUCCAGUCCUUGUAAAUAACAAACUUUUAUUGUAGAAAUUUUAUAAUUGAAGUCAUUCGGUUUCUUAAUCUUUCUUUGAAGUUCGUCCACACAGAAAAUCAUUCGAAUAAUUGUUCGUUUAGUCACUUUAGUUUAAUGUGUUAGAUAAGUCAACAAUGUAGGUACAAAGUAACAUAUGUACGAUGUACUGUCUAUUUAUUUAAUACAUUUGGAUUACUAAAUGAACAUCAUUUCUAAUGUUUAUUUCGUGGGGAUGAUCUUCAAAUUAGGAUUAAGAAAUUGAACAGUUUCGAUUAUGAAUUUUCUAUCGUAAAAAAACGUUUUUUUGCAAGUGGUGGAAUGAGUUCAUCCUCCCAAGGGAGGAACACAAAGUAUUAUAUCCUUCGUAAUAUAUAAGUGCCCUCUUCCACAGACAAUGAAAGUUUCGAUGCAAAGACAGUAUACCCGCCUCUUUACAUUCGUGUGAGUCGAAUCUUUCUCUUCGUAAAUUAAGACAUUCAUAAUGGUAUAUAGUAUUGUAGGGAAAAAAAACCUAGGUCAGAAAUAUUAAUUUCCUCAUUUGAAAUGGAAAACAUAUCCCUUGUUAGUUUCAAAUUCAAUAUGAAUUCUAAUUUGGCUUUUUAGCCAAAAUGGUUCAUAAGAUUUGCAUAACACAUCACCUUGGUCUCUGAGAUUGAAAAUCAAUAGAAAUGGUCCCUGAGAUUGUCCACCAUCCAUUAUUUUGGUCAUUCCGUUAAAAACUCCGUUAAGUAUUCCGAAGCUCUUGGCCAGAAGUUUUGGCAAUUUUCAAAGCUACGUAACUCAAUCGUUUCUUAACCAAAUUCGACCCAUAAUAUAUCAAAAUGAAGAUGGGAAAAUUUAGAAUAAGAUUAUACAUAUUUGGAAGCCCAAUGAUUUCCGAAGAUGACCUGAAAAUAGCCUGAAAGAUGACUGGUCCGUGGGAAAACUGGAUAACUUGCCGGAAACUGGGUAAACUUUAAAUGUUCAUAACUUCUUUAAUAAUUAAUGAAAUUGAGUGAUUCAAAAACAAAAAUAUAGUUUUGAAUGGUAUCUUUUUCGACGGCUAACUCGUCAUGGUUUGGCCGGAAAACGGCUUGAAAGUUGCUAACUCAAGACCAAGACAACCACUUUUGAGCCGUUUUCCGACAAAAGCACGAUGUGUUAGCCAUCGAGAAAGAUACCAUUCUCUUUUUCUCAUCGAGAAGUAUGAUUUUUGUUUUUAAAUCACUCGAUUUCGUUGAGUAUUGAAGAAGUUAUGAAUGGUUAAAGUUUACUCAAUUUCCAGCGAGUUUUCCAGUUUUCCCUCGGACCAGUCACCUUUCAGGCUAUUUUUCGGUCAUCUCUAGCAACCAUUGGGCUUCCAAAUAGAUAUAAUCUUGUUCUACACUUUUCUAUCUUCAUUUUGAUAUAUUAUGGGUCGAAUUUGGUUAAGAAACGAUUGAGUUACGUAGCUUUGAAAAUUGCCAAAACUUCUGGCCAAGAGCUUCAAAAUACUUAACUGAGUUUUUAACGGAAUGACCAAAAUAAUGGAUGGUGGAUAAUCUCAGGGACCAUUGCUGUUGAUUUUCAAUCUCAAGGAACAAAGUGAUGUGUUAUGCUAAUCUCAAGGAUUACUUUGGCUAAAAAGCCUUCUAAUUUUAGUCUUCAAAAGCUAUUUUCUAGUCUCAAGUAGUUUUGAAAUCUCCAUCAGAUUCCUAUAAGAACUCACUCCUUAUAAAUAUCAUUCAUGUCACACCCUCUUAUUCCUCAAAAGCUUAAGAAAACCUAUAGAGAUUAACAAGAUCGACUGCUUUACUAAUCUUGAGUUAUUCAUGGCUAAUCCACAUGCGCUGGUGGGUUUCGGCUUCCGCCCUCGACCAAGAACUCAACCAUUUCUUUCUCUACACAAUGGUGGUCAAGAGAGAGCCUCUAAUACUGCUAUACAACAACUUUGUGCAUGUGGAAAACCUCUAGCAACAAAGAACCACGGGAAAUAUGGGAAGACCACGAAGGCUUAUAUUCCUUUUGCGAGCUCAAGAGGUUAAACUCGAAGGGCUCGUAUAUCCAUCGGAAGAUUGGCGUUGGAGGUUCUUGGAGCCAAGGCGAGCCUCAAAACUUGUUUACUAUAAGGAUGGAAAUGGUAACGAUUACCCUAUUGGCCGAAAGAGAAAAUUUCGGUACGAGAAUCAACAGUCGGAGGAACGUGGAGGGUGGCAUUUAGAUUAAUAUAGUCUUGUUGGUGGUGGUGAUGGUCAUGAACAAAAUGCCUCCGAGAAUUACUAUAAUGCUAGUAGUUCUAAUUAUGAUACUUAUUUUGUGAUUUGUCAGUUAAGGAAGAAUGAGAGGUCUUAUGUGAACAAGAAAAAUGGUCAAUAAUUAAGAUAUUGUACAUCGUUAAAAAAAAAAAAAGAUAUUGUACAGUAGGUUAUAGCGUUUGUAAUUAAAUUUUAUUCCUAGUUAAUUUUUUGUAAACAGAUUCAUCAACAGAAUGACUAUUUUUGUUUCCAACCAAAUAUUGAUAUGCUCGUUCAAGAAUUUAUGUUUAGAGUUUAGUUUUCUACAUACAUCUCAACUGGACCGAGAUGUACGUAGAAAGCUAAACUUUAAACUAUGAGCUCUAAACAAUAAUUACACACAGGUAAAGUAAUCGACCAUAUGAAAAUCACAAUAAAACUUUCCAAUUAACCAGCCCACGGAUAGUUGACAAGAAAGUUUCUAAUUAACAUUCCUUACCAACAUAAUGAUUUUCACACUUCUAUUUUGUUUUCUUCUGCAUUAUAUAUGUUUUUUCGAUACAAGUAAUAACAUAGAGUCGGAAUUAAACUCAGGAUCUCAAGUUCAAAUUAUGGACAAUACUCUUAACCAACAGAACUACAAGCCCAUUGCUAGUUUCUUUCUUCUGUGUUUUUCUUCUACAAAUCCCUUUAAUUUAUAAUAAAUAGAAGUGCACAGAGGUCAUUAGCUCAGGUGGUGCUGCUUGUACGUUUGUAGUUGGGGACUCUAAUGGAGUGAUCCAUUGGUUGCUAGUGUCUUAUAUAUUGGCUGCGGAGGGUCAAGCUCUUGUGGAUGGACCUCAAUCGGCAUUAUCCCAGGGAUUUUGGCAUGUGGAGAUGGAAGGGGACUCUAACAUUCUGGUGGAUGCUAUUAACAGUGGAUCUUCGUCCCCUUGACACCUUCUUACUGUUAUCCAUAAUGUGCAAAAGUUGGCAUAUAACCUUCAGUUUAUCUCAGUUCACUAGCAAACUUUGUAGUUGAUGUUUUGGCUUAUGUGGGUCACUUUUAUGAUAUUUUUGCCCGUUUGAGAUCGCUCUUGCCUUGGCUAGUGAGGCAAGAGUGAUGUAAAUUUGGAAUUUUGUUAGUUUUAGCCGUUCUAGGGCUUCUCCAUCAUUUAAAAAAAAAAUUGUUUAGUGAGCAGUGGAGGCAUUGGUACACUACUAAAUUAAACAGUUUGUGCAACGAGGAAGAUUUUGUCGUGCAAAUCAUUAUUAGUUCGCACAAAAACUAUGGCGACAAGAAGAUCGUCGCGCAUAUUUUGUUGCGCAAAGGUUGUGAAAAAUACAUUGCGCGACGAACAAUUUCAAACUCGUCACGCAAAAAAAAAUUGUGCAACCCUUUACUACUCGUUGCGCUAAAGUUAAACGGAUGAAGGUUUUCGUCGUACGAUAUAAAAGGGUACAAGUGCGCUUUGUGACUAGUUCGGCUCGAAAAGUUUGUGUGACGAAAAAUGUAAGAGGCGCGUGGUAAUGCGCAACGAAGUUAUAAGACGCGCUUAAUUUUGCGCAACGACUGGUCGGCGUCGUGCUAGUGUAAUUUUUAUUAAAAAAAACAAAUAGAAUAAAAGGAAAAUUAAAAAAAAAAGAUUUCAUACUAAUGACAAAAAAAAAAAGCAAAUUAAUGAAUAAAAAAACAAUUUUUAUUUAUAAUAUAAAUAAAAAUGUACGUACAAAUAUAAAGUUUUAAAAGAAAGUAAGAACACAACUAUGAAAAAAAAGCUGAAAAAUCUAUAGGAAUGUCGUUCAAAGGAUCUUGCUGUUGGUUGGGGACGGGUUCGGAGGUUGACGGGCCUGAUUACUGUGCUUGCUCAGUGUGGAAAGGCUGUGAGAGCGAUGGUGCAGAAAAACUGGGGAGAUGUAUUCCGGAGGAACUAAGGGCUUGUACAAGCAUCAACAUUUGAGACUUGUACAAUGCCAGCUCACUCCUUAGGCUAGCGACUUCUUGCGUCAAAGUCGUAACAUGGCCCUUUGACUGCGAGGAUAACGAUGCUCUACUCUCCCAUCGCCUGGCAUUUCCCAUCCCCUGACAAUAAGUCUCUGGCCUCCGACCGAAAGUCUGGUCCAACGUCUCUGUCACGAUGUGAAACCUUGCAUCCUCAGGGGAUCCACAUACUCAAUUGGCGUGUCCGAGGGAAGCUGGGAGGCAGACUCUUGAAGCACCGACUGACUCUUCUCCACCAUAGUCGCCUAUGAAAAAAAACAUGGAUUAUUAAUAGAAAACAAUUUGAAAUAAUUAGUAUAAAUGUUGAAUGCAUAAGAAAUUACUUACAUGAAAGGACUCGGUCAACUCAUCCUCAGGCCGAACAUAAACAUCAGCAAAGACGUUGAUCUCCGAAAAUUUUGAACCCUCCUGAAAUUGAAAAAGAUAAGGAAAAUGUUAGUAAGAAAAAAAAAUUUAAAAGUGGAAAUGAAAGAUGUAAUAUAUAUCUUCCGUCGCGCCUCCAUCCUAUAGGAGAAAGGUCUCGCGCAAAUGGUGUAGCAGAGUCUUCUUCUCCUGAUCGAUCUUGUUCGCCUUUGCCUUCUUCUUCUUCUAUUAUACAAAAAAAUAAACAUAUUAGUUGUAAUACUUAAAGAAAAUUAAAAAAAUAAUAAUAAACAUUAGUAAAAAUUAAAAAAAGUGAAAUGAAAGAAUUCGUAAUUAAAAACACAUCACAUAGCUCGGCUCCUGAAAAUAACCGCAAAGCCAAACCCAACUAUCUUGUCGGUCCUCCAACUCAUUCGGACAACCCUCCUCAAGAAAGACAUGCGGAUCAUCAAAAUUGUAGUUUGUCUGCAAUGUAACAAAUAUUUUGAAAGUAUUAGUAAUAAAAGACAGUAAUAAAUAUAAAUAUAUAAAUUUUACAUGAAAAAAAUUAAAAAGGCGACGCUACUUACGGACAAUUGGUUGCACACCGUGUUUUUCGUCUCCUUCGGCAUCGCCUUCCAAGACUUCCACCGCAUAUGGCAAAACGUCCGCACGAAAUGCCCAAUGUCAUGGGCCAAUGCACUAUGCUACUUUGCCGUUGGUGUUGCCCGAUGUCGCUCAUUGUAUCCGAUUGGGAUACGACUGUUGGUCACCCAGAUGACCUUGGCCGUCUUCAAUUGCCGACAAGGUCUCCUGGUGUUUUUCUUCGCUGCAAAGAGAUGAAAAAAAAAUCAUUAACCCAAAACUAAUAACAAAUCCUACAAAAAAUUUAGUAUAACCUCCCCUAUAAUUAAAACAUUUCCCAAAACCCUGAAAAUAACAAAAACAAUAUACGGUUUUUAGGGUUUCACUCAAUUCUACUAGUUAAUUUAGUUUGCCUUUUUACUGGAACUUUUUUUCAAUUGAAUUUAUAUGUAGUAACCGGAAGUUAGCUUUAUAUGGUUUCUGAUCGUUCGAUCUAGAUGGCUUGAAUAUUUGGCUUUAUAUAAAUAUGAUAACGAGCUGAAGAUUGAAGUGUCGAUUUAGGUUCUUUUUUAAUUGCUUUUAGUUUUGGUUGAAUCAAUGGUCUAAUUUGAUCGAACUUGUGUUAUCUUACUCUUUUUUCUUUGUAUUAUUUGAAACAAUUAUGGAAAGGUAUUUUAAGAGAAAAUCAACGUAAGAUACUUUUUCACCUUCUAUGACAAAUAUUCAAAGUUUAACUGAAGGUAAAAUAGAAAGUAUACUAGCAAAUCUUCCUCGAGAUCCUAGACUUCGACUUUGAAUAUCAGAAUAUGAUCCAAAUAUUAGAGAUCAAGUUCGAAGAGUUUAUUUACAUAUAUAAUUGUUUCAACCUCAAAGCCAUCAAAUUUCAUAUACAUCAUUUGCAAAAGCACAAUGAAUGAUAUUUCUAACUUGCGUCUGAAAAAUGAUUUUUUUUUAAUUGAAAUAAAUUAGUAUUGCACAAAAGUUGGUGGAGACAAAAUGGGAUGGACACUAUUCCUUGGUGUACUUGCUCCUCAAAUUAGUACUGAUUUUACAUGUUGCGACUGCUUCAGUUGAAAUAGUUUUUUUAGUGAUUAAUAUUGUGAAGAAUCCACUUCGUAAUAAAAUAAAAGACAUAAUUGAAAGAUAGUUUAGUUAUAUGCAUUGAAAAAGAUGUUUUGAUAGGCGUUUCUAAAAUAUUAGAACAUAUCAUGGACAAUUAUAAAUAAAAUUACUAUCAAUUUCUUAGAGCUAUUUUAUGAUCGUCGUUGUAAAUUUUAGCUUCGUCACAGUUAGUAAGAUAAAUGAGUGAAAAUCACUUCUAUUUGGAAAAUAACGAAGAAAUGCUGUCACUAUUACGAAACGACAACGUUUUGGCGACCGAUAACAAUCCACCUUCCCUCGAAUUCGACGAUCCUAUUGGUUCAACUCUGCACCGCAUUUACCACCACCAGCACCCUCCCGCCAUGUAUUUAUGAUCGCCACUCCGCCGCUCCACCACUCCACCGCUCCACUCCCUUCUUCUGGCUGCUAGGGUUUCCGAUUCCCACAUGUCGCAGACCCAUUUCAGCAAGGGCGACGAGGUCGAGGUCGUCACGAAGCCCUCCCGCAGUUCCACCGGGCCGUACUACCCCGCGACGGUGCGCCGCCCCGUGGUCAAGGACAAGGCCCACAUUUUAGUCCAGUACCAAACCCUGACGACCCCCAACGCCGUCAGCCCCAGACUCCUCCAGGAGAUAGUCGAAUUAGGCAAUGUGAGGCCCGCACCGCCGAGGGAGCUCUACCAGUUCUUCAAGGUGGGCGACGACGUCGACGCCUACAGAGAAAAUGGGUGGUCUCGCGGGACUGUGACGGACAUUCUGGAGAACUCCAAGUACUUAGUUGCGCUGCGGGGUGAGGAAUUUGAGUGCGAGCAGUGUGAUAUGAGGAUUCACAGAGACUGGGAUGAUGGCUCUUGGGUCCCUCCUAUUCAAGAAGAGGUAUUUUCUUUGAUUUUUUUUGUUUUUUGUUUUUAUAAUUUGUUUUAUUAAUGGGUAUUAUUUUUUGAUUAAUUUCCGUAUGAAUUUAUUUGCAAUGGGUUUAAUUUUGUUUGAUAUGAUUGUGACAUUUUUUGGGUAUAGUAGGUAGAAAUGUUAUGACAAUCACCAAACAUAUGUGCUAUGGUAAGAUUAUUAUUUCUCCAUGGUUUCAAUAGGAAAAAGGAUCACCUGUGAAAUUUAUGACAAGAGUGGUGUUUCGUUCAAGGUCAAAACAUGUUUUCAAUACUCCGAUUAAGUCAAAUCAACAUUUUGUGCUUUUAGUGAGAGGUCGAUGCAUCAGCCAAGUGGUUUUAAUCUUAGUUGAAGAGGAUGUAUCCAUUGACUUAUGCCAAAAUACGAAAUUAUUUAUUGACUUAAACCAAAUUCCGUACUAUAUUAUAAUAUAUAAUUGUUCAAGGUAGAUUCUUGGUGCAAGUGGUUGACAUCAAAUUAGAAUAUUAAUUUUCAAUCAUAAGUCAUUAUUUUAUGGUUUGCUUUGUAAAAAGUGAUUAUGUGUAUAUAAUUAUAUAUUAAUCUUUGGUUUGGUGCAGCUUUGUGUAAGUGAUUUAUGGUGUUUGCUGUAUGGUAUUGAUGUUCUGUUGAUUCAGUGGUUGCUAAUGUCUUCCAUGUAUACAUUUUCUAGUUAUGCGUUUCUGGGUAAUUGUUCUUGUACAAUGUACAGCUUUCUGGGUUUUGAAUGUGUGCUCAGGUUUUGAAAACUGGAAUUGCAGAAUAGUUCAUCUGGGAUGGUGGUGAAAUCUAGAAAAUUAAUAUUGAAAUUUAAGUGCGGCAAGAAACCACUGGGAGCAAGCUUUGAAAAUGGGACUGUGGUGGAGGUCAGCAGCGACGAGGAAGGCUACAAGGAUGCUUGGUACACUGCUAAAAUAAUUGAUCAUGUAGGAAAUAACAAGUAUCUGGUGGAAUACCUGUACCUGGUAACGGAUGACGGAACAAAGGAUCCCUUGAGAGAAGAAACAUGUGCAAGUUAUAUUAGACCUUGUCCUCCUGCACUUCCAUCGGUUGCUCAUUUCAAAGUGCUCCAGAAAGUCGAUGCUUGGUACAAUGAGGGAUGGUGGGAGGGCACCGUUUCCAAAGUUCUUGGCGGCUUAAUGUAUGUUGUCUAUUUCAGCUCCACCAAUGAAGAAUUAAUGUUUGAACAUUCCAAUUUGAGGCCUCGACAGGACUGGAUUAACGGACAAUGGAUCCCUGCUUAAAUGGUAUGACUUCCAAAAGCUUUUAUUUACCGUACAUAUCAAAACCUUUUGCAAUGUCUUUGCACUUUUGCUUUCUCUGUUUGCUUGGAUGGCAAGAAAUGAGAAAGCAUUACUUAUUGGAAGCUUGUUCUCACCGAACAAUAGUUUUAAAUUUUGACAUCAGUUGCCCUUGCACCAUUAAAGAAACUCUACAAUUGAGGAUCUCUGAUUAGAUUCCAUAUUUUUGUUGUACAGGUGACCUAAAACGGACAUGAUCACGAUGAGUUCGCUGACAUAAGGAAAUAGGAAAAAGAAAGAAGCAAAGGAGGCAUAUCGACUAUGUACUUCGUAGCGCUUAAUGUAUAAAAAUAGAAUUAGUUCGUCUACUAACAACUGUUGUAUUAAAAUGUUCUGGAGAGUGCCUUAAUCCAUAAACAAUUUAUCAUAUUUAACGGUCCUCGAUCUUGCUCACGAAUGUCAUUGUUUGGUUGCCGGAACAUGCACUGAGUGUCUUGAAUGAUAAAAUGCAGGAUAAUUCAGGUGGCUUGGGAUGCAGAGCUGAAGAUGCAGAAAACCAUGCCAAUGUUCAGCAGGGUAACAAAGGUACAAGUAAAUAGUGAUGAAAUUUACCAUUUGAGGGUUCUUUGACACUUAAGACGUCUUUGGAUUGGAUUUAUAGCUAAUGACAAGAUUUUCGGAAACUCAGAUAAUAGAUAGAGUCUUCUUCGAUCAUAUGACCUUGUCAUUCCUCUGCAACACAUACAAGGAUUGUUAGGAAUGUCUGAUUGCUUGUAAUCCCACGAUAGUACCAAAGUUCUUUUCUGCUAGUACAAUGUCAGGGACGAUAUGCGCAAAUAGAACACGUUAUAAAACAAAAAUUGAACUAGAGGGUCACUAAACAGACAAUAAGGACGCACUAAACUGUGGUUGUGUACGGGUUAUUGUCCUUUUAAUGUCUCUAGACCUAUUUUUAGUUAAAAAAUUGGCACUUGUUCUGUUUGUGAAUGUUUUCCUAAUAUCUGUAUGAGAUCAACAUGUGGUUUAUUAAGGAUUGUUUGAUAACCAUUUUGUUUUCAACCUUUUGUUGUCAAACAAGAUUCCAAUUUUUCAUAUUUCAAAAAAGUGAAUACAAACUAAAAACUAAAAACGAAAUGGUUAUCAAGUGGUUAAGCAAUCUUGGCCAUUUCUUCGUUUCGCAAUAGGUACCAGCAAACAUGAGGAACAAUUCUCAUCAUGUCUCAUGAUUGAAGAAAAUAAGAUUUGGGUUUUGACGCUCACUAUCUCCAUCGUGAAUCUCUCUCAUCGUAUUUUAGAAUUUUAAAAAAUAAUAAUAAUGCAAUAAGGGUAGUAAUAUCUACACACUUCUUUUUAUCUCUCACACACCCAUUACUAAUUAUGUCCUUUGAUUCUUUUCAACUUAUCCAAUUCGUCGGUUGAAAUUUGAGAAAUGCUGGUGGAAGGUAAAAAAGGUAUAUGCGGACCACUUGGGUUCAGCCCAUUGGCGCGAAACAUUUUCUUGGAUAACCUCCUCACCAUCUGUGGCCCAUUGCGAUUGGCCAACUUGAUUAGAGCCCACAAAGCCCAUCAAUCUGAUCAAAUUCUACCAACCACCUUCAAUUUUCUUCGAAACUCUCCAUUUCUCGAUUCUCAAAAUCCCUAAUUUAAUUCCAAUCCCAUUUUUGUCCCACCAAAUUAUGGAUCAAAGAUCCAACCUUUUAUCAACGUUUACAUUUCGUUUGCUCAUAAUUCCUCUGUGAAAGUAAAAAAUGGCGAACUCUGAAACUCAGAAGUGAAAUCCCACUUCAUCUCCAUGCAUCAGACUGCGUUCGAUCAAACACCCAUCUCGAAUUUUUCACCUGGUAAGCGAUUUCCAUACCCUUUUCCUAAUUUAGUCAUCUGGGUAAUUUGAUUUCUGUUCAUAUUUAUUGGAAUUUGAUCAUGAAGCCCCAAAGAUGUGGUUUUUUCCCGGACGAAGUCGUCCUCCAAAUCCUCUCAAAACUACCCAUUAAGUCGCUGUUCAGGAGCAAAACUGUUUGUAAACUUUGGUACAGAUUGGUUUCCGAUAAGUAUUUCAUUCAAUUGUACAAUGAAACGUCUGCUAAGAACCCUACGUUAUUGGUUGAGGUUUCGGAUUCGUUGGGAUCGAAAUUAGAUUUGAUUGUUGUGGAUAAUCGGAGGGGUGUUUCCGAAUUUUCAUUGGAUUUCUUGAGGGAUAGGGUUAAGGUCAGAGCAUCCUGUAAUGGCUUGUUGUGUUGCUCUAGCAUUCCUGAUAAGGGUGUUUACUAUGUUUGUAAUCCCAUGACUCGGGAGUUCAGGUUGCUUCCGAAGAGUAGGGAGCGCCAUGUGACCCGAUUUUACCCUGAUGAUGAGGCAACCCUGGUGGGAUUGGCUUGCAAUUUGUCCACCCAGAAGUUUAAUGUUGUUUUAGCGGGCUACCAUCGGACUUUUGGUCAUAGGCCGAAUGGAACUUUUGUAUGUAUGAUAUUUGAUUCUGAGUCGAGCAAAUGGAGGAAGUUUGUUUCGUUUCAGGAUGAUCAGUUCACCCAUAUGAAUAAGAGCCAAGUCGUGUUUGUUAAUGGUGCACUUCAUUGGUUGACUGGUAGUUCCUGUAUUCUCGCGCUCGAUUUGGAGUUUGAUGUUUGGAGGAAGAUGUCAUUGCCGGAACAAGUGACUUGUGUGUCUGGAAAUAGGUUUUACUUGUUGGAGUCAGAUGGUUGCCUGUCGGUGAUCCAGAUUUCAGAUGCUUGGAUGAAAAUUUGGGUGUUGAAAUAUUACGGGAGAGAGGAGUGGCAUUUGGUGGAUACGGUGAGUCUUCGAUGUAUCAAAGGACUUGUUACGGGCAUCUUCCCCAUAUGUCAGACUGGUGAAUGCGUUUUCUUGGCAACCCACAAGCAGAUACUGGUGUUUUAUCGCAAGACUCGUGUGUGGAAAGAGAUGUACUCUGUGAAGAACAGCUCUACACUCCCGUUGUGGUACUCGGCGCAUGCAUUUCGGAGCACGAUUUUGUCUUGUCAGUAAGAUGUGAAACUGCAUGUCAUGAACUUGUUCUGUACAUAGAUUUCCUAUGUUAAUUAUCUGUAUAUGUUUGGCCGAUUGGGGGUUGUCAACAGUGAUCAACAUUUGACUUAUGCAGUUUAAAUUAUAAUCCUAUGCUUUUGGCUGUGGCAUAUUAUCUUCUACUUUGUUUUCAUCAAUUUGAGUAUGGGACCCUUUGCUCAUUCUGCACUCUUGUUCUUGUUUAUUUCUAUGCAUUGGUUCUUGUACGAUUUAUUUAAUUCGAAGGCUAGAAAUAAACAGCGGUGUGAAGGGGAGGAAAUGAGUAUCUCAAAAUCACUUACCUUUGCUUUUUCCACGUUACAGUUACCAAAAUGUGAUUGUGUGACACUUUCGUACAAGAGUGCGGCUAGAGGUGGCCAAUCAACCUAUUGAAUGUUAAUGGGUAGCUAUUAAGAACUAUUUAGUUUGGUAUCACCUUACACUAUUAUCAUAGCUAUCAGUCUCACAUCUAUAUUAUGGUGAUAUCAAAUUAAACAUGUUUUAACGUGUAUCCACUACUACAAUUGUUCCAGAACAAUCUAUCAGAUUUACAAAUUUAAGGAUACACAAUUGUAUGUCUCCUUUUUAUGGGAGAAACUUGCAUACAAUCGGAAAUAUUCUUGUGAAAGUGCCUAAGCAUAAUGCACAAAACAAAAAUGAUUUAUUUUCGAACUUGCUUGAAAUUGCUUUUUCAGAAAGAACUUUUACUCAUAAGAGAAUCUACUAGAAGGGCUUUCAUUAUAACCAUGUUGAAGUUUUCAAGAGGCAUAUCACAAGAAACACUUCCAUGACUCAAAACGCAUCUUAAAAAUUUUCUCCAUACAUAAUCAAAAAGCACUUGUAGAGCGAUCAUCAAGUGGAAGUUUGGUUUCAAGGCCCACACGGUCAUACGGUCACACCACACCGAAAGAAAACUUUAUGGGCUUUUUUCUUUUUAAUGGGCUUUAGACAAAAAAGGAAAUCGAAUAAAUAAGGGACACGUGGGACCCCGAGGUCUGCGUAGUCCUGCGGCACGACAACUGUUUCGGAACAAAGAAAUCCAGUCAGCCAAACAGACCCCAAUUCAACUUCUCGGAUGAGAGAGAGAGACGCACACAGAGAAAACCUCCUUCGGCCUUAGAGCUUCUUCAUGAGUGCUUCUCUGUCCUUUUUUCGCAGACCCAAAAAAACUGUGACAUUUGGAUUGCUUGCUGAUUGCUGAUUGCUCAUUGAUGAUUGAUUACUGGAUGCUCAGGUCUUCCAUGUCCAGAAGAACCCAAUUCGCCAAACAUCCCGCUUUGAUGCUUUAUGGUAUGAGUUUCUUCUCUCAGUGAUCCCUUUGUGUGCCUCAGAGCUCCAGGUAUGUCCGUAUCAAUCUCUCAACGUUGAAAUACUUAAUUUCCAGUGGUUUUAUGAUAUGGGUUCUGCUCAAUUUUAUUGCUUUCAUCGAAUUUUUGUUCGGUGUGUUGGGAUUACUGAAUUGUUGGAAAUGGGGUUUGAUCAUUUUUCUGACAUUUGGGGAUUUAAACCUCAGUUGGGGUUAUUCGAUUUUUACUUUUAAAUUGAAAUUUAUAUCGAUUCGUGGUUGAUAAUUUGAUACAAUACUGUGUAUUAUGUGUUUCUUCCUGAGAAUUUUGUUUCUUGCGAAAUGAACAAUGUAAGUUUGGUUAUUUGUUAGAUUGAAAUUCUUGGGUUUUUGUUUUAAUUCACACCUCACAAGUUAUGCAGAUUACCCAAUAUUGAUAUAUGGGGUCCACCAUCCACGACCCCCUUUCCAUUGCUAAAUGCUAAUUCUACUCUUUAAUAGUUUUCUAAGUAAAGGUACUGUUAUCAGUAAAGUUGGGAAGUUUAGAUUUUUACUGAUAUCUGCAUUGCCAUUUUUCAGUUUGGUAAUCAAUUUAUCAAAACAAAUUCUUGUCUGAUAUGUGAUGAUUUAUGAAGAGUCGUAUAUUCGCGGAAGUACUUUACAAAAAGUUUUGAUUUUAUGUAUACAUGCAUCCUUGUGACUCUGUUAGUUUUUUAUUUUCAGAUUGUAUUUCUGGAACGGUUGCUUUGAAUUGAUUGUAAGUCGUCUAGCUUUGACUUAGCUUACAGUACGUCAAGGUCUUUUACCCUAUGGCUCGGAAGGGUAACCAACAGAAGAAUGCUGUAGAUCACCAGACAUCAAAGCACAAAAAGAAGGGUCCAGAUUCAGGGUGUACACUAGGAGAAACGAAAGGGCAUGGGAAAGCAAGUGAGGUGAAAGUUUUCCCUGGAGAAGAACUGCCAAAUGGUGACCAGCCAAGCAGUCCUCUUUCAGCCAGUUCGAGUAAAACCAAUCAUCCUGUGGAGGAGAAUAAAAGCAAACAAAAAUCUGGAAAGUCUUUGAGGAAAGAGAAGCAAGGUAUGGAUGCAAUGCAGGGUCCAGAGGAGUCAAGUUCUUUACGGAGUGAUUUAGGAGAUUGCAACGUAAACAAUGAAGCUCCAAGCAUGAGAGAAGAAAAUGGAACAUUACCUCCGAGCCACUUACGCCGAAAACAUACAAAAAGAAAAUCUGGUUCCUCUCUGAAUAGAUGGCAUAUGAGAACUUUGAUGGCUUGGUUAGAGUUUUCAGAUACCCGAUUGUUUAGAAACUUGAAGGCAUCAGCAUUGCCAUUCUUGAAGAUGGCUAGUGAAUGGUUGCAGAGGCACGAGCCAAUGUUUCUUACUGUAAAAAGUACGGCACUAUAUGCCCGUGAUUAUGUCAAAACAAAGUUUGAGCAGGCAUAUCCAAUUGUUUUGAAGUGGCUUAUGCAGUUUGGGGGUAUAUUGUUUCUUUUAUCAAUGGCCUGGUUGGAUUGUACCGUAAGGGGCAUUGAUAGCUUAGCUCGGAUGGGAACAACAUCCUUCUUUUCAGUUAUAUGGUGCAGCAUUCUCUCAGUAGUUGCUAUGGCCGGGAUGUUCAAGUUUCUGAUUGUAUUGGUAAGCCCUAGUAUUGCUACGUUGCUACGGACCACUCACCUCAUUAUAACUUACAGUCUCUUUGGCUGGGAUGUUUAUAAUUAUAGUUGGCUUUAUUUUUUCUACUUGUUUUUUCCCAACAAAAUGUACCUGUUUUGAGUCCCUUCGUCCUUUUAAACCUCCCUGGUUCCUAAUGUUUAUUUCUCACUUGUUGAACAUCCAAACUUUUAUGUAUGUGUCCUUAUUAAUAGUUAUCUGUUUUUUGCAAUGGGUGAGGCGGAUGGGUGAGUUUAAGAGUAUCUGUUAAAGUUUGCAUUAGUAUGCUCUCAUACAUAUUGAAUAAACUCCCAGGUCUUUGCUGCUUUAAUUGGACUUUUCGUUGGGUUAAUGCUCUCGAUUUUGGUGGUUGCUUUUUGUGGAGCUCUUUUGUUGUGGUUCUAUGGAAGCUUUUGGACAACAGGAUUUGCAAUCUUCUUAGGAGGUGAUUCUUUUACCUCCUUUCAAGUGCAGAUCAUCUAUUUCAAUUUUCAAGUAUGCAUAUUUCUUCAUCACAGCUUGCUGAGCUUUGACAUUCUUCAACAUUCAGGUUUGGCAUUCACACUGAGCCAUGAGCGUAUUGCCCUGUCCAUUGCCACUGUGUAUUCAGUUUAUUGUGCUUGGACAUAUGUUGGAUGGCUGGGUUUGCUUUUGGGGUUGAAUUUGUCUUUUAUCUCAAGUGAUUGUCUGAUAUAUUUCCUAAAGAACAACGUAAAUCAGCAGAGAAGACCCAACGGAUCCCCUGAACAAACAUCUGGAAUUCCAGGUCAACCAGACUUCUUUAACAGUGAGCAGGCACAUGCUUCAUCCUCCGAAAAUGUUCCAUUGUUUUCUGCCGAUCGUAGCCAAGGAGUACCCUCAACCAGUAGCACUGAUUCUGAGAUAACCUCUGAAGAUGAAGUUGUUCGGCUGUUAAACUGUACUGAUCACUAUUCCGCAUUAGGAUUUUCUCGAUACGAAAAUGUAGAUGUUUCUUUACUGAAGCGGGAGUACAAGAAAAAGGUAAGUGCCAUUCUUUCUUUGCUCUAAUAAGCAUGAAAAGGGAUCUUUUCCUGACUUCUUUGUUGUUUCUUGUUAUGUUAUUCUCUUGGAAGCUUCAAGAUUUGUAUGGCCAAGCAUUGAGUCUGAGAUCUAACUUUGUUUGGUGAAUGAUGACCUUUAUCUUUCCAAAGAGUCGUUUACAUAUAUAGAAGUACUGCUUCUGGAUAACAUGCUGUACUGUUCUGUUAAUAUAUUUCUUUUGCUUUAACAAGUUUGUUAUAUUUCUUAUCAGGCAAUGUUGGUCCAUCCUGAUAAAAAUAUGGGAAAUGAAAAAGCUGCUGAAGCUUUCAAGAAACUUCAGAAUGCAUAUGAGGUGAUCAUUCGAUGUCCAUGGAGAUUUUUUCUAUGAUUGAUUUGAUUAUGAUUCUGAUUGUACCACUGGCCCUUUUUGCUCCCAUAUUUUCUAGAUUUUGCUUGAUUCCUUGAAGCGAAAAACAUAUGACGACGAAUUAAGGAGAGAGGAACUGCUGAACAUUUUCUGUAGAUUUCAAAGUACUUCACAAAAGGUAAUAUAUAUCUAAUUUUUAUGCUUUCUUGUAAUUGGUUUUAGAAUUCAAUUUUUUUUUACCAAUCUCUUCCAUAUCCAUGAGGAAUGUAAGAAGGGGUUGAUAAUUGACAGUGAAGCCUGUCAGUCGGUUCCCGGGAUCCUUUCAUUCAACUUUGUGAUUAACUUUUGAAUUGUUAGCAGAAGCUUAUGUUGUUUUGGAUACAUCCCUUUGCUAUGGCUUCUGCUAGGAAUUAGUUGUUCAUUUACUGAAUAUAGUUCUGAGGGAUGUCAAGUAUUACGUGUUCUAAAUUUUUCCGCCUUACCUAAUAUUGCAAUGUGUUUCCUAGAAUGGAGGGCAUGGUGUCUUUCCCCUGGAUUUGCACACCCGGAAGCCGAUGGUGAAGACCCAUUUGGGGAUUCAAGGAGAAUCUCCUGCAAUAAGUGCGGCAAUUUUCAUGUCUGGGUGCUCACCAGGAAAUCAAAAUCUCAAGCACGGUGGUGCCAGGUUUUCGUUUACCUUUAAAGCGUUUAAUGAUGUUCUAUUAGUUUGCAUCUAUCAAAGAGGGUUUAGCAUCUUUAAAGAUGAUGCUGUUAGAGAUUUUUUUCGCCUGGUGCUGAUGUCCUCCUCUUUGUGGAAUUUCUCUUUUGACAGGAUUGCAAAGAUUUUCAUCAAGCAAAAGAUGGUGAUGGGUGGGUUGAACAAUAUUCCCAACCCUUCUUCUUUGGAAUGUUGCAGAAGGUAUGUGCAUUUAUAUAUGCUGGAGAAAGGUUGCUUUAGAAUUCUGCGUUAAAAGAGAAUAAAAAAGAAUUAUCACCAGUACAAUUAUAGUUGCUGAAAUUUACAUAAUGCAAGAUCAUCCUUUUUUAAACAAUGUUGUAUGUGCAGAUAGAUGCUCCAUCCGCAUUUGUUUGUGCUGAUAGCAAGAUAUACAAUGCUACUGAGUGGUAUAUUUGCCAGGUAAUUAAUUCAAUUUGAACUAUUUUACCAAGUUUAUCAUGGAUAUUCUUUUUCCUUUAGAAUAACACUCAUGCCGCCUUCUGCACCCACACACAGUUUUUGUCACAUUGAAAGCAGAUGUGCAUGAAGCUCAAUUUUGUUGUAGGGUAUGAGAUGUCCAGCCAACACUCACAAGCCAAGUUUUCAUGUUAACACUAGUGUGACCUCUAAGCAUAAUACUGGAAAGGGAACAAGUUCGGGGCAAACAGGAGGUCGGAUGCCAACAUCGAACUUGGAAGAAAACAUGACAGAGGAAGAAUUCUUUGAGUGGUUACAGAAUGCAGUGCAAACUGGCACGUUUGAAAAUUUUGGUACCGGCACCUCCACUGAGAGCCCAUCUGCCAAAUCUGCACCUGGUACCAAGAGCGGUGGCAGCACCAGUGGCAGUGCUAACAAGAGAAAGAAAAAGGGAAAGAAAUGGUGAGUAUCCAAGUUGCUCCGUUUGUUUCGCACUAUCUAAGCAUUAGUGAUACUGAUUCCUGAUAAGAAAGUUCAUAUGUUCAAUGUUGGCCUGUUGUUUUUUUUUUUUUUUUUUUUUGUCAGAAGAGAUGCCUGAGGAAGUUUGACAUCAUUAAUCAUAAGUAUAGAAUCCAAUCACCAUUAGUCUGCAACACCGGAGAGCUUGUAUUACCGUCUCAUCAUUCUUAAUCGUCUUCAUUUCUUCCAUUAUUUCCCCAUUUUCACAAGAACGUGGACCGCUAUAAGAAAAUUCGAGCUGCCAAAAAUUAGGGUAGUUUACAUUUUCGUGGCGGGUCAAGGCAAUAAUGUUGUUGCACUGCCUACAUUUUGCACUUGGGUUUGUGUAGGGAGAGAAACUGGUUGGACGCAAGGAGUGAUGAAAAAGCAAGUGAUGUUGGGCAGUGCAUUACUAUGUAUAUGGAGUUUAUGAAACCAUGUAAUCUGAUGGUUAGCUAUUUACCUCAUGGGAUGAACCCUAACGAAUAUGAUAAACCGGGACGGAGUCGAUGUACUCCUUGUUAUGCUCCCGAUAUGAUCACUUUGGUGGUUCAGCUUUGAAAUUGUGGUGUCGGAAUUGGUUUUUCGAUCUCCGAUGUGAAUUUGAUUCUUGACAGGGCACCUAAUUAGGGUGGCAAUGGAGAUUGAAAUGUAUUGAUGCUAAUCCGCCCUUGUUGCUAGUUAAAUUUUGGACUUGAAAAACGACCCGUUUUGUACAUUGGGUUCGCAAGGGCGAAACCAUGCUUAGACUAGGUUGAGCUACCGUCUGGGACAAAUUUUUUGAACAAAUAAAGAGAAUUAUUAUUAACGCUUCAAAAUUUAACUAUGCUUUUAAAAAAAUUAGCCCAUCUCACCAAGCAAAAUUGGUUCAUUUCACCCUAAUUUUUUUUGUUUUCUCUAUCCCACUCGACCCCACCAGGCCUUGAACCUGGGGCCUAAUCUGCCCCAUGCCUUACCCACACCCUCACCACUAGGCUAUUCCUAGUGGUUCAUUUCACCCUAAUUGAUCGUAGAUGGAGAAAAAGAAAAGUUAUUUCAAGUUCUGUCCUGGAGUUAGUUAUGUCAUUAGGUGGCUAAUACGAUAUUGUUCUAUUCUUAUAGUCCUAUUUAUUUUUCGACUAAGGUCAGUCGAUUAAAAUAAUGAGUCAUCCAUUUUAUAAAGAAAAAAAAACCUAAAAAGUCAGAAGAAAAAGAAUUAAAACAAAAUCGAUAAAGAAGGAAAACCAAUUAACUAGACCGUUGGAUAUCUACCACGAAGAACUAGAUGAAUCAAACGGUGGACCAGGAUAACCUUACAGACGGACAGGAUUUAACCAUCAAGAUAUAACUCUAUCGAAAUUACGAAACCACCCCUUUUCCUUCACUUGUAUCGCAAAUCGCAUAUCCUCGCCGGGUCUCUCUCCGCUCCAAAGCAGCUUCAAUGGGGGCACUCAUACACUCCUUCUCUGUAGCUUCUCUCACUCCAACGGCUCUAGAACUGGUCUGCAAAAAUGGGCCCUCCUCCAAAAACCAAAAUUCAAGCUUUCAAUUCUCAAAUGGGUUCUCUUCGUUUUCUUCUCGUCGGCCAUUUCCAGCUCAGAAGGUCCCAGUCAGAGUCAGAAGGUCGGUGAUUGUUUUUGCAAAGAAGAACAGCAACAAGGAGAAGAAGAAGGAAGACAACCACAGCUUUGCAUCGAAACCGGAUGAGGCCACUGGGCCUUUCCCUGAAUCUGUGCUGCUUAAACAGGUUCCCUUUCGUUUAUAUUUAUACACAAACUCCAUAUUUCUUUUACUCCUUUUCACUUCUUUAUUUUGGGUUUAUGGAUUUUUUUAUUUUGUAACUUUGGCUUCUGAAAUUCAAAGACGUUUGAGUGCGACCCUUUAUUUUUUGGCUGCUGUAGAAUGCUCAAAAUUUGUUAUUUGGGAUUUAAAGUUAGUAAAAUUCUUGUUUCUGAUUACAUUUAAAGUGUGGGCUUCUGAGGGGUUUCUUUUGUUUUGUUUUGUUUUGUUUCUUGGGAUUAUUGUGUUUCACCAUUCGCGUAUGAGCCUUGCGUUCUGAAAGAAUUGAGCCUUGCGUUCUGAAAGAUUUUAUUUUUCUUGAAAUUUUAAAUGAAGGUGGAUAAGAUAAGAUUUUUUGGGUUGCUUAAGUUUAUUUGUGGUUGGUUUUGAGAUGAGACUUUGUUAUGAAUUGCAGAAGAAAGUUCAGGAAGAUGGUAACCUUCUCCCUGAGUUUGCAGAUGCCGAAGAAGGUAAGCUAUCAUGAUUCAAACGGACUGCUGCUUUUCGAAAGGAAUGGCGAUUGCCCUUUUUUCCGAAGAAUGAUUCGGGGCCUUGCAGUUAUUGAUUUUGUUUUCAUUUCUAUGCAGAGAAGGUGUAUGAAUUUUUGAAGCUUCAGCUGCAAAGCGAUUUGAAUGAGGAGCGAUGUAAGUGCGGUUCAUGCUCAUUUUUCUUGCUAAGCGGAUUGCCUCUUGGUUUGACUUGUGUGAUUGAAAUGGUGAAAGAAAUUGUCUUCUAAUAGUUCAUAGAACAAAUGGAAAAUAUUAUUUAGUGUUUAACCAUGGUUGGUUGGUUAUAACUUAUUGUUUCCCUUGUUACAGUGCGCCACUAUGAGCUGGUUUAUCUGAUUCAUGAGAAACAUGCCGAAGAGGUUGGGAGUGUCAAAGAGAAAAUUGAAGGUUAGUUUUUCACUUCUAACUCUCUUAGUAAUGUCUCCGUGAACUUCGAUAGAUUCACAAUGAACUUUGAUGCAGGCAAAAUUUUCUCUUCUAACUCUCUUUGUAAUGUAUCUGUUAUUACUGAAACAAAUAUGAUAGGUCCUGUUAGACCGAGUCGUUAGUUUGUUUGAAGUCUUGUAUUUGGUUUCAAAGACUGUUUGUUUGAAGUCUUGUAUUUGGUUUCCAAGACUUCUCUCUUCGGAGUUGGAUAGGCUUAGGACUUUAUGUAAAUAGGGUUUUCAAACCCUGAAUGUAAUCUGUAUAUUGGCUAUAAAUAUACGCAACCCAAGUCUUUCUGGGUAUGCAAAGUUGAUGUGAAACAACCCUCUUGUCAAAUAUACAAAACCUGCAGUUCUUAAGGUUGUAUACGGUACAUAGAGCGUUUUGAGUCCAAUGACAACGUGGGAUUCAAUGGCUAGUUGUAUCCGAAAAGAAGCAAAAGAGGUAUUAGGAGAGUCCAAGGGCUUUGCCCCACACCAAAAGGAAUCUUGGUGGUGGAAUGAGGAGGUACAAACAAAGGUGAAGGCUAAGAAGGAAUGUUGUAAAGCCUUAUACAAGGAUAAGACCGAUGAAAAUGGUGAAAGGUAUAGAAAAGCGAAGCAAGAGGCGAAGAAAGCUGUGAGAGAAGCUAAGUUAGCGGCUUAUGACGAUAUGUAUAAGCGACUAGAUACCAAAGAAAGAGAGUUGGAUAUCUAUAAACUAGCUAGAGCAAGGGAAAAGAAGACAAGGGACCUAAACCAAGUGAGGUGCAUCAAGGAUGAGGAUGGAAAGGUUCUUGCUACAGAGAACGCGGUUAAAGACAGAUGGAAAGGUUAUUUUCAUAAUCUUUUCAAUGAAGGACAUGAAAGGAGUGCUUCUUUAGGGGAGUUGAGUAACUCAGAAGAGUGUAGAAACUACUCUUUUUAUCGUAUAAUCCGGAAGGAAGAAGUGGUUGUAGCUUUGAAGAAGAUGAAGCAUAGAAAAAGCAGUAGGCCCAGACGAUAUACCAAUCGAAGUGUGGAAAGUUUUGGGAGAGACAGGUAUAACAUGGCUCACUGACCUUUUCAAUAGGAUUUUGAAAACGAAGAAGAUGCCAAAUGAGUGGCGAAUGAGCACUUUGGUGCCUAUCUACAAGAAUAAGGGCGAUGUACAAAAUUGCAUGAACUAUAGGGGUAUUAAGCUAAUGAGUCAUACAAUGAAGCUCUGGGAGAGAGUCAUUGAGCAUAGAUUGAGGCAAGAGACACGGGUUUCGGACAACCAAUUCGGGUUCAUGCCAGGGCGCUCAACCAUGGAGGCAAUCUAUCUCUUACGAAGAUUGAUGGAAAGAUAUAGAGAUGGGAAAAAGGAUUUACACAUGGUCUUUAUAGAUUUGGAAAAAGCGUAUGAUAGGGUCCCAAGAGACAUUCUUUGGAGGAUUUUAGAGAAGAAAGGAGUACGAGUAGCAUAUAUCCAAGCUAUACAGGAUAUGUAUGAAGGAGCAAAGACUGCCGUAAGAACUCAUGAAGGACAAACCGAAAGCUUUCCCAUAACUGUAGGAUUACAUCAAGGCUCAUCCUUAAGUCCUUACCUUUUUGCGUUGGUAAUGGAUGAGUUAACAGGACAUAUUCAAGAUGAUAUUCCUUGGUGUAUGCUUUUCGCAGACGAUAUAGUGUUGAUAGAUGAAACUCAGGAAAGGGUAAAUGCAAAAGCUUAACCUUUGGAGAGAAGUGUUGGAAUCUAAAGGUCUUCGCCUAAGCCGAUCAAAGACAGAAUAUAUGGAGUGCAAGUUCAGUGCAAAUGGAGGCCAAAACGAGUUAGGGGUGAGGAUCAGAGAUCAAGAAAUACCAAAGAGCGACCGUUUUCGUUACCUAGGAUCUAUCUUGCAAAAGAACGGAGAAUUAGAUGGAGAUCUCAACCAUAGAAUACAAGCUGGAUGGAUGAAGUGGAAGAGUGCAUUCGGCGUGUUGUGUGACCGCCGUAUGCCACUGAAGCUCAAGGGAAAAUUUUAUAGGACGACAAUAAGGCCAGCGAUGCUGUAUGGCACAAAAUGUUGGGCGGUGAAGCAUCAACACGUACACAAAAUGGGUGUAGCGGAGAUGAGGAUGCUUCGUUGGAUGUGUGGGCACACGAGAAAGGAUAAGAUUAGGAAUGAGGAUAUCCGGGGUAAAGUAGGAGUAGCCGAAAUUGAAGGAAAGAUGAGAGAGAAAAUCGGUUACGGUGGUUUGGACAUGUGCAAAGAAGGCCUACUGACGCUCCGAUUAGAAGAUGCGACUAUGGGACAGAGGUUCAGGGCCGAAGGGGUAGAGGAAGACCUAGGAAAACUUUGGAAGAGACCCUAAGAAAAGACUUAGAGUACUUGGAUCUAACGGAGGACAUGACACAGGACAGAACACAAUGGCGUUCUAAGAUUCAUAUAGCCGAUCCCACUCAGUGACUUGGAUUUUCCAAGUCUCCAACCGAGAAGUUUUCCUCACUCGGGAAAUUAAGGGAACACUACCUCAACCUACAUGCUCCACUCACAAAGCUUCAACAUACAAGCUUCAAAAAAAAGAAAAAUUCAAAGAACUUAGCGAAGAAGGCUUUGGUGUAUUUAACACAAUACGUUGAAAUGAAGGAAAGUUUAUUUAUUGAUAUCCCCGAUAAGUUACAAAUAUGUACAUAUACUUGAGUCAAAAUAAACAAACAAGAGGGAGCCUUCACAAAGGUUGCUUAGGAGAAGUCUCAGCAGUCGGUAGAGCCCCAGAAAGAGAAGGCACCGGAGGGGGAUCAUUCGGAGCCUCAGUACUGGACAAAACCCUAGAAGAAGGAGGCAUCAGAGGUUGAUCAUUUGGAGCUUCAUUACGCGGUACAGCCCCAGAAGACGAAGGCAAUAAAUGCCUUUGGAACAAACCCACAAAUCUCUGAUGAUCAAGUAAAACCUGACCAUCAGAUUCCUUCAUCUGGUCAAGCUUCCUCUUCAUGUUUGUAGCAUAGUCAUGUGCGAGCCGGUGCAACUGUUUAUUCUCAUGCUUGAGCCCUCUAAUCUCCUGUUUGAGACUCAUCACUUCAGCCGCCAAUGAUUCAACUUGGUGGGUUCGAGCAAAUAGGCGUUGGGCCAUAUUAGACACAGAACCUGCACACUGAGCACUGAGAGCCAGAGAAUCCUUAAUAGCCAACUCAUCAGACCGUUUGGAAAGUAGUCUGUUAUCUUUGGGAGUAAGAAGGUUCCUGGCCAUUACCGCAGUGGUCAUAUCAUUCUUCAUCACGGAAUCCCCAACGGUAAGAGGACCAGUAGGGGAAACGAAGGAUGGGCGCCAUAUGUUGUCUGGAGAAGGCGGGGCUGCCUCUUCAACAAGGUUCAAGUCAAAACGACGGUCGGAGGGGCCAGACAUUUUCAAAGGUGUUGAAGAGAGAAGAGGUCGGACAAAUCAAGAUCUUAGAAGUGCAAGAGAGCUUCUACUGGUGGAUAUUCAAGUGUGCUUUGGAACUUAAUGUCAGCCCCUAUAAAAAUCUGCACUCGACGAAGCUUCAGAAAUCGAAGAGGCACCUGCUCAGAAAUCGAAGAGGCGUUUGCUUUCUCAAAAGCUGGGCUGCUCAGAGACCACGAGGGUCGAUCUCAGAAAUCGAAGAGGCGUUUGCUUUCUCAAAAACUGGGCUGCUCAAAGACCACGAAGGCCGAUCUCAGAAAUCGAAGAUGCUUGCUUUCUCAAAAGCUGGGCUGCUCAGAGACCACGAGGGCCGAUCUCAGAAAUCGAAGAGGAACCUACUUUUCCAGCCUUGUCAGCACCUGUCACACGCACACUCAGCUUUGCGGAAAUUAUGGGCAUUAUGUCGAAGAUUUCUGGCGAAGUAGAAAGCACAUGAAUCGUACUGUUCAAUCACCCACUUCCCACACGCAACAGUAACUCAUGGGUACCACAGAUAACUUUGCCAAAGUUCUCUGACAAAGUUGAGACACGUGAAGCUUGCAGCUCCCGCUACAUCGCUCUGACCAAGAAGGGUAAAAGAAUUGCAAAGAAACAACACUAACAAAGUUUAGACACAUAAAUUUUGAAGGUCUAGCUACCAUAUUAUUACCCAUAAGGGUAAAGGAACAGUACCACUGCUGGAUAAUUGGAAAGUCCCGGUGUGUCAACCUCUGUGCUUCGUGGCAAGGUAGACUAGCAAACAUGCCCAACCUUUACUCACAUUCGAGAAAACACUCCCAACAUGAUUGCUUGCUCCAAAAUCGAAGAGGCACCGCCCUCCGAAUCUCGAGAGCCAGACUCCCAACAUGAUUACUUUCUCAAAAAUCGAAGAGAGGGUAAAGGAACAGUACCACUGCUGGAUAAUUGGAAAGUCCCUGUGUGUCAACCUUUGUGCUUCGUGGCAAGGUAGACUAGCAAACAUGCCCAACCUUUACUCACAUUCGAGAAAACACUCCCAACAAGAUUGCUUGCUCCAAAAUCGAAGAGGCACCGCCCUCCGAAUCUCGAGAGCCAGACUCCCAACAUGAUUACUUUCUCAAAAAUCGAAGAGAGGGUAAAGGAAUAGUACCACUACUGGAUAAUUGAAAAGUCCCUGUGUGUCAACCUCUGUGCUUCGUGGCAAGGUAGACUAGCAAACAUGCCCAACCUUUACUCACAUUCGAGAAAACACUCCCAACAAGAUUGCUUGCUCCAAAAUCGAAGAGGCACCGCCCUCCGAAUCUCGAGAGCCAGACUCCCAACAUGAUUACUUUCUCAAAAAUCGAAGAGACACCGCUCUCCGAAUCUCGAGAGCCAGACCCCCAGCAGGAUUGCUUUCUAAAAAAUCGAAGAGGCAUCGUUCUCCGAAUCUCGAGAGCCAGAUCCCCGACAGGAUUGCUUGUUCGAAAACCGAAGAGGCACCACUUUCCCAACUUCAAGAGCUGGAUCUCCUUGGAUAAAGCUUGUCUGUAAUCUUCACACGCAACAUCAGCUUUCGAGAUACCAUAGACCACUUUUUCAAAGUGCUCUGACAGAGUUAAAACAUGUUAAGCUGGCAGCUCCCACUACCGUGCUAUGACCAAGCAGGGUAAAGGAAUAGCAUUAUUACUUGAUGUUAGGGAGACUCCUAUAUAUGUCGACCUCCAUCCCUAACGGACAGGCAGACCUGCAAAAAUGCUCAACCCUUUCUCUUAUCUGAGAGGGCACUCCCAACGAAGCCUUUCGAAAUAUUCAGCUUUCUUUCCCCCCGAUAAUACCUCUGUAAACAAGCUAUACUAGAGCAAGAAUAUCUCAUAUCAUCAGGGUUAAAAGCAAGAGUAUCCCAUAUCAUGCUUUUUCCCUGUCUUUUCCUUUGGCCUUGUUCUUACCUGCAAGACAAGGAGAAAGAGAGCAAUCAGUCAGCACUUGGAAUCAAGCUUCCAGCCAGGAACUGACUGCCUGGAACCCCUUACCUGAUUACUUACCUGGCAUUACUCUCGAGUACUCAUCUUCAACAUCUUAUGCUUCCAGGGAAGAUACCGCAUCUGCCUGAGGGGAACAGAUAGGGCAAGUGAGAAGGAUACAAGGAAGCAUGUGGAGACAAGCGUAACAGCACACGUGCCGAUACAUCCACUACUCUGUCAAAAGCAAAAGUAUCCCAUAUCAGCAGGGUCGAACGUACUCUAGAUUUGAUGGACUUGUUUUGACCCUCAAAUUCUUCAGUCGACCUUAUACUCUGGAGGAAACCAGAAAACCCUCCAGCCCGGUUCAAGAAUAAGCCUGUGGAAAGUUACUUCUUCAAAAGCAAAAGUAUCCCAUAUCAUCUCUUCUCAUUUUUCUUCUCUUUAUCCUUCAUGCUGCCUACAAGAUAGGGAGAAUGUGAACAAUUAGCCGGAGCUCUGAUUGCUUACCUUGUCUGUCACCUCUUUCAGCAGAUCCCCUAGCCCGGCGACUUGGGGGACUCCUACUACAUGGUUUGUAUCGCGCUUGACCAAGCCUGAAACUACAAGUAAGCUUCAAGUGAAAUUGAUACAUUACCUUGUGCAUCUCCACCAAUUACAGAUACCACCCCUGGAUGGAGAAAGAGUACUUCCAGAGAAGAUGCCACAUCUACCUAUGAGACAGAUAAGGCAAGUCAAGACGAUACCACACUCCGGUACUUAGAAGUUUCGUGGUUACGAGAUCAUUCUCCCACAAUAUUUCCUAAUGUCAUUUGUACUAAAUCAUUCACUUGUACUCACUAAAGGAGAGCUUGAACCUAUGUACUUGUGUAAACCCUUCACAAUUAAUGAGAACUCUUCUAUUCCGUGGACGUAGCCAAUCUGGGUGAACCACGUACAUCUUGUGUUUGCUUUCCUAUUUUUAUCCAUUUAUAUACUUAUCCACACUAAUGACCGGAGCAAUAUAGCGAAGAUCACAAAAAGUGACCGUUUUCGCUACCUAGGAUCUAUCUUGCAAGAGAACGGAGAAUUAGAUGGAGAUCUCAACCAUAGAAUACAAGCUGGAUGGAUGAAGUGUAAGAGUGCAUCCGGCGUGUUGUGUGACCGUCGUAGGCCACUGAAGCUCAAGGGAAAAUUUUAUAGAACGGCAAUAAGGCCAGCAAUGUUGUAUGGCACAGAAUGUUGGGCGGUGAAGCAUCAACACGUACACAAAAUGGGUGUAGCGGAGAUGAGGAUGCUUCGUGGGAUGUAUGGGCACACGAGAAAGGAUAAGAUUGGGAAUGAGGAUAUCCGAGGUAAAGUAGGAGUAGCCAAAAUUGAAGGAAAUAUGAGAGAAAAUCGGUUCCAGUGGUUUGGACAUGUGCAAAGAAGGCCUACUGACGCUCCGGUUCGAAAAUGUGACUACGGGACAGAGGUUCAGGGCCGAAGGGGUAGAGGAAGACCUAGGAAAACUUUGGAAAAGACCCUAAGAAAAGAUUUGAGCACUUGGAUCUAACGGAGGACAUGACACAAAACCGAGCGCAAUGGCGUUCUAGGAUUCAUAUAGCCGACCCCACUUAGUGGGAAAAGGCUUUGUUGUUGUUGUUGUUGUUGUUCCAAUUGUCCACUACCUUCUACCAUGUCGUCAGAAGUUAACACCAAUGCCACCAACUCCAGCAACACCACCACCAAUCCCAACAACCUUAACCCUACCCCACCACCUACAAUCAAUCCCUUUUCCUCCGCAAUGACCACCAUCGUUAACAUUAAGCUGGAUCGAACCAACUAUCCUUUGUGGUUGGCACAGAUUCUUCCUAUCCUGAAGAGUCGAGAUUUGAUGGGAUACGUGGAUGGCUCCUGUGUUUGUCCUCCAAAGCAUCUCGCUGGAGAUACAGCAGUCAAUCCCGCGUACACUAGCUGGGUGCAACAGGACCAAAUGAUCCUUAGUUGGAUCAAUGGUUCGCUCACCGCCUCUGUACUGUCCACCGUGGCAAGCAAACGCACUUCGCGUGCAACCUGGGAGGCUCUGGAGCAACGCUAUGCGUCAUCUUCACAAAACAGAAUCUUGUUCUUACGAAAUGAGCUGCUACAAACCAAAAAAGGUGACCUCUCUGUUGCUGAUUUCCUUGACAAAAUGAAUUCUAUUUCUGAUAACCUUGCCCUAGCUGGCAAGCCUGUUGAUGAUGAUGAGUUAGUUCAGAUUAUUCUUAAUAAUCUGGGACCGGCUUUUGAAAUGACUGUGAAUGCUGCGCAAGCACGUGAUACUCCUAUCACGUACCCUACUUUGGAGGCUCUUCUUCUCACUACUGAGAGGAGAAUGGUGGAGCAGACUGUUCCCUUGGUUGAAACUGCUCCAGUGAAUGCAUAUGUCGCUGCAAGAAGACGUGGUGGUGGUCCGUCCAAUCGUGGUUCUUCUCUGUCUCAGCGAGGGGGUGCCCCUUGCAACGGAAACAACAGUAACAACAAUCAACGUGUGCAGUCUGCAGACAGGUUUCCCUGCUACAUGUUGAUCUGUGAGGGUGUCACAUUUGGGGAGUGGUGAAAUUUUUUCAUGAACGUGGUUGGAUAGCUUUUUUGUUUUUAUUUUUAACAUUAUAAUUUCUUUUUCCACCUAACAUGGCAAGUGAGCUUGUAAUUGAUAGAAUUUCAUCUAUCUAUAAGUAUUGCUUAGAUUGAACAUUUGAAUAGCAACUUGCUAACGUUCUAUUCUACUGAUGAAGCGUAUACUUAUCGGAAUUCUUGUAGCAGGAAGUUCCCUUUACCCUUUUGAGCUGCAUUUGAAAUAUAUCAACAAAGUUAUAUUGAAGUUUAUCUAUGAAUUACUUGCAGAGUUUCUAGCGGAGAAGAAGGCCAGGAUAUGGAGAGUGAGCAAUUGGGGAAUGCGAAGACUAGCAUACCAAAUAAAGAAAGUGAAGAACGCUUACUAGGUUUUGAUGAACGUUGAGAUGGAAGCCAAAUGGAUAAAUGACUGUAAGACCAUGCUAGACAAGGAUCAAAGAGUCAUUCGGCAUCUUGUGAUUAAGAGGGAUGGCAAUCACAGAAGACUGCCCUCCUCCUCCCGAGUUUCACACCCUCGGUGGAGGUACAGAUUCUGAUGAAGAAGAAGAGGAUGAUAUGGAGUAUGAUGACGAAGAGUAUGAAGAUGACGAUGAAGACGGGAUUAUUAUCGUCGACGCUGACAAUGAUAUAGAAGGAAAUAGGGAACAAAGAAGGGUAGAACAACUAGUGUAGGAAAACCAGGAUUGACAAGAAAACUGAGGGCAGGGAGGGAAAGUGAGAAAUGUUUUUGUAUAAAUUUGUGUAACGUUUCAAACAAUAGAUUAUAUUUAAGUUCCAGCAUAUAAAAGAUUGUUUGGAUUUAUGUAUCUUAUUUGAUUUAAAACGUUACACAAAUAUAAUCUAUUGUUUUGAUUUGUGUAUCUUAUUUGAUUUAAAUUUAAGUAGCAUAUAAAAGUUUUGUUUGGAUUUGUGUAUUUUAGGGCUGGUUCGGUAUGGAAUCCCAAACCGAAAAUGGAAUCCCAAAUUCCAAAUCAAUUUUUUUCAGGACAAGAUUUUCGAAACCAAAAUCAAACCGAAAUUUCGGUAUUCUCGAAUUUUUUUUGGGAUUUCGGUAUGGUUCGAGAUUCAUCGACCUCUCAACUUCCCUGCCAACCCACACGGCCACACCUCAUCCCAGAUUCGUCGACCUCCCCACCCCCAUCUCCAUCCUUUUCAUUCCUGGGCUUGUGUUUGUUGCCUUCGGAAGUCGGAGGGCUUUGUGAAGUGCAUCGAACAGAAUCAGGUACUGAUCAUCAUCGAUGUGUGAGCUUUUCCAUGUCUUGCCAAACGAAAUCACCAUUAGAGGGCUACUCUGCUUUGCAAGCUUGCAGCAAUGAAUCUGAUGUCAGGGAAGAACGAUUGGGUUCCUCAGACGAAGGCUGCAAUGGGUAUGGUGUUUUGGGAAGAGCAGGUUGCCGGUGUGUCUGCUUUUGAAGAUUGAGAAAGCAUACGAAGGCUUGCUUCUGCAUUUGAGGGAGUCAGUGGAACUGUGGAAGGAGAGAGAGAGGGUUAUUGGUUUCAAGAAAUAAAAGAAAUAAGAAACCAUGACUUAUUUGAUGGUUUCAUGAAAGAAGAUGGUUUCUUAUCUAAUGAUUUCAAGAAAUAUGAAUAAAGAAAGAAGAAACUGUUGAUUUGAUUCCCAUGUAAGAGACUGGUAUAUAAAAAUAUCAUAACGCUGGAUAUUAAAUUUGAUUUUAUUUUUUCGAAGGUAAGAAUUUUAUUAAAUUGGAGUGGAGAUGUUUACAUCAGAAGCCAAUGUAUUAAACAACCAUUCAGGUUUAAGAUCAUUCCAACGAUGAAAGCCCCCUUCCCUUACCACAAACGAAACCAUUAGAUGUGCUGCUUUGUUAUACAUCUGAGGAGUGAAGAUAAAUUCUACUAACUAUGAAAGCCCCAUUCCUUUACCACAAACAAAGCCACUAGAUGUGCUACCUUGUUACAAGCUCGAGGAGCGAAUAUAAAUUCUACUGAUCCCACUCUUUGUAUGAUGCCAUAUUAAAUUCGAUUCAUAAAAUCGUGUAUGCCGUGCAUCAUAAGAUACCACCUAAUAUUGAAAGUAAUAUAAAGUUAUUUUGACUUGUGGUUCCGAAGUAGUUUUGUUUAGUUUGGUUUAGCUUAGUUUAAUUUAGUUUAGUUUAGUUUAGUUUAGUUUUGUUGCCUUACCUAGCUAGUGUUGUGGUCGCGCUACAAUGAUAUGGCUGGAUAUGGUUUUUGCAUUGAGCGAUGUGGUAUUUGGUCUCAUCUACCCAAGAUGACUUUAUAUGGUCUCCCUUCAGCAAUGACUUUAUGUGACCUUGCUAUUCGGUGGUGACCUUUUGCAGUUGCUGAUAUAAAUCUGUUAUAUCUAUCGUUCUAUGAUAGUUGUAUGGUGGCAUGUGAAAUUUUCGUACAUGUGGUAGCCGUCUAGGGGUUUACUAUUAUUGUCUUGCUUAAGCAAAUUCACCUCUAGAUCAUUUUCUUGGUCAGUGAUGUCGAUGCAAAUUUCCACCGUCUUCAGUCUUGACGAAAAUGCACCUGCAAAACAAUUAACACCUUUGGUCAAUGACCUAAGCCUCACACGCCCACGAGGUGGGAUGAGGGGUUAGGCUAAUGGAUCGGAUGCCUAAGUCAGUUUCUCUGAGGAGAAUAAAGUGUUCAGGGCUUUUUUAGGGUCGUAAAAGCUUUUGAAAUUUGGUAGAAUAUGAGGUAUUUAUAGGGAUAUGGCCGGCCAUAGUGUUAGGGUUUUACCCUACACAUGGCGGCAUCCUAUUGGCUAAGUGUUUUAUGGAGAAAUAUUCUCAAGAUAUUAAAUAGGAAAUAAUAUCUUGAGAUAAUGGAGUAAAUAUCCAUAAUUGAUUUAAAUUGGGAUUAUUUACUUGAUUGAAGUUAAUCUUCAAUUGGGAAUGUAUUAAAGAUAGGAUUUGGGUAAUUAAUCCUUAUCUUCAGGGGUGCGAGCUGCGCGUGGGAGCACCUAAGAAGCCUACCCAUUUAUUGAGGUCAAUCUUAUCUUUCUUGAGAAAAAGUCCACGUGUCACUUCUAGAAUUUUUGGGAUUAUUUUAGGCUCCACAAAUGCCCCCACACCUAUUAGGCUGCACGCAAGAAAAUGAUAGUAGGUGUAGAAAUCCUAAGCUGCUUGGGCUUGUAGAGUUGUUUCCCAAUUUGAACUUGAUAUCCUUUCUUGUUUUGGAGAUAGACUUCUUCUAGGAUUGCCCCCAAUACCUAUUUAAUUCUGCCUUAAGCAGGGGAUUAAAUAAAUUUGGAGAACAAUCUUCAUUCCAACAAGGAUGAGAAGCCAAAGAAAAGUUUUCUUCCCCCUUCCCUAGCUUUUUUCUUAUCUUGCCUUUGCAAAAAGUCAUCUCUUGUUGUUGUUCUUCUUCUCCGUGCCGAACCAAGGUAAGAAAAAAAUUUGAAUUUUCUUCUUCUUGAAUUUUGGAGAGUUUUGGGAUUUGAAAAAUAGGCUUGGCAGGGGCCGAGGAUGUGGGUGACACAUGGUAGGGAAGCCACGGGGCUGUUGGUGGUGCGGCAAGGGGAUCGGCUGGCGUGGGCUAAGUGGACGGCUCGGCUCAGGCCGAGGUGGCUGGGCGCUGGGGUGCGGAGAGGGGGAGAGGAGGCGUGGGCCUCCCUCUGUGUUAGGCCGUGCUGGUUGCAAGAGAAGAAGAGUCGGGUCCUGGGUCGUGAGGCUUGGCCUGCAGUUGGGCUCCUGCGACUUGGGCUUGGACUGAGAGAGAAUGUGAGGUUCGUGGGGCCUGGAGCAAGGGCGUUGGGCUCACGGUCCUUUUAUUUUAUUUUUUUCGAUUCUCUUCUCGCGAGCUACCUUCUAAAUAUUUUUCUUUGUACUUUUUGCAGAGACUUUGAGAUGUCUUCCUCCGAUAGAAAAAGUGACGAAUAUCCUCCACCUUUGUAUCGUCAAGGUGGUUCUUCUAGCAAGAUGGGCUACUCUAAGGCUGCACGUGUCAAGUUCAAUUCCGAUUAGCUGUUUCAGGAUUUCUCGAGGCGUACAAGCAUGCGAUUCCUUCAGAAGUUCUCGUCAAGCGGGUGAAAGAUGAAAAAGGCCAUGAACCAUGCGGUGAGGGUGCCACUGCUAGGAAGAUAGCUAUCAAAUUCCAUCCGUAUUACUUCAUGUUGGGAUUUACUUUUCCCAUGUCGUGUCUUUUCCAAUAGGUAAUCUACUCCAUGAAAUGGUUGCAUGUUCAGUGCUCCCCAAAAGCAGUUCAUGUGAUGAGAUUCUCAAACUUGAGCAGGUUCUUUGAUCUUGGCUUGACCAUAAAUGAGUUUUGGUACUUCUUCGAGAUUGGCCACAAGAAGGGCGUGGGGCAACUGAGGUCUCGUCAUAGACUGUUUGAUGUUUCUUGCACAUGUGCUCAUGGUUGGGCGAGAGACACCUUGGAGAUUAGUGGAGAGUGGGAGUCUGACUUUUCUCCUAAGCUGCGUGUUCUGACUAUCUUUAUCAGUGGUAAGUAAACUGCUUCAUUCUUGGCCUACUUGAAUUUUUGUUGAGUUGUUCCAUGGCUUCAGUUUACUGAUCGUCAUUCUUACUUUGUGUAGAUUCAAAAUUUGGCUCAACUCCAAGAACUUCGGCGAAUAAGAAGAAAGUGCACAUUGCCUUGGGCAUUCCUAUUGAGUACCGUGAGUGGCGCUAGCUGCUCAAUCAUCUUCGUCAGGAAAAAGGUGGGCUGCCUCCGAAUGAAGAGAUAAAGUGGAUAAAGGAUGAGGCGCUUGCUCGUCCGAUUGCUGCUGUAGAGCCUAUUGCUAAUGAAGGUGGAAAGAAGAGAUCUUCCUCACUUGCUUGUGAGCCUUUGGCCUCGAAGAAGCCGAUGACUUCUUCUACUGCUCACGGGGGUUCAUCUGCUGCUGUUAACCCUAAAAACUACUAAACCUACGUGGCGCGUAGGCCGAACAAUUAAUAAGCUAACUACGUCUUUUGGUUGUAUGCGGGGCAUGCCAACUCAUCAGCCGAAGAGUAAAAUAUGAUGAUGUUGCGUUGAGCGCGUGGUUGACUUCUUGAUCUUGCGACUACGGCCGAGGAAGGAACACUCUCGGUAUUCAGGUUCUAGAGCCUAAAGCUGCUAGUUCUGCGAAGUUCACAAAUCGUCGACGUCGGAUUCAGUCACGGUGAUUAUAUUCGUUAAAGUAUAAGCACGCUGAAUCGACACCAGACUAUAUGGGCAUAAGUACUCAAAACAAAUGUAUGUCUUGAUUGUGAAAGUGGUUCGGCCGUCAGAAUGCCGAACUCUAAAACCUACUUGUGAAUACCCAAUCAUAAAUAACUCGCCGAGUAUAGUAACUUGUAACACAUCGCUUCACCGAGAAGGCUAACGAGAUGACUUCUGCCAAUAAGGAUUUGAAAAUCCUUCUCGACCGAGACUUGGAUAGAUAACCAGUCGGCCAUGUUGUAGUGCUGUUAUCCAAACUGAAGGUGCUUCACAGUUGGCUGAUUCUACGGCAAUAGUGUUAUUUAUCCAAACUGAAGAUGUUCGCCGGUUACCUUCAUAGUGCUGUUUAUCCAAACUGAAGAUGUGUCAGCGAAAAAGGAAAACAAAAAUCUCAAGGUUGUUAAGAGGUUUUAUGUAGAGCAAGGGUUUGCGUAGGGCAGUUUGUAUGUUAAAUUGGAUGGGGUUUGUUCGAUGUCCUCCCUCCCUAUUUAUAGUAGCCAACCUGUAUUGAAUCCCAAUCAUUCUCGGAUUAGAACUCAUUUCCUCGAUCUAACCUUAUCUCAGCCAGUCCUACUCCUACUAGGACUUUGAACUUAACUCGUUAUCAGGCCGUAAUUAAUUUCAAACUCUAACAUCUUUAUCCUGUUGAAACUCCUUCUCAUAAUAGGACUUACCCACAUCCCACAGGUUCCCGACGGGAUAUGGCCAACUUCGACUACGCGGCCCAUGAGCUGGAUAACCCCUAACGACAUCUAAACAUGGCCUCUGGCCCGAGAACAAUUCUAAACUCGGCCCAACCAAUACUAGGCCGAGAACAAUUCUAAACUCGGCCCAAACCAAUAUUUUUAGGCCCAAACAUUGCCCCCUCGCUUCUGAGGUCGUCAAUCUAUACUCCUUGGUUUGAGCCUCGACCUUGAAGAAGUGAAACUGACUCUUGGGAACUACCACUAUGCGCAUUUAUGAGACAUAACCCCACGACCUUGAUUUCCCAACUGUUAGCCACAUGUCAACCCCCUGGUUACCCUAGCAGCCUUUAAUCAUAAUCCUCGAAAACAUGCGACCGCCGAAACAUCUCUUUUACACUAAACCCGCCGCAACAUGCAAUCAUGUGUCUUCAAACCGCGAAAACCUCGGUCUUCUCGCUUCAAUUUGUUGAGCAUGUAUAAUGAUUGGUAACUCUCCCACUUGAUUCUACCCUUGAUUUUGAAAAUCAAAUGUUUAGCCUUCCGUCCCAAAUGCGUAUAAAUACCGAAUCUCUUCCAUUCGUGCCUUAUGUUUUCCAAAACCCUUAAAAUUUUCUCGUUACUUUGUUUUCAAAACCUUCAAAAUCUAGAAAAUCGUAAGCUUUCAUCUCAGAAAUUAUUUAGCCUUCAUCAAUGGCCUCAUUCGUCUCAGAGCUCUCCACCGAGCGCAACAAGUACAAGGACUUCAUAGAUCAGAACGCCAUCAAGAUUUUGCAUUUCGAGAGUGACCUAAACACCAUUCACCAAAUUCUGGGCCCACUCUUCAAAGACACGGUGCCAUCAUCCGUCACCAACCUGUUAAAAAAACACUGUUUGGCAUGCUUGCUGCAAGGAUUUGAUUGGUCAAAGUGGUGCCAAACAAAACCCCAAAGAUCCUGCCCUUCGACCAAUGCGAACUGGGUGGCCUGUGUCGGUGCAUGCGCAGGAAUGCCUGACGGAGGUUAUCUAAAUGCGUCUGCCGUCGUGUUGAUUUGAUGACCACAUCGUCGACGUAGACUUCGACGAUGGUACCAAUUAAAUCAUGGAAAAUAAUGUUCAUAGCUCGUUAGUAUGUUGUACUGGCAUUCUUAAGGUCGAAAGGGCAUGACGACCCAUUCGUAUAUGCUGAGUGCCCCGGGACACCGAAAGGCAGUCUUAUGGACAUCAGCUUCGGCGAUGAAAAUCUGGUUAUAACUAGCAUGCCCAUCCAUGAAGGAUGUAGUCUCGUGAUGUGCUACGGCGUCAAUUAGCAAGUCGAAGAUCAGCAUCGAGUACUCGUCUUUGGGCGUUGCCAGGUUCAGAUUACGAAAAUUGAUACAGAUGCGUAGGGUAUCAUUUUUCUUUAGCAUCGGGACAAUAUUGGCCAGCCACUUGACGUAUCGAGCGGUCCGAAUAAACCCAGCUUUUAGAAGUCAAACUAGUUCGUCUUUUAUGCCGAGAUGUACUUCGGUCGAAAACCGGCAAAGGGGCAUGCGGAAAAGCUUACAACCAGCUUUGAUGCGUAAUUCAUGUUCAACAAGGGUCCGAUCAAGGCUCAGCAUCUCAUGAUAACUCCAAGCAAAACAAUCUUUAAACUCAUUGAGUAAUUGACAGAGUUUGACUUUCAUGGCAUGGGGUAAUAGUGCACUAAUAAAUAACGACCGAGGGUCAUCGGCCGUUCAGACAUUUAUUUCCUCUAAGAGGUCCUUAACUUGGGGUCGACUGUCUUUGAGUUCGGCCGGUGCGGCCUGAACUUUGUCUAAUGACAGUACUGGGCCGUUAUCUUCCUCGGCCAAAAAUUCAAUUAAGUUGAUGCUCGAAUGUGGGUGCUUGGAAAUAGCAUACCAAUAGGCCAUCAGACGUUCCAUCGUGGAUGAAACCGUGGCCUUACGCCUCUCGCCUUUGACGAUAAUCAUCAGUGGUAUGGAUCAAGUUGGCCAAGCCGAGUCGUGUCGAAUCCUAGUGGACAGUCUUGGCGCCUACCUCGAUGGCUUUUUGGACUAAGAUCCGAGUCGGUCGUCCAUCUUCAUUAAAACCCUGUAGGGUAAUGUAGCCGACGUGAUCAUCAUAAUAGCGGGCUUGAAUCAUGUUGGUUUCAAACGCCUGAUUAUCGGCUAGAUGGACCACGACUGAUUUGUUGUCCCAAAAAAUGAGAACUUGGUAUAAAGAAGAAGAGAUGCAAUUCGUUUGAUGAAUCUAAUCCCUGCCAAGCAAAGCAUUAUAUUCGGUUUUGGAGUCGAUGAUAAAAAAUACGGUCAUGUGAUUACGACCUGCAAUGUUCACCUCCAAAAGGAGUACUCCUUUGGUUUGAGACUUGUCACCGACGAAGCUGCUCAUGGUUAUUCCUAAAGGAAUGAGUUCGUCGUCGGAUCGUCGUAGUGCGUUCAUGACGGAUACAGGCAUGAUAUUGACCGUUGCUUCGCAAUCAACGAAAAUUUUAGAGAUUGGGUAACCUUCAAUCUGGGCUGUGACAUACAACGACUUUAAAUGCUAAAGAUUAGCUGAGGAGAAGUGGGGAAACAAGAUGGCUAGGGCUGUUUUAAGUUUCUCGUCGUUGUUUGCUGGCUCAUUUUCAGUGGCGGUGACGAAAUCAACUUGUGUUGCUUCCUCAACGACCACAUCACCAUCUAAGGAAUUUGGUUGGUGUGCAGUUGGUUGGAAUUUAGCAGGUAGAACAUGGACCAUGCUGAUUUCCAUAUUCUCAAUGACUGAAAAGCCCAUUGGAUCCUGGUCGUCGUCUUCCGGGUUAUUGAGGACUAUAGCAUUGUGCAUUAGAGCAUCCUCAGCCUGAUGAUCAGGUGUCUCGACAGGUACUUGCUCUUGUGCCAAGGAUCCCAACCUUGUUUCAUUGGGACUGUAAUUGUCAAGCUCGUUUGUUUCCAAUGUCUGACUUUGCUCCUGCAGUGUUUUUCAAGCACGUUCUUCAUAGGCGAUCUGGGCGUCCCUUGUGUCCAAGUAGGCGUCCAAACGUGCCACCUGAUAUUUCUUAUUGGCUGUUAGGCCGAAUAGAAACGCGGUCGAGAAGACUUCGAAGUGAUAUCGUAGGUGUUGAAGGUCUUCGAGAGAAAAAUAGAGUUCGGCUGUAUCAAUGUCCGUGUAUGGAUCGACCUUGAAGCCAGAAACCCUAGCCUCUCGUUUAUGCUGAAAUCUAGCUUUGUUUGCUGGGUCAGUGGUUUUUUGGAUGAUCUAUUCAGUAUCAGGGCAGGUUAGUGCCAAGUCGAGAGCUUAUUGACACACCUUAGGUAGUCCAUACAAAUCGUUGUCGGAAUACUUUUUGUGAAACUUUUUCAUGUAUUCCAAGGAUUCACCGAGGAACAGAGGGUAUAGAUUUCGUCAAACUCUUAUUAGCGGUUCUUUCAGGGGUAACGGGGAAAGUUGGCUUUCGGCCUCUUUCUUAAACUGCUUAAAGUGAACUUUCAUCUUCUCGGGCCGAAUGAGGAGUUUGAUGCGUUUCUUGGACUCUUUGAUGGUAGUUUCGUAGUCACGAUUGGUUUCCUUCUGCCCCUGUAAUUCAGCCAUGAUCGUCGGGGUUGGCUGGUCGUCUCCGCUUCUUACCGUCUCUUUCGGCUACCAUUUAGUGGCCAACAUAGUAUGGGCCGCCUGCCUUCGAACCAUGCAAUCUAUACGCUGACGUCGAUGUUUAUGAGAUUUGGAUAGCACAGCAUACAAGCCGGUGGGAGAAUUGUAACUGUACCAAUGUUGGUCACGUGGUUCAGGCAGUCUAAAGGUUUUUUGAUUUGAUGAUGAGCUUAAGCUAUUGGAAUUACGCGAAUAAUAAUCCUCAUUAUAAAACAAUGCAUCAAAAUCAAGGCGUCGUCCGUCUGUUUUUGGGGGCCGAGCCUAUCGAACACUUUCUGGCGCUGGUCUUCAUUGGGUUCCUUUGGAGGUGCUGUCGUGGCCGUAAACUGUUGUCAUGAUGUUGGAGUUUAAGUAUGAGGUAAUUUCUCCUUGGGUUUGGUUAAUACAAUGUGUGCCCUACAAUUGUUGCACAAAACUAUUGGCCCGUCACUUUCUUCAACACUGGAAUCUGACAUGAAUUUAACUCCAGCCAGUCUCGAAAACCCGGUAGAUGGUUCAUUGGAAAAUAGGUCGAUCUUGAGUCGUGGCUGGGAAUGUUUCUUUGGGACUUGUUGUACUGGGACAAACUCAGCCUCCCCUUUCCCUUUGCUCUUGGGUAAACGGGUGUCUACCAUGCCGACUGUUGCCGAAGGGAAUGGAUCAACGUCGAUCGUCAUCCGUUUUUUCAGAAAACUUUAGCUUGCCUUUGUCAAUCCAGCUUUGGAUAUCAUCACGGAAUACGACAUAAUUGUUUAUGGCAUGCUUGAUCGAAUUAUGAUACUUGCAAUACGUCUUUCCUUUAAGCUCUUCGGCCUUGGGAAUGUUAUGUCCUGGCCGAAGUUUGAUGAUCAUUGCUAAUAACAAUUGAUCGAAAAUUGCCUCUACCUUUGUGAUAUCAAAAGUGUAAACUUUCGAUGUUUUCGUCGUCUUUUCAGUGGCCGAGCGGGUUUUGGCAUCGUUGGAAUUAAGUUGAGUCAAUGCCUUGCAAACAUAUGGUUUAUCUAUUACUAUCUCGGUCGCGUCCACGCUGACGUAUUGGGAAUUUUUGCCUUCGGUCGAUGCGUAGUUGACCAUAGGAUUUUGUAAAUCGUUCCUUAGGAUGAGGAUUUCAAGAUCUUUUCUUCUCGGAGCAAAUAAUCAUAUUGCUCGACAUGCUGGGCUAAUUCAUACAUAUCUCGAAAGUUUGCCCCCAAGAAUUUUUGUUUGUACUCCACGUCGAGCCCAUUCAGACCAAGCCUAACAAAUUCGACUUUGGGAAGAGGUACUCCGCACCAAUUGUUGACUUAUCAGAUGCUUAAGCCAUCCUAGCCAAUGAAGAAACUGACAUUUCCAUCCUCGGCCAAUAAAACUGUUCGUGAAAUUUCUCGACCAACUCCUCCUAACUUUGGAUAGAAUUAGGUGGGAGGUUGAUAUACCAUGUGAACGCUGAGCCUGUCAAUGAAAAGUUGAACAACCGUAGUUUAUGAAAAUCACUAUUGACAUCUUCGCAUUGUGCAGUGAAAUGAGCCACAUGUUCUAACGAGGAUAAGGACGAUUCUUCAGCAAAAAGGUUGAAAUCUGGAAUCUUGAAACCUUUAGGAUAUUUAAAAUUUUCCACAUAAGCUUGAUAUGGGUGGAUGAAUUUCGGGAACUUCGGCCCUUUUUUCAUGGCUGAAUCGAUCAUCCAUUGGAUCUCGGUCACAUCAACGGAUGUUGCUUCCACUACUUCAGCCUGUAGCGGAUUACUUUUAAAUGGAAGCUGUCAAACCUGAUCAACCAGUCAUUCUUCGAAGACUUUGCUAACUAAUAGUUCGAGCAAUUUGGUGUGGGUCUCACCAUUGUUUUGUAUCACUUCGAGCAAACUGUUUAUUUUUUUACCAACUGUCUAUUGAACCUGUCGAGAUUGCUCAUCAAGUCAUCUUCGAAGAAACGACUUUGUCGGAGGGUUAGAGCCUUCACUGCCGUCUUUAUCGCAGUCUUUCACUAUUUCUUCAAUGAAAACGUCUGCGGUUCUGUUGGGUAUUUCUGCGUUUCGAGGUUGGGUACCGAGGCAUACUUCAUUUUCUCGAUGUGUUACACUUGCAGCCUUAUGGGUCACAGCGACAAUAGGAUUUCGAGCAUGUGACACCUUUUGUCCAGGACUCUGAACCAGCAGAUCGAUCGUUGAUUUUCCCAUGGUUGUUUUAUUUUUUACCGAUCGUGUCUUGAUGGUCAUGAACUUCAUAGUUUUAGCACUAGGUCCCAUUAGGCGUGCCAAAAUGUUGACUCUAAAAACUACUAAACCUACGUGGCGCGCAGGCCGAGUAAUUAAUAAGCUAGCUACGUCAUUCGGUUGUAUGAGUGGCGUGCCAACUAGUCAGCUGAGCUUGGUCGAGGAGUAAAAUAUGGUGAUAUUGCGUUGAGCGCGCGGCUAACUUCUUGAUCUUGCGACUGCGGCCGAGGAAGAAACACUCUCAGCCUUCGGGUUUUAGAGCCUGAAGACAAGGUUGCUAGUUCUGCAGUGUUCACAAAUCGUCGGCGCCGGAUUCGAUCACGAUGAUUAUAUUAGUUAAAAUAUAAGCACGCCGAAUCGACACCAAACUAUAUGGGCACAAGUACUCAAAACAUAUGUACGUCUUGAUUGUGAAAGUGGUUCGGCCGUCAGAAUGUCGAACUCUAAAACCUACUUGUGAAUACCUAAUCAUAAACAACUCGACGUUCAAUGUGCUGAGUAUAGUAACUUGUAACACCUCGCUUCACCGAGAAGGCUAACGAGAUGACCUCUGCCAAUAAGGAUAUGAAAAUCCUUCUCGACCGAGACUUGGAUGAAUAACUAGUUGGCUUUGUCGCAGUGCUGUUUAUCCAAACUGAAGGUGCUUCACAGUCGGCUGAUUCUACAACAAUAGUGCUGUUUAUCCAAACUGAAGAUGUUCGUCGGUUGCCUUCACAGUGCUAUUUAUCCAAGCUGAAUAUGUGUCGGUAAAAAAGGAAAACGAAAAUCUCAAGGUUGUUGAGAGGACUCACCCACAUCCCACAGGUUCCUGACGGGAUAUGGCCAGCUUCGACUGCACGGCCCAUGAGCUAGAUAACCCCUAACGACACCUAAACACGGCUUCUGGGCCGAGAAGAAUUCUAAACUCGGCCCAAACCAAUAUUUUUGGGCCCAAACAGCUGCUAGCUCGUCAUUGACUUAACUUCUCCAAAUGGGACUAGAAAGUCCAUUAAGCCUGAGCCUGUAAAACCUGCUGCUCCGAAGGUGACCACAUCAUUGCUGAGAGACUUGCCCAACGGAAGGGUUCGGUGGCUCCCCCGGUGUCCGGGUUUGUAUCGAAGCACUCAUCGAGAACUAAGUCUGGUUCGGCUUCUGAGAGGCUCGCCACUAUGAAGAGCGGGAAAGUGGAUUCUGCUGCUAAGGUAGCGUCUGGGCCGGUUCUUCAUUCUGCCGUGAUUGACUCAUCUGCUGAGAAUGGGAGAUCUGCUCGCACCGACAGUUGUGAGAGAUCCAUCUAGUUUAGGCUAGAGAGUUUCCUGAGGUUUGUGUGCUACUGAAGGCUGACUUGCUUGAGGACAUUGAUGUAUGCACCAAGUUUGUUGACAAUGUUGGGAAAGUUGUCAUCCGCUCAGAAUCUUUUGAGAAGCGUCAUGCCUACUCGAGGAGGUCCUCCCUGGUUGCCACAAUGCAUAAGACUUUGAUCUUGGCAGCUAAGUCUAUGUGUGUUAAUCAAGAUGCUGUCAAGUGUGCUAAAGAGGCCGAAGUGGUGUUGAUGACUCAACUUCGCUCGGCUGCUGAAAAGAUUGAGAAGCUCGAAUUUGAACUCGCCGUUUUGAAGGGGUCUGAUGUUUCUACCCUCAUUUUUUUGCAGCUGAAGAUCGUUAAUUAGGAGGUCUCUCAUUUGAAGGCUAAGCUUAGCACAACUUAGGCGAUGUUGGAAACUGCAAAGAAGGAAGUCGGUCAUGUUUCUCCGAUGGUCGAAAACCUAGAUCGUGUCAAUUCGGAGCUACGAUCUGCUUGUUUUGCCAAGGACGAGGAGCUUAUCUUCAUGCAUGUUGAAGUGUCUCGUCUCAAGGAGGUUGCCAGUAAGCUUGAGUUUAAGGAAAUGGAUUUGCAAGGUGCGCUGUCUGCUAGCGAGAACCUGAGAAAGGAACUGGAUGAGCUGUAUGGUGCUCAUAUUGGGUUUGUUGAAGAGAAUGUGCAGCUGAAGAAUGAGAAAACCAGUGACGAUGAGCUUAUCUUCAUGCAUUUUUAGGGCAUGCCGUCGGAUUAUGAGUUUUUUUAGAAGGGCUUCGAGACUUUCUUCAUUUCUCAUGUUGAUCUGCUUGAUUUCUCGUUUGAGGCUACCUUUGGUGGAGUAGCUGAGGGUCAGGUAAUCCAGGUGGAGGCGGCUAAGGAUGAGCUGAUGAAAGCUUUGGCUGCUAAAGGCAUGGCAGUCAAGGAACUAGUGGUUGCGCAUGCUGCCAAAUAGUAGUCUUUUUGCUUAGACUUAAGAAUUUUCUUGUUUUCCUUUCUGUUAUGCUUUAUUUGAACUUUGUUGGCUUUUGAGCCGGUUUAUCAAUUUGCUAGAAAUUUAAUAAACAGCUUUCCUUGCUUUGCUUCAUCCUUUUAUUUCGCCAUGUUUUUUGCAAAACUUUAUCCUAGGACGGUCGGCUAGGUGAGCUGCCUCCAUGAAUCAAUCGAUCCCACGUCAUCACUUAGGUUUUAGUUUCAUCCUCGAGGCUUGAAAAGCUUUACCUCUAAGAGGAAAAAAUGCGUGAUUUCUAACUUAUUGAGCCAGCAGCCAAACUCGUUGCCUCUGUAGGAAACAGGCAAGUUUGUGUAGCUACUACAGUUAUGAAUGUGGACUUCGUAUGGCUUCACGAGCUUUAACCCUUUCGGGGCGUAUUGUGAAAUUUUUAACCUAUAAAGCCAGCGGCCGGACACAUGUUUCUCAUAGAAAGCAGAUGAGUCUGCUUAGUUAUUAUGGUUGUAUUUCGGCUUUGAGUGGCUUCUUGAUCUCUGAUGGCUUCUUGAGCUAUGGUGGUUUCUUGAGCUAUGGUGGCUUCUUGAGCUAUGGUCAUUCGAAGGCGUGUUACAAGGUUUUUUAACUUAUAAAGCCGUCGGUUGGACUCAUGCUUCUCGUAGAAAGAAGAGAAGGUCGGUGUAGCUGCUAUAGUUGUACCUCGUUUUUGUCCCAGCAAAACUUAAGUCAUAAACUGUUGGCCUGAAGCGUUGUUGUUAAGUAACCAGAUGAGUCUGCGUAGUCAUAGCAGAUAUAAGUCUCAACUUACGGAUUGCCUUGGGUUGCCAGUUGUCAGGUCGUCGGUCGGGCGUCUUACUUACAGAAGCAGACGACCCACUUUACCACUUUAGACGUCAUUCCUAACUUUUGGAGGCGUUUUAGGCGGAAGGUGUAGGCAGAAUCGCGCCUCAAAGACCACAUUCUUUCGAGUUGUAACUUGAUUUCGCAUGUCGCUUAACUAGUAUUGUAACAUUUUAAAACCAAGCUACGUUCAUGAAUACUUGCACGUCGAGUACGGACCAUUUUGUCACGCAAACUCUUUCAUGGGAAGGAAUCCUGCACUUAGCGUCUCUUCUGGUUAGAGACCCGGGAUCCCGCGGAAUUGAAUCCUUCAGUUGACUAAGUCUAUUCCAGGGGAAGGACUAUCUUGACCAAUUCUUGGAGUCGUCCAACUCAAGUAAUUGCUCCAUUUAAGGGGAACUGAGCAGUUGUGCCACCCAUCCACAUCUAGAUAUUCCACCCUCUCUUUAUUGGAGAGCACACGCCAUGUCUAAAAGGCAGAGGGCGUCUUCUGCGUGUCACAGGGUUGGUCAGUCUAUUUAUGCAUUCGGACCAAGCUUGUAAAUAAUUCAUUCAAUCUUCAUUGAGAAUAGAGAAAUUUAUUAACUUUGCUUGUAGGCAGUAAUGGCAUAACAACCGGUAAUCCUUGGCAUGCGAGGUCUUGUUUGUCGAGCUACUUGAGUCUUUGAACUUUUUUAGUCUUGAAAGGGGUCUAAGGAAUGGUAGGAUGUCACAUGUAGUACUUUUUCUGGUUGUAGGCAUUCCAUUGCUUGUCGAUUUCUUUGUCGUUCAUGGUGGAAGGUGUAGCUGCCCCUUUUCGCCUACUCGGUUGAUUUUGUACGAAUCUUCUCAUAUAGGAGCCAACUUUUUAGAGCCUUCCAAUCGGGCAGUGAUGAAGGCUUUUCUGAUGACUAAGUUUCUUGGCUGGAACAGCCAGAUUUUUGCCCUCUUGUUGUAGUCUGAGAAGAGCUCAUUCUUGGGUUAUUUCUUCGCCAGGUCUAAGUUAGUGGCCAUCUCUUUCUUGUUCUGCUCUAAAUUUGGUAGUACAGUGCUAAUGCUUGGCACCAUGACGUUGGAUGAAAUGAUCGCCUUAGAGCCAUACGCCAUGGAGAAUGAAGUUUCACCAGUUACUUAUCUCUUGGUGGUGCGAUAUGCCCAUAGAACAUCGGGGAGCUCGUCUGGCCAUUUACCCUUCUUGUAUGAGAGGGUCUUCUUAAGGCAGUUGAUGAUGGUCUUGUUGGACACCUCGGCCUGCCCAUUGCCCUGUGAAUACCGGGACAUGGACAUGUGCUGCUUGAUGCCAUAUUUUUCGAAGAAACUCACAAAGUCUCUACCCACGAACUGCGGGCCAUUGUCGGUGACGAUAGAGUGAGGGAUGCCGAAGCGGCAGAUGAUGUUCUUCCAUAUGAAGUGCUAUAUGUCUGUCUGGGUAGUUAUAGUCAUGGGUUAGGCUUCGAUCCAUUUGGUGAAGUAGUUGGUUGUUAAGAUUAUCAUGCCUCUGCCCCUAGUGGCAGGGGGUAUUGGUUCUACCAAGUCGAUCGCACACUGCAUGAAUUGCCAAUGGCUUGUUUGCGGGUGGAGUUUGCUGGCAGGUGGUGCGGGUACGAGCUUGAAACACUGUCAACUGUCCUACAUUUGUAUAUACUCUUUGGCGUCUUGAUGCAUGGUUGGCCAAUAAUAACCAGUGCUAAGAGCUUUUUUGCGCCAGAGAGCGGCCUUUAGAGUGGUUUUCACAUACGCCAUCGUGGAUUGAGCUAAGAAUCUUAAGGUUGUCGGGAGGCGAUAAGCAGUUGAGAUGUGGUCUUGAGAAAGAUCUUCGAACCAGCAUGUCGUUCCACAUGUAGUAGCGUUCUGCCUUCAUCUGGAGCUGCUUGGAUUCCAAUCUGUCUGCCAAUAGUGUUCCGUUGACUAAGUAGUCGAUGAUGAGAUCCUGCCAACUCAGAGUUAUGUUGAUCUACACCACCUCAACUGCUGGUUCCUCAUCUAUGCUCGACUUCUCCAAGUACUCAACUGAGAUUAAACACUUGAGCUGAUGGUCUAAGGCAGAGCCUAGGCCUACUAGUGCGUCUGCGUGGGCAUUUUCUGUUCGUGGAACCUGAGUGAGUGUGUAUUCCUGAAACGUCGCUAGCUGUUCUCGUACAUUUUCAAGGUAUCAGGCCAUCCUUGGAUGCUUGGCUACGUACUCUCUUGAAGUUUGGUUGGUGAUUAGCUGGGAAUCAGAAUAGAUCAUAAGCUUCUUCAUCGAUAGGUCUUUCGCCAAUCGGAGACCUGCUAGUAGGGCUUCAUACUCCGCUUCAUUGUUUCAUGCCUUGAAGCUUAGAAUGAUUGCCUGCUCAAGCAUUAAACUGUCUUGGGUAGUAAGAACUAGGCAUACUCCCGAUCCUUGGUAGUUGGAUGAUACGUCAAUGUGCAAGCGCUAGAAAUCUCCUGCAGGUGGGGCCAGUGUGGUUACGGCGUGCUCAGUUGCCCCUAGGGUGUUUCUGGGUUGAGUUGUUAAGUGCAUCGGAACGUCCGCCAAUUUUUGAGCCUUUAACAUCAUGCGUCUGGGUUGUGCAGAAUAUCGCGUCAUGACGAUGACUGAGUACGUCUGAAGGUAUGGCUUGAGCUUCCGAGUUGCAACAGCUAACGUCAAAAUCAAGGUUUUAACUUUCGAGUAUUUGGCUUCCGCAUUGAUGAGAGCUCUUGAAUUGUGAAAUACCAAUGGUCAGGCCCCAAGCUCUUCUCGUAUGAGGGUAUAGCAUAUUACUUCUUCAGAUACCGAUAUAUAGAUGCAUAGGUCAUCCACUGCUUCCGGUUUGGAUAGUAUAAGAGGUGAUGUCAGGUAUUUCUUCAAGUCCUGUAAUGUUUUCUCGCAUUUCAUCGUUCCAUUUGUCUCGCUAUGUGUCAUAAUAGCCUUGAAAAAAGCUUGCAUCGGUCGGUAGGUUGCGAGAGAAAUCGGUUGAGUGUAGUUGCUUGCCAGGUCAGACCUUGGAUCUCUUUUAGAGUAGUGGGGGACUUCAUAUCCAGUAUCACUUAGAUUUUCUUUGGAUAUGCAUUCGGCGUGGUACGACUGCUGCUUAGGGUCAAGGGAGAUAUGCUCGGCGUCUUCUUCGGGUUUCCAUCCUGAUUCAUUUACCUGGGCAUUGUCGACCUUGACGCCAUCUUUUUGACCUGUAUGCUGUAAUUACUAUUUGGCAGAGGUAAAAUUGUAUGUCUACACUUCAGCUGUUACUGUUGGGGCUAAAGACUUCUUCUUUGUCUUCUUAAGAACUUGUACAAUGCAUCUCCGAAACAUGGCCUGGUCGCAUUUGAUCUCUCCGACUACUUCUUCCGGAAUGCGAAAUCGGAUUUUUUGCUACUCGAUCGAGGUCACAGCUCUAAUCUUCAAUAGCCAGGGUCGGCCCAAUAUCCCAUUAUGGAAAAAUGGGUCGCUGACGAUCAUGAAGGUCUACGAUGAGACAAUCGGUGAUCUGGUCAUGUCGAGUGUGAUGGUGCCAAUGGCAGUUGAGGUGAGCUCGUUGAAUCUGGUCAAGACCCCUACUUUGCGUUUGAUCGUGCUUUCCAGGCCCAUCUUCUGAAUGACUAACAGUUGUAGGAUAUUGAUUGAGCUGUCGUUGUCCACCAUAAUUUUGUCAACGAUGGCGUAUGCCAAUUGAACAGAAAUUACUAGGGCGUCGUCGUGGGGAAAGUCUACUCCAUUAACGUCCUUCUCAGUGAAACCGACGAUUGGUCCAAGUAUAUCAUCUACGGCUUGAACCUGAAAGACUGAUCUUGCCUGCUGGAUCUUCCUUUUCUUGGAGUUGUUGGUAGCCCCUAGAUGCUCGAAUUCGGUGAAGAUUCCACUGAUUCAAAUUGUCUUGGUUGAGGGCUCGACAUUAGCGUCUGCUUCUCACCUUGGUCGGGCAGCUGGCCUGUCAACAUACUGGUUGCACUUGCCUUCCUUCACGAGUUGCUCAAUGUAUCUCUUCCACGUGGUGUAGUUGUUGGUUGUGUGCCCGAGGUUUCUGUGGAACACGUAGUACUUGGCCUGGUCCAUCUUGGAGGGGUCCUCCCUCAUAGGUGGCGGCGGCUUGAACCACGGCUUGUCUUUAAGGUCGCGAAGGAUCUGGUUGAUUGGGACCGAGAACUUGGUGUACGUCUUGGGCCUCGUGCCUCCCUUCAUCGAGGAUUGGUCCCUACAUCUGCUCCCUGGCUUGUUUUUGUUGUUAAGCGGUUUAUCGCUCGCCUUCUUCUAAGUUGGCUCUACAUCUUUGCGCGACUGCUCAAACAGCUUAUAGGAUAGCUUUUCCUCAUCCCAAAAGAAGUGUUUUCUGCCAAAGUAUGAGAGUUUGCUAGGGUCAAGUUCUCGCCCAUGAUCAAUUUUUUAAAAAGUAGGUGAUUUGAUGGGAGUUUCUUUCGAAAAGUUGAGCACACGAUGCUGUCAUCGCAUUCGACGAUCUUUGCCUUCUCCGCCUUGAACCUUUUGACGUAUAUGUGGAGUGACUUAUGCGGGUUCUUCUUUAUGUUGAAGAGAUAGUUAGACUUCUUCUUGAUCGAGCGGUAGGACGAAUAUUCCUUAGUAAGUUCGAUGAAGUUCCUGAUUAAACGUGGCGACAGGGUGUGGAACUAGUCUUGCGUCUCGCCUUGGAGCGUCGUGGCAAAGAUUUUUCACAUGAGAGCUUCGUUGUUGGCGUAAAGUGUCAUAGCACUUCGAUAAUGCAUCAGGUGCCUACCUGGAUCUUCAUCUCCUUUGAAAAAGGUAAAAUAUGACAGGCUGAAUUUUUACGGUGGCUCCAUUUGCUCGAUCUCGUCUGUAAAUGGUGACCUGCUCAGGUUGGCCAUGUCUUUAUGGAGGGCAUCAUCAGUAGUAUCAAUGCGCUGGAAUCCGCGCAACUGCUUUGCUACGAGCCUUUGUACUUCUUCCUGGAUUUGCGCCUGGUAGGGCAGUAGAACCUCUAACUGCCUCCAGUGUUAACAUGCUGGUCUAAAUUGCUUUUCGACAUGUCCUGCUCGUUUGUGCCGUAAUCACAGUACACGUGGUUCAUUCUAUGUUGCUCUCUGUCACGCUUGGCGGGGGCUGCCAAUAGAACUUGAACUGGACUGCUCUAGUGCUCUCCUUUGUCCGUCAUGUAGCCGCAUACUCCGAUGCCUCGCAGAAGGAUCUUUUUGUGAGCUUAGCCUCGUGUGGACACUUCUUCUAUAAUGUCCUGAGUGCUUAUCGGAGUAUAGAUCGAACCUUGAAUGCACACUGACUCAUGAGCCGAGUCAGGAAUGAACGCUUCUCAGUGCAUUUAGGCAGGAGAAUACGUUUUCUUGAGGGCCCAAACGAAAGUGCACGCUAUCUAAACGCACGAUUCGUGAUAGGCUGAGUGGCUCUUUGCCGGGACGUCGCUAGAAUAAGUCACGUUUUUCCGCCCUUGUCAUACUUUAGGACACCUCGUCUGGGGUGAGCUGCAUCUCGAUACGCUCGAAGAGCUGGUUCACCAAGAUGGUUUUCUGCGCGAUGUGCUCAUCAAAUUGGCGACCUGUUGGGGCAGAUGGUGCUCGCCAUUUGGAUUAGAAUAGACUGGGAAAUGGGCAUCUCUAUGUGUGAUGAAAGUAUAAUGGACUGCAGGUACAAAACUUGAGCCCAAAGCGGGUAUUCUUGCAGUAAAGUGGGAUGAAAAUAACCCUGAAUCGAUUGCUAAACAGGAUAUGGAUCGCCAAAGAUGGUUUUGGAAUGGAUUGGACCACGGGCUGGGUUGUCGAAGGAGGUCGCGGGGCGAGCCAAGCUGGCUAGGUGGUCGACACGUGUGCAGGGACGCGCUGGGCUCACACGUGUGAAGGCUAGCCUUGGGCCUACACUGUGCGUUAGGCUGGUGCUAUGCCCUGGGUCGCGCCUUGUUCUCACAGGCUUGAGCUUGGUUGACAACUGGAUGGGCCUCUUGGGCUCGGGCUGCUUCUCCAAGGACUUGGGCCUCCUGCCCUUGGGCACUGCGGUGGUGAUGGCGUGGCUCUGCGUCGGUGGAGCUCCUCAUGCCAUCACGUUGAGCCUUGAGAACCUUCGUCGUGGGGCUACGUCCUCAUCUCCACUAUCCGGUCCAAAUCCUUGUACGUACGGGGUUCCGUUCGUCGUGGUUUCUGAAUUUCCUACCAUUGUAUCCUUUGUCCAAGGAUUGAUCAAGAACCUUUUCUAGGAAAAAUUAAUUGAUACGACAUGUGAGAAAUUCAACGUAACAGAAAAUUCAAGAAACCAAAUGGGAAAAGCUUCUUCGAGUAUUUGAAUCAGCUAUCAAUGAAAGCACCAAUUUGUCAAUGCAAAUUUCUACCAUCUUCAAUCUUGACGAAAAUGCACCUGCAAAACAAUUAACACCUUUGAUCAAUGACCUAAGCCUCACGUGCCCACGAGGUGGGGGGGUUAGGCCAAUGGAUCUCCGAUGCCUAAGUCAGUUUCUCUAAGGGAAAUAAAGUGUUCAGGGCUUUUUUAGGGUCGUAAAAGCUUCUGAAAUUUGGUAAAUGAUAGGAGCAUAUUUAUGCGACUUAGUUAGCUUGUUUCUUGGCAUUUAUGUUGUUAGUUCAUAGUUAUUUUAGUAUUUUAAGCUAUUUUCGUGUGUUUGUAGGUCCAAAGGGUUAAUGUGGCAAAGAAGUGCAUUUUGGAGCAUUUUUGGGCAUGGAAUGGAUGACAUAUGCUUGGAGCAAAAGGAAUGGACGAAAUUUGAAGUUUGUGCAUCAUCCUCUCCCUAUAAAUAACCAUUUUAGCACAUUCAUUUCACCCAACACAUCUAUUCACCUACCACUACAUCCACUCAUUUCACCCAACACAUUCACCUACCACUACAUCCACUCAUUUCACCCAACACAUCCAUUCUCCAAACAUCCACCCACUACACCCAUUACAUCCACUUAUUACCAAACAUUACUCAUUACCAAACAUUCAUCCACUACACCCAUUACAUCCACUCAUUACCAAACAUCCACCCACUACACCCAUUACAUCCACUCAUUACCAAACACUCAUCCACUACACCCAUUACCACUACACCCAUUACAUCCACUCAUUACCAAACAUCUAUCCACUACACCCAUUACAUCCACUCAUUACCACAACCCACUACACCCAUUACAUCCACUCAUUGCCAAACAUUCAUCCACUACACCCAUUACAUCCACUCAUUACCAAACAUUCACCCACUACACCCAUUACAUUCACUCAUUACAACUCCAUACACUCCUCUCCUUAGCCUAUAAAUACAUCCACCCUUCACCAUAAUUUGGAUUCCAUCUCCAUCCAAAGACACUACAUUUUCACAUCUCACCAAUCCAUACACUUUCAUCUCUUAGCCGUGCAAAUCCAUUCCAUCCAUAUAUCCAUACACAUCCUAGACACUUGUGCUACAACAAGGUGGUGAAAACAAAGUCCUUGGCGUUUCAAGCUUGGAACUUUGGAGCAUUUUAGGUGUACUUCGUUCUUGCUUUCAAUGUCUACUUUGUUAUUUUCUAAUUUUGUUGCAAUUAUGAGUGGCUAAACCCCUAUUUAGUUAGGGGGAAGUUUGAAGCCAUGAACAUGCUUGAGAUUUGAAUUGAUUUCUUCCAAUUGUGAUUUGAUAAGUUGUGAUUGCAAUUCAAUUAUCUAUUUUAUUCAUAAGUGAUUCUUGUAUGUUUAUUAAGGAUGCAUACUUAGUUUUCAUGCAUGAAUUAGAUGCUAUAAUAUAAAUGAGUUUCACCUAAUCGUUACAAGUUUAUAGUCAUGAGUAGUGAAGGUUGUUUAUCACAAUCGCGUUAAUUGAAUUCUUGGCAAUUGUAUCAUGCAUUCAUAGUUAUAAUUGCCUCGUCAACACUUAUGAUUUUCAUUUAACGUAAUGAUCUCUGAUUGUAUCUCUAUUAUGCAUUCAUAUAGGGGACUUUUAGAGAAUAACUUGGGUUGUCGUAUGCAUUCAUCCAAUUCAAUGAGUAAAGGAAAAUCUGAAGAUUAAUUUGUGCAUCACGGUUAAUCUGGGAUGUUGAGCAUCAUAGUUUAUUGAAAAGCAAUUGGAAAUCGAUUCAUGUACAAGUGUGUCAUGUGUGAAGAACGGACCUCUAACUAAUCCAUCCAUCAUCGUAUUCCUCAAAUUUGUCUUACAAUCUGCCUAGUUUUAUAACUUGUUUGUUUGUUUCAAAUUCAUCAAAACCAAAAUCCCCAUUUUACUUUCUUGUUUCAAAGUGUUAAAUUUCGGUUUUGUUUGUGUAAUUUGAGUGUUUUGAUUCAAACCAAAACACUAAAUUCAUUGAAAAUUGUGUUAAAGUCAAAUCUGCCCAAUUUGUGUUUUUAGGCAGUUUCGAGUUGAUAGAAUCUGUUUUGAGUCCCUUGAGUCUAUUCAAACGUUUUUAACUUUGUUUUUAUGUUUUUGAGUAAGUUUAGAGGUUUUAGCAAGCCCUCCUAAUCCCCGGUUUAGAAUGAUCCCUACUUGCAUUUAUACUACAAUUUGACAACAAGAGGGUUUAAUUUGUGUGUUAAGUUAAUUUUCGCAUCAAUAGAAUAUGACGUAUUUAUAGGGAUAGGGUUGACCAUAGUGUUAGGGUUUUACCCUACACGUGGCAGCAUCCUAUUGACCAAGCGUUUUGUGAAGAAAUAGUCUCUAAAUAUUCUCAAGAUAUUAAAUAGGAAAUAAUAUCUUGAGAUAAUGGAGUAAAUAUCCCUAAUUGAUUUAAAUUGGGAUUACUUACUUGAUUAGAGUCAAUCUUCAAUUGAGAAUGUAUUAAAGAUAGGAUUUGGGUAAUUAAUCCUUAUCUUUAAUUCCUUGCCAAUGGUAGGUGAGCUGUGGACAGUCGCAUUUAGCUGUUGAGACCUUCAGGGGUGCGAGCUACGUGUGGGAGCACCUAAGAAGUCUGCCCAUUUAUUGAGGGCAAUCUUGUCUUUCUUGAGAAAAAGUCUACGUGUCGCCUCUAGAAUUUUUGGAAUUAUUUUAGACUCCACAACUGGAGUAUUGUACUCAAUUGGCAUCUAUGUAUUGUUUGAGAUAAUUAAUGAAAUACCAAUAUAUUGUUGCUUGUCAAACAAAAAUUCCCCUCAAAAUAGUUAAUUAAAAUGGAUAAGUUUCAUUAAUAUUUGAUUAACUUAAUUCCCAAUCCCCUCCAAAUAAAAAAAAUCUAAUAUAACAAGUUGUUUAUUUUAAUUCAAUCCUAGACAUAUAACGAAGCCUAAAUAACAUUACUUGAAAAAGAAACUUCUAUUUUAUCUAUGAGAUAGGAUCAGGGGUUAAUACUUUGACAUUUCUUUAUGAGAUAGGAUCAGGGUGUUAAUACUUUGACAAUUCUUUUGCAUUUUUGAAAUUACAAUCCACAUCAUUAUUCAUUAAAUGACAUGAGCGAUGACAUGAAUUAUAACCAAUAUAAUACAUAAACAAAUAAAGAUUAAAAUUUAAAAUGAAUAAAAUUGGGAAUUUCCUCAAACAGCAGACACUCUAGAAGCCUGUUUGUCUCUUGGGAUUGGCAGCCAAAGUCAAAGUACAUCUAUGGAGACUCCCUUGAAUUCCAACGACGUAAUUAAUUGUACAAUGUUGAACUAUCUGCAAACGUGAACAAGGAGGGAGGAAGCCCUCCAUUGCUUUGGUGAACUAAGUCAUCAUAAUAUGCAUGUAACAUGUUUAUACAUGGAUUUUUGUGACAACAAAACUAACCAUAUAUGCAUGCAUGCAUGCAUGUAAAUGUUUAUCACUUGGAUUUUUUACAACAAACCUACGUAAAAAAUAACCAUGUCAUGGUUGAAUAUUAAUAUUUCACGAGGAAAAGCUAUACUAUUAUAUCUAUAUAUAAAGAGAACACAAAAUAUGACCAGUGAUUUUGGUGUCACCAAGCUUCAACAAAAAAAUUUAGACAAAAAUGCUCCCAAGACAAAAAAACUUCAAAGGCAUCCCAAAAUAAUACAUCAAAUAAGGCAAGGGUAUUUUCGUCAUUUUAACAGUGUUUUGUUAAUGAUUUUUUUUGGUACUGUUUUUUUUUCUUUUUUUUUUAAUAAUAAGUGCCUCACGAUAGGCUAACAAUAAUGUAAUUCAAUUUCUCUAUUUUUAAACACAUUCAAAACAUCUUAAGAGGCAGUGGCGGAGCCAGAAUUCUGAAUGAGGAUGGGCCUUUCACAAAUAUGUAUAUAUAUGAGUGUGUGUAAAAAGUUGAAUUCAUAACAUGUUGACAUAUGCAAUUUGUAUAAUCCUCACAAAACUGAAAAAAAUUCUCUUAAAUUCAAUACUAAGAAGAAAAAAAUGUAAAUACCCAGACAACCAAGUAAGAGGUAGGUUGUGGAAGGCUAAAGAAAAUACAAAGAAGUAGAAAAGAAGGAAAAGGGGGAGAGGUCUGCAAAUAAAGAAGGUGGGUUGCUUUAGAAAAUUAUAGGGUAUAUAUUACUGUUAGGUGAGAGAAUUGAACCAGAAGUGGAGUUGCUUUUUCCAUUUAAAAUUGCGCAUCACUUUUAAAAUUCAUCUGCCAAACUUAUCGUUUCAUUAGACAGCCGAAAAGAUUUAAAAUCAAAACGGUUUAACGACGUCAUUUGCUUCAUCUUCUUCCAUGAGGUUCACACCUCAGAUGAAGUCAGGAUGGGACGGGGACUACCCUAGUCCCUUGGUGGCUCCGCCCCUGUUAAGAGGUGUGCAAUGCUGGUUAUAAAAAAGGUCUUUUGCACGCAAAUAAUAAUGUGAUUAAAUAAGUUGUCAAAUGAUUUUUUUUUAACAAACGAUAUUAUCUACACUAAGGGAGAGGAGGGUGGGCAGCCUCACAAUGGACUAGCAAUAAUGUGAUUCAAUCAAUUGUUUAUUAAAUAUUAUUUUCUUUAUUUUUAAACACAUUCAAAACAUCUUAAGAGGCGUGAAAUGGUGGUUAUAAAAAAGGUCUUUCGCAUGCAGAUAAUAAUGUGAUUAAAUUAAUUGUCAAAUGAAUACUUUUUUUAACAAAUUAUAUUAUCUACACUAAGGGGGAUGGGGUGUGUUUAGCCUCACAAUGGGCUAACAAUAAUGUGAUUCAAUCAAUUGUUUAUUAAAUAUUAUUUUCUCUAUUCUUAAUGUAAAUUCUAUAGAGACCGAUUUUUUUGUGAAUUCAGUUGCUUUAAUUUGUUUAUGAGGGGUUUCUUCUAGCAUGAUCUAUAAUUAUUCAUUUACUUCAAAUAUUUGACUUUCCUUUUGUCAAUUCACGCAUUUAAAUACAUUUAAAACGUGUAAGUUGCACGUAACAUUUCAUGAUUCAAAAAAUGUAUUGCACACGCACGAGCGCGUGCAUGAAGGCUAGUUAUAUAUAAAGCGCGCAGCCCCCAUUUAGGGUCACGGGCUUCACUAAAAAUAUUUGGACAUAAAUGCCCCCUUAAACAAAAAAAAAGUUCAAAAGUAGCUCAAAAUAAUGCAAGGGUAUUUACGUCAUAUAAACGGUGUUUUUUAUAAUUAAUUAUUUUUUUGUACAUUUUUUUAAUUAGGAUAUACUAGGGCUGGAAAUUUUUCUUGAAAAUACCAAACCAAACAAAAAAAAUUCCCAAACCGAUAAUACCGAAAUUUUUGGGAUCCAUACUAAACCACUCCUUAACUUUUCGGUACGGAAUCAGGAUUACAUAAUCAAUGAUUUGGGAAUCUCAAACUGAACCGAAUAUAUAUAUAUAAAUAUAUAUAUAUUUAUUUGGGUGCAUGCAUGUUAAAUAUUGAAUUUAAGUUGUUUGAUAGUAGACUAUAUUAGAAAUAGAAGCAUGAAAGUAAGUAGUUUGAAACUUUGGAACAUCAAUUUGACUUGGUAAGAAUAAAUUGGUUAUUUCAAUUGGUAUGAUGUAAAAAGCCUAAAUUUUAAUUGAUAUGACAUUGGAAAACAAAAUUUUAGGCGAAAAGCCCAAAUUUUAGUCCAUAGCCCAAAAAUUUCAAAUUUCAACCCAAAACCCCGAAGGCCCAAAACCGAAAAUCCAAUUUUGAAAUACCGAAAACAUUUCGAAAAUCUCGAAAAUUGGGAAUACUGGAAUUUCGGUUCGGGAUUGGUCUUCAAAUUCUUGUCCCGAAAAUUUUUGGUUUGGGAUCCCAUACCGAACCACCCCUAAAGGAUAUACUUCUAUACCUAUAUAAAGCGCAUAGCCCCCAUUUGGGGUCACGGGUUUCACCAAAAAGUUUUGGAUAGAAAUACCCCCAAACAAAAAAGUUCAAAAGCAGCCCAAAAUAAUAAUGCAAGGGUAUUUACGUCAUAUAAAUAGUGUUUUUUAUGAUUACUUUUUUUUAUGCAACUUUUUUUUAGUACCCCACAAUAGGCUAGCAAUAAUUGGAUUCAAUCAGUUGUUUAUUAAAUAUUAUUUUCUCUAUUUUUAAACACAUUCAAAACAUCUUAAGAGACGCGUAGUGCCGGUUAUAAAAAAUGUUUUUCGCACGCGCAUAAUAAUGUGAUUCAAUUAGUUGUCAAAUGAUUUUUUUUUUUAACAAACGAUAUUACCUACACUAAAGAGGAGAUGAGUGAGUUUAGUCUCAUAAUGGGUUAGCAAUAAUGUGAUUCAAAAAAUAUGUAGUCAUGCGUAGCACGUCGUGAUUAAAAAAAUGCAUUUUUUUCACGCUCGUAAGCGCGUGUAUGAAGGUUAGUUGUAAUUAAAAGAGGAAGGAAACUCAUAUUUUCAUGGCAGAUAAAAUAAGUUUUUGGAAUAUUGGGAUAUAUUUUUGUUUGGAUUUCCUAUUAGCUCUGGUCAUUCUUUUUCACGCCAGUUCUUUCACGCGCCACCACAACCUAAAUCAAUUCUCAUACGGCACGAUCCCCUACUUGGAAUGUUGUUAAGCAUCUGUCUUUAUUCUUCAUUGAAUUCAUCGGGCCCCUACCUAAAACUUCAACGUGCAAACGUGUGGUUUUUGACACCUAUAAAUCAUGAAUCAUCCCCCGAUCAUCGGCUACCUACCCGAACCAUGCAUCAAAGACAAACGUUAUUCAGGAUCCUAAGUAACUGCCUCAAUAAUCCAAAUUAAAAUCCUAAAAAAAUAAUAAAUAAUUGUAAGGGAUUGAGAUCAAAAGACUCAGCUGGCUAUUCAAACUUUGACCGAGUAUGCUUCUGCCACGUGUCACUAAACCCAUGAGGGAUUUUUUUUCUUUUGAUUUUUUUUUCAAAUUUUUAUAUUUAAUGUGCAUUAAACUCGGGAGCUCAUCAGCCAUACUACAUAUAUGAACAAGUCCACCACUACUCAGACAUACUCUCAAAACUGCAAGUCUGUAACCAUGGCCACAUUUGCUUAUGCCACCACCACCGCCAUUGUCUUCCUCAUCCUCCUCCCGCUGUCUUGCUCUUCCGAAUCAUUUUUGCACCAACAUCACCACGGCGGCUCCUUCUCCGUCCAGAAAUCGGACGUCGAUCUUUUGGAGUUUCCUUUGAAUUUAGAGUAUUUGGAAGCUGAGUUCUUUUUGUAUGGCUCUUUGGGGUAUGGUUUGGAUAAAGUUUAUCCAAGCUUAGCCCAAGGAGGUCCCUCUCCCAUUGGUGCCAAAAAGGCACAUUUGGACGACUUCACUAGGGAUGUCAUCGAGCAAUUUGGAUGGCAAGAAGUUGGACACUUGAGGUUUAAUCUUUUUUUCCUUUCUAAUUUAUGAUUUUCGUCUAACUUUUUCAUUUCUGUACAGACUGUUUCUAGUAUUUAGAUUGAAUGAAUUCGAUCAGCAAAUAGAUUUGCGGAAUUCAUGUCUGAUUUACAAAUGGUACAUAGCUAGAAAGCUUACAAAAUUAUUUAUUUUUUCUUCUAAUUUUUGUGCAGAGCUAUUAAGAAAACUGUGAAGGGUUUCCCAAGGCCAUUGUUGAAUAUAAGUGCAGCAUCAUUUGCUCAUGUGUUUGAUUCUGCAUUUGGGAGUCCCUUAAAUCCACCAUUUGACCCUUAUGCCAAUUCAAUCAACUAUCUCCUUGCAUCCUAUAUCAUUCCUUAUGUUGGUCUCACUGGCUAUGUUGGUGCAAGCCCUAAGCUCCAAGGUGCUACUUCCAAAAGGGUAAGUAUUUUAAAGUAUUCUAUUAGAUUCUUUUUAUGUUUUGCAAAACAGUGAAUCUUGAUCGCAUUUUAUGAUAAGAAUAAACAUGGCUCUAUUGUAUUUGUUUGGUAAACUAGUCUGACAAGAAAAACAUUAACCUGUAACUAAAAUCAAAGUUGUUUAUGUUUAUAUUGGUCUAUGCUUCAAACACAAUUAUUUUGAAGAGUAAAAUUUGGAAAUCAUCCAUGAACUUUCACCAUAAUUUCAACUAAACUAAAAAUCCGUCAAUUAGUGUCUGUGAAUUUAACAGCUCUAACAUCAUUGAUUAUGUGGAUCAUGUUCAGUUAGUUGCAGGUCUUUUGGGUGUGGAAUCAGGCCAAGAUGCAGUGAUUCGAGCAUUGCUAUACCAGCGCGCAGAGUUGAAAGUGGAACCAUAUGGCAUUACAGUGGCUGAGUUCACAAAUCGCAUUUCGGAACUAAGGAAUAAACUAGGACACGAAGGUUUGAAAGAUGAAGGCCUUGUGGUUCCCAAACACUUGGGUGCUGAGGGAAAAGUCAGCGGCAACAUUCUCGCUGGAGACGAGUACUCACUUGCAUAUGGCAGGACUCCAGAGGAGAUACUAAGGAUCGUAUAUGGUAGCGGUAAUGAACGUGUACCUGGCGGUAUCUACCCCAAAGGAGCUGACGGCCGGAUUGCUAAAUCUUAUUUGAAAAAGGAAUAGGAGAGAUUUUUAGUGUGACCGGCACACCACAUGUUAUUAUAUAAAUGGUAGGAUAUGUGUGUUAAAAAAUUAAUAACUUUAAAAAUAAAAUUUCCCACCACUUACAUAAAAACACGUGAUGUACCACCCGUGAUCCCGUCGCAAUUAAAAAUUUCUCAAGGAAUAGGACAUGAACAAAAAUAGGACUAGUUUGGUUGCCAUCUAGUUUACCUUCUUCAUAAUGUUUUUUUUUUCUUUUUUCUUUUUCCUUUUCUAGACAGAAUAAAGCAUGUUCUUAAUUAAUUUGAUGUAAGGAAUCGUUUCACGCUUCAUUUUGUUCGCAUAGAUCCUUCGAGUUUGUUCACAUAAUAUUAUAUUAACAGAGCAGGGAAAAUGCAGUAAGAAAACUCUUAUAAUACGUUGCAAUUUGCAUAUGUUGACAAAAAUUUCUAUUCAGAAUUCAUGAACAUGACACAUAAGUGAGCAAAUCACAUGGAUUACAUUUUUGACCCAAAAAAAAAAAACUAGUGAAAAAAACUUGAAAACUUGGAGUUUUAACGAUAAAGACAAAAUAAAAUGUAAAGUAAAUAGUAUCCGAAUUGACUUUUUAGUGUAAAAAUGUGGUUUUUCGUUAAAAUAAACAAUACCGAAAGCUUUUCGUUAAAGUUCUCAAAAAAAAAAAAACGAACGAAACUAUGUGGGUUACAUACAUAAAAAUUCUUGCACAUUACUACAACAAGAGUGCAAAGCCAGUAUGGCAUAAGAAAAAGAGUUAAAGAUGAGUGUCCUGUUGCAAAUUUCUGGACAACAUGUUGCAUUGGAUUCUAGGCUUCCUCCAGACCGCUACCUCUCCCACCCUUCCUCGGAUGCCGGCUAUCGAUCUGGAGAAAAAGAAGCUGCAGGAAAUAACAAUUUUGAGUGCUGUCAGCUCAUAUAGAUUUUCAUCUGUACCUAGAUUCGCCACUGGCUUCUCACUCGUGGCAAGGCUUUUGAUCGUAAGUAGAAGCAGGGCCGGACGAGGCUAAGGCUAACUUCCCUCCCCCGACCAAUCGGGCAUCUGAGAGAGCGAAGCGUCGUGUAUAUUCAUCCAGAGCCACUAAUCUCCCAGGGCCUCCAAGGGGGUACAAGUGCAUUAACAGCGUGUUUGACUUCUGAAAGCAAGGAAUGAGCGUAAGAGCUUCUCUAGAUAUUCACAGGUAAGAGAGCUUUAUUUUGUAAGCAUCUCUGUAAGCUAGCCCGGUGCAUUUGUCACAUUUUAACAAUAGUUGGGCUAAUCAUAUCAUAAAAUUAGAUGAUUUCUAUAAGAGCAUCGAAUUCACAUUUCCUAGGCUUUGCGAACAAUAUAUCGUCCAAUAUGCAGAUUGGCCCCAACUGAUCUAAACUGCUAAAGAAACACCGCACUAGCGCAUUCCAUGUUCUGAUGUUGGGGCAGAUCCCUUCACUUUUCAUCUUAUGUGGAUAAACCAUGGCCUCAUUUAAACCUACCCUAUUACAAAUCUCCCACACAAUACUGGUAUAAUCUACUACAUCUGAUUACCACUCCUCUUCUGCGCCAACAAUGUCGAAACUCUAGCAGUGCUAAUUGAACCUUGCUUGCAAUUGGCAUAUAUAAUCGUAUUAUAUGUGAUGGUAUCAGGCUUCCUUCUCCUUACCAGCAUCUUUCCAAGAAGCUGCAUAGCCUAAUUGGCAUUCCAGCCUGAAGAAAAACCAUUCAAAGUGGUAUUGUAAGUUUCCAAAUUCAGUCCCAUCCUUAUUUCCUCGAUCUCCCUAACAAUUCCAUAAGCUUCUUCAAAUCUGUUCGCCUUGAAUAGACCGUCCAAAAACUCAUUAAGGCGGCAACCAUGGUUCAUCAUGUUGUACAGAUGGAGGGCAGCCAACAAGGGUACCUGCUUUUGCAAAGCCAUCAAUAAGAGAGCUAUAUGUGGUCUAGGGGAGCCAUUCCUCUCCAUCUCAUAGCAAACAGAUACAGCAUCCCCCAUUUUUCCGUUAGUGCAGAGAUCAUGUAUCCGAGUAGUAUAUGCAACAAUAUUCGGCCUAAAUCCCUCGCAAAUCAUCCGCUUCCUCAAGUCAAGAGAUUCGUGCACUCUCCCUUCCACAAAAGCAACCCUUUAUCAAGAAAGCAUAGGUGUGAACAUUAGGGCUGCAUCCUCUCACGAACAUUUGAGCCAAAACUGCAAGAGCAGACUCAACGUUCCUCGUAUCAUUGAUCGUAUUAUUAAUUUUCGAGUAUGUGAUAACGUUACCGCUUAUUCCCUUAUCCACACCAUUUCAACCAACAACUCCGAAGCCUCCUUAUAAUCUUACACUCUUUGCACACCCCAUUCACCAAUUCAUUAUAAACAAGGACAAUGGGAUCAAUCCUCCAGCAAGCUCCCUAGCUUCCUCCACCUUCCCCCGUCUACACAAUACCAGACACUACAGUCGUAUAGCUCACAGCAUCCGACAAACAGCCCUUCUUCGACAUUUCAACAAGACAGUUGCGAGCACCAUCCACCCCAUCGUUCUUACACAUUGCCUUCAACAGAAUGUUAUAAGCAUACACAUUUGGCUCCAUCCCUAUCCUUCUACAUAUUCCUAUAUAUCGGAUUAAUCAGCUUAUGACAAUGACGAUAUAGAAGACAGGAAACAAGGUAGGGUAGAACAACUAGUGUAGGAAAAACAGGAAGAAUAAGAAAACUUAGGGCAAACAAUAAGUUAAAUUUAAGUAGAUGGUAGCAUAUAAAAGAUUUCGUAAUAGCUCUGCACAAAAACUUAGGGCUCUCAAUGAAAGCACAAACUUAGGGCUCUCAAUGAAAGCACAAAUUUGUCAAUGCAAAUUUCCACCAUGUUCAGUCUUGAAGAAAAUGUACCUGCAAAACAAUUAACAUCUUUAAUCAAUGAUAUAAGCCUCACGCGCCCACGAGGUGAUGGGGGUUAGGCUAAUGGAUCUCCGAUGCCUAAGUCAAUGUCUCUGAGGAGAAUAAAGUGUUUAGGGCUUUUUUAGGGUCGUAAAAGCUUCUGAAAUUUGGUAGAAUAUGAGAUAUUUAUAGGGAUAGGGUCGACCAUAGUGUUAGGGCUUUACCCUACAUGUGGCAGCAUCCUGUUGGUCAUGUUUUGUGAAGAAAUAUUCUCUAAAUAUUUUCAAGAUAUUAAAUAGGAAAUAAGGUCAUCUCCAACCGAAGGGUCCAGAGGGCCAGAGGGCCAAAAAUAGCCCUAAAACCGUCUCCAACCGAGGGCUAGGUCAGAGGGCUUGGGAAUCUGGGAGGGCCCCACGGAAUUUCAAAGGGCCAAAGGGCUGGCUGCUUUCGGCCAGCCAGCCAGCCCCGGGCUGGUUAUUUUUUUUUUUUUAUAGUUUUCCUAUUGCUGUCUGUUAUAAUCGACAGCAUUAAAGAGAAAUUCUUUUUUUAUAUAGUUUUACUAUUAGUGUCGGUUAUAACCGACACUAAUAGUUUGAAUUUUUUUUUAAUAUAACGGCUAGCUGAGUCAGCUAGCCGUUGCAUCUAGCCGUUGGGUUUUUUUUUUAUUUUUUAAUUUUAAACAUUUCUUUUCUUCUAUAAAUAUGGUGAAGUUCUCUCAAUUCUUCACUUCAUUUGCAAUAUUUCCUUCUUCAAUAUUUUUCAAUAUUUCCUUCAAUAUAUUUCUCAAUAUUUCCUUCAAUAUUUCCUUCAAUAUAUUUUCCAAUAUUUCCUUCAUCUAUAAUAUUUGUUUCAAUUUUUCAAUAAUUUCCUUCAAUAUUUCCUUCAUUUUUUUCAAAAAAAAAUGGCCUCAUCUGCAAUGAAAGGUAGGGCUUGGACCCGAAAAGAAGAUGAAGCUCUUUGCAAGGCUUAUAGAUGGGUCUCAGAAGAUAGUAUGAGGGGGAUUUCUCAAACAAGUGAAGGUGUUUGGACUCGUGUGUCCAAAACAUACUUAGAGUUCUACGAAUGCACCAUUCCACCGAAUACCCGAAACCACGAAAGUUGUUCUUCAAGAUGGAAGAAACAUCUUCAUCCAAGUUUGAAUAAAUGGCAUCAAGCACUAUUAGCAGCAGCAAGUAGACAUGAAAGCGGCGCCAAUUACUAUGACGAAGUUAGUGUUUUCACAGUUUAUUUUAAAUGUUUAAUUAUAUUACAUUUAAUUUUUGUAAUUAUAUGUCAUUAUAUUACAUUUAAUUUCAUGAAUUAAUUUCCUAAAUUUUUUGUAAUUAUAUUUUCUAGGUAUGCCAAACGGAGGAAUUGUAUAUGGAGGGCAGCUCAAAACCCUUUCAGUUUCACGGUUGUUGGGAAAUUUGUAAAGGGUGGGUGUUAUUUGAAGAUCCACCUCAACAUAGAGUGGAUCCUUUGGGAGCUGCAUCCCCAUCUGUAGAUAUGAAUGAAGAUGGAUCUCCUACCAUUCAACAAACAAGGGUAGAAAAUCCGACUCCGUCCGAAAGUUCUUUACCUAGGGCUAUGGGACGAAACAAGGCCCGAAGGUUGAGGGAAAAGGGCAAGGCAAAUGCUGAUUACGCCGCUCAACAUGAAGUGGCGGCCUCAUUGCGAUUACUGGCAGAGCAAAAUGCCCUUAAGGCGGAAGAAAGGAAGUGCAGACAUGAAGAACGGGCCAAACAAAUACAAGAAGAGAUGGAUGAUAAGAAUAUGGAAAGGAACACUUUGAAUUACACUCCAAUGAGUAAGGCCUAUUUUGAUAGGAAAAAAAAAGGAAAUUAUGUCUCGGCGGCAAUUGUUUACCUCUGACUAUACUCCUACAAUGGCGGAUGAUGAAGAUGAUGUUGAUUAUGGAUAUUAAAUUUAAGUCGUUGUAAUUUUUAAAUUUAAGUUAAUGUUGUUUUUAAAUUUAAUUUGUAGUUUUUAAAUAUAAGUUGUUGUUUUUAAAUUUAAGUUGUUGUAGUUUUUAAAUUUAAAUAAUAAAUUAUGUUUGGCCCUCGGUUGGAGACGGUUUUUUGUGACAGGGCUAAAACGAGCCAUCUGGCCCUCUGGCCCUCGGUUGGAGACGAAGGCAAAUAUGACCCUGUACUGUUCAUUAAAAUAUUAAUAUCUUGGGGAAUCUUGGAGGGCCAGAGGGCUAAAACGAGCCCUCUGGCCAGCCCUCGGUUAGAGAUGGCCUAAUAUCUUGAGAUAAUGGAGUAAAUAUCCCUAAUUAAUUUAAAUUGGGAUUACUUACUUGAUUGGAGUCAAUCUUCAAUUGGGAAUGUAUUAAAGAUAGGAUUUGGAUAAUUAAUCUUUAUCUUUAAUUCCUUGUCAAGGGCAAGUGAGCUGUGGGCAGUAGCAUUUAGCUGCUGAGACCUUCAGGGGUGCGAGCUGCGCAUGGGAGCACCUGAGAAGCCUGCCCAUUUAGUGAGGGCAAUCUUGUCUUUCUUGAGAAAAAAUCCACAUGUCUCCUCUAGAAUUUUUGAGAUUAUUUUAGCCUCCACAACUGGAGUAUUGUACCCAAUUGGCACCUAUAUAUUGUUUGAGAUAAUUAAUGAAAUACCAAUAUAUCGUUGCUUGUCAAACAAAAAUUCCCCUCAAAAUAGUUAAUUAAAUGGAUAAGUUUCAUUAAUGUCUGAUUAACUUAAUUCCCAAUCCCCUCCAAAUAAAAAAUCUAAUAUAACAAGUUGUUUAUUUUAAUUCAAUCCUAGACACAUAACGAAGCCUAAAUAACAUUACUUGAAAAAGAAACUUCUAUUUUAUCUAUAGGAUCAGGGGGUUAAUACUUUGACAUUUCUUUAUGUGCUAGGAUCAGGGUGUUAAUACUUUGACAUUUCUUUUGCACUUUUGAAAUUACAAUCCACAUCAUCAUUCAUUAAAUGACAUGAGCGAUGACAUGAAUUACAACUAAUAUAAUACAUAAACAAAUAAAGAUUAAAACUUAAAAUGAAUAAAACUGGGAAUUUCCUCAAACAGCAAAAACUCUAGAAGCCUAUUUGUCUCCUGGGAUUGGCAGCCAAAGUCAAAGUACAUCUAUGGAGAUUGGGGGAUGGAGAUUCCCUUGAAUGCCAACGACAUGAUUAAUUGUACAAUGUUGAACCAUCUGCAAACGUGAACAAGGAGGGAGGAAGCCCUCCAUUGCUUUGGUGAACUAAGUCAUCACAAUAUGCAUGUAACAUGUUUAUACAUGGAUUUUUGUGACAACAAAACUAACCAUAUAUUCAUGCAUGCAUGUAAAUGUUUAUCACAUGGAUUUUUACAACAAACCUACAUAAAAAAUAACCAUGUGAUGGUUGAAUAUUAAUAUUUCAUGACGAAAAUCUAUACUAUUAUAUUAUAUUAUAUUACAUUAUAUAUAUAUAACUGGGUUUGCUUUGGAUUUUUUUUUUCUUCUCCUUCUUCUUUCUGGGUUCCCGCCCACGAACCAGGGGGUGGACGAAUUGGGUUGGGGUUUUUUUUCUUCUUCUUCUUCUUCUUCCUCCUUCUUCUUCUUUCUAGGCUGCAGGGGGUUGGGGGGUGAACUGGGUUGGGUUGGAAUUUUUUUUUUCCUCUUCUUCUUCCUGCUUCUCCUUCUUCUUCUUUUUCUUCCCGGGGGAAGGGGGGUUGAUGGGUUUUCAAAUUUUUUUUUUUGGUUGAAGAUUAAGCAGGGAAGAAGAUGAAGAUGGGGAGAGAGCAGGGGGAAGGGACGAACAGAGGGAUUUAUUUAUUUAUUUUACUUUUCUUUAUUAUUUUAAAAAAUAUUAAAUAAUUUUUUUUUUUAGUUUUAAUACUUUUUUAUUAAUUUUUUUUAAUAGAAAGUAGGCCCUGAAUCAAGUCACAUCAGCAUUUAACUGAAAAGUAAACGGCCAAGUAACGGAAUGUAUAACAUUGGACCAAAUUCUAAAGAUGAGGUAUGACAUUGUCAAUUUUAAAAGAUGAGGUAUGAAAGUGUCAUGACACCAAUAGUUGAGGUAGUUUUUUGUACUUUACCAAAAAAAAAAGUUCAAAAGCAACUCAAAAUAAUGCAAGAGUAUUUACAUCAUAUAAAUGGUGUUUUUUUUUAUAAUUAAUUUUUUUGUACAUUUUUUUUAAUUAGGAUAUACUAGGGCUGGAAAUUUUUCUUGAAAAUACCAAACCAAACAAAAAAAUUCUCAAACCAAUAAUACCGAAAUUUUUGGGAUCCAUACCAAACUGAUCCCAAACUUUUCGGUACAAAAUCGAGAUUACAUAUUCAAUGAUUUGGGAAUCUCAAACCGAACCAAAUAUAUAUUUAUUUAUUUUGGUUGCAUGCAUGUUAAAUAUUGAGUUUAAGUAGUUUGAUAAUACACUAUAUUAGAACUAGCAGCAUGAAAGUAAAGUAGUUUGAAACUUUGGAACAUCAAUUUGACUUGGUAAGAAUAAAUUGGUAUGACUUAACAAGCCUAAAUUUUAAUUGAUAUGAAAUUGGAAAACAAACUUUUAGGCGAAAAGCCCAAAUUUUAGUCCAUAGCCCAAAAAUUUCAAAUUUCAACCCAAAAGCCCAAAACCAAAAAUCCAAUUCCAAAAACAUUUCGAGAAUCUCAAAAAUUGGGAAUACCGAAAUUUCGGUUUGGGAUUGGUCUUCAAAUUCCUCUCCUGAAAAUUUUUGGUUUGGGAUUCGAAUCCCAUUUUUAGUUUUGGAUCCCAUACCGAACCACCCAUAUAGGAUAUACUUCUAUACUACUAUAUGGGGUCACGGGUUCACCAAAAAGUUUUGGAUAGAAAUACCCCCCAAACAAAAAAGUUCAAAAGCAGCCCAAAAUAAUGUAAGGGUAUUUACAUCAUAUAAACAGUGUUUUUUAUAAUUACAUUUUUUUUGUGCAGUAGUACCCCACAAUGGGCUAGUAAUAAUUGGAUUUAAUAAGUUAUUUAUUAAAUAUUAUUUUCUCUAUUUUUAUACACGUUCAAAACAUCUUAAGAGGCGCGUAGUGUCGGUUAUAAAAAAUGUUUUUCGCACACACAUAAUAAUGUGAUUCAAUUAGUUGUCAAAUGAUUGUUUUUUUUUAACAAACAAUAUUAUCUACACUAAAAAGGAGAUGAGUGAGUUUAGCCUCAUAAUGGGCUAGUAAUAAUGUGAUUCAAAAAAUGUGUAGUCAUGCAUAGCACAUCGUGAUUAAAAAAAUGCAUUUUUUACACACUAGUAAGUGCGUGUAUAAAGGCUAAUUGUAAUUAAAUGAGGAAGGAAACUCAUAUUUUCAUGGCAGAUAAAAUAAGUUUUUGGAAUAUUGAGAUAUAUUUUUGUUUGGAUUUCCUUUUAGCUCUGGUCUUUCUUUUUCACGCCAGUUCUUUCACGCGCCACCACAAUCUAAAUCAAUUCUCAUACGGCAUGAUUCAUCGGCAAUCCCCUACUUGGAUUGUUGUUAAGCAUCUGUCUUUAUCUUUCAUUGAAUUCAUCGGGCCCCUACCUAAAACUUUCAACGUGCAAACGUGUGGUUGUUGACACUUAAAGAUCAUGAAUCAUCCCCCGUCAUCGGCUACCUACACGAACCAUGCAUCAAAGACAAACGUUAUUCAGGAUCCUAAGUAACUGCCUCGGUAAUCCAAAUUAAAAUCCUGAAAAAAAUAAUAAAUAAUUGUAAGGGAUUGAGAUCAAAAGACUCAGCUGGCUAUUCAAACUUUGACCGACUAUCCUUCUGCCACGUGUCACUAAACCCAUGAGGGAUAUUUGUGAGCUCAUCAGCCAUGCUAUAUAUAUGAACGAGUCCACCACGACUCAGACAUUACUCUCAAAACUGGAAGUCUGUAACCAUGGCCACAUUUGCUUAUGCCACCAUCACCGCCAUUGUCUUCCUCAUCCUCCUCCCGCUAUCUUGCUCUUCCGAAUCAAUUUUGCACCACCAUCACCAUGGCGGAAACUCCUCCGUCCAGAAAUCGGACGUCGAUCUUUUGGAGUUUCCUUUGAAUUUAGAGUAUUUGGAAGCUGAGUUCUUUUUGUAUGGCUCUUUGGGGUAUGGCUUGGAUAAAGUUUAUCCGAGCUUAGCCCAAGGAGGUCCCUCUCCCAUUGGUGCUAAAAAGGCACAUUUGGACCACUUUACUAGGGAUGUCAUCGAGCAAUUUGGAUGGCAAGAAGUUGGACACUUUUGUUAGAGUUUUGAGACUCUUGUCCCACCACAUUGAAGAAAACAAGAUUCUCAAUGACCUUUAUAUAUGUUUUGUCCUCUACAAUAUUAGUUAUGUAUUGGACCACUUGGAAUGGGAAUUGAGGCUUGGGCCACCAUUUUUUGUGUGGAUUGGGCUUGAUGAUUAUACCAUAAUAUAAUAAUAUUAAUAAUAUUAAUAUUAAUUAAUCAAGAAGAUAUUAAAUUGGAAUUUCGAUAUGUAGAUGAUAUGCUUAUAAUGGGAACUAACAAAGAGAAAAUAAAUUGGACCAAGAAGAUAUUGAAAUCAAAUUUCGAUAUGAAAGAUCUUGGACUAGCUGAUGUGAUUCUUGGUGUAAAAAUAAAAAGAAACCAAGAAGGUUAUAUUCUUACUCAGUCCCAUUAUAUAGAAGCUACACUUAGGAAAUAUGGUCAUUUGGAAAGUAAAGAUGCAAUUACUCCUUUUGAUGCCAAUAGCAAACUUAAGAAAAAUAAAGGUGAUGCUAUAUCUCAACGUGAAUACUCAUAAGUUAUUGGAAGCCUUAUGUACAUUAUAAACUGUACAAGGUAGCAUACUCCGUGAGUAGACUGAGUAGAUAUACAUGCAAUCCUGGGCAUGAUCAUUGGGAAGCUUUAAUUUGAGUUUUGAGAUACUUAAAGCAUACAAUGAAUUAUGGAUUGCAUUAUACGAGGUAUCCUCCCGUGCUCGAAGGAUUUAUAGAUGCGAAUUGGAUAUCAGAUAGUACUGAUACGAAAUCCACAAGUGGAUAUGUAUUUACUUUGGGAGGAGCAGCAAUAUCUUGGAAAUCUUCCAAACAAACAUGCAUAGCCCGAUCAACUAUGGAAUCAGAAUUUAUAGCUCUCGAUAUGGCUAGAGGAGAAGCUGAGUGGCUAAGAGAUUUUUUGGAAGAUGUUCCCAUAUGGCCUAAACCUGCAACAGCAAUAUGUAUACACUGUGAUAGUUUAGCUGCACAAUAUCGAGCUAAAAAUAGUGUAUACAAUGGGAAGUCUAGACAAAUUAGACGAAGGCAUAAUACAAUAAAGCAAUGGCUCUCUAGUGGGGUAAUUUCUAUUGACUAUGUCAAGUCAAAAGAUAAUAUUGCAGAUCCGCUUACUAAAGUCUUGUCUAGAGAGCAAGUUAAGCAUACAUCGAGGGGAAUGGGUUUAAAGCCAAUAGAGUAAAAUGAAACUGCUAAACAGAAACUUAACCUUGUUGAUUGGAGAUCUCAUGGUCUAGGUUCAAUAGGCAAACUGGUUUGGCUAGAUUCAAGAAGAAACACACUUACAUACCCAUUCCUAUGAUGGAAGAAGUGUGGUGACUGCUGAUGGUGUAGGAUACAUUAGUUUAAUGAUAUUGGUACUUGUAAAUCAAGUGGAAUAGUAGCAGCCUAUUCAUAAUCAAUAUGACCUAUAUGAGAAUAAAUGUGGGGUCGCAUUUAUGAGAAUUACAUGGCUAUAUUCUCUAAAACUCUCAUGAAUCCAGGAUUUGUUCAGGACCAAAAUGAACACAAACGUAUGAAUUUGAGAUGUGUUGGUGUGGCAUAUGUUUUGCUUAUUGUCAUGGUUACUGCGAAGAUGAACAGUUCAAGAUUUUAUAUUCACUGCGUCAUCUAGUAAAUCCGAUAAGUAUACACCAAGGUAGAUUCAAGUCCAAAAGACACCUCUCCUGAUGUAUGUCACAUCUAUUGUUUACACUCGUGUCUCCAUUUCUCUAGGACCAAAUACUCGUCUCAAAAUGUGGGGUAUUGUUAGAGUUUUGAGACUCUUGUCCCAUAUUGGAGAAAACAAGAUUCCCAAUGACCUUUAUAUAUGUUUUGUCCUCUACAAUAUUAGUUAUGUGUUGGACCACUUGGAAUGGGAAUUGAAGCUUGGGCCACCAUUUUGUGUGGAUUGGGCUUAAGGAUUAUACCAUAAUAUUAAUAUUAAUUAAUCAAGACAAUGGUUUUAAUUUUCGAAUUAAGUUUUAAUUAAAAAUGUUUUGAUUAAUAAACACAACUCUUUGGAAAGAGUUGUAUAGCUUCAGAUACAUCCAAAAGAUAUUUGAAGAGGUAUGAAAGAGCCUAUAUAAUUGGAGUCCUCAGUUCCAUUCCAGAUAUCUUUUCUUCCUCCUUGCUUCUAUACGAAAUUUCCAGAGAGUAAACACACAAAGCAAAUUCGUUAGAAUUCUAUAAUCCAGUGCGGGUUGUAGAAUUAGGUAGUUGAAUCUUGGUCGAGCAGACGUUGUCAAACCACAAGCACAGGAGUGGGACGAAAAUACUGUUCGAAGGACAUAGGUUUUACGUUAGCCUCUACCUUCUAUAAUCAAGUUAGUUGCAUUAAUAUUCUUAUAUUAAUUUUUGUAUUAUUGUGUAAUUUUCGUUUUGCAUAGCAAGUAUAUUUUGGUUAAUAAAAUAUUAAAAUUUCUAUUAUUUUUGUUUAUUUCUUAAUUGUUCUCCAACAAAGGUUUAAUCUUUUUUUUUUCCUUUCUAAUUUAUGAUUUUCGUCUAACUUUUUUAUUUAUGCACGGACUGUUUCUGGUAUUUAGAUUGAAUAAAUUCAAUCAUAAAAUAUAUGUGCGGAAUUCAUGUCUGAUUUACAAAUGGUACAUCGUUAGAAAGCUUACAAAAUUAUAUUUUUUCUUCUACUUUUUGUGUAGAGCUAUUAAGAAAACAGUGAAGGGUUUCCCAAGGCCAUUGUUGAAUAUAAGUGCAGCAUCAUUUGCUCAUGUGUUUGAUUCUGCAUUUGGGAGUCCCUUAAAUCCACCAUUUGACCCUUAUGCCAAUUCAAUCAACUAUCUCCUUGCAUCCUAUAUCAUUCCUUCGUUAACUUAUCUUAUACUUCACAGCCAAGACAUAAUCAGUUAAGCCAUUGAACUACAACCAACAUAAAGUAAUAUAUAACCCCAGUAAACCUUAAAUCGAAUAAAGAAAACAUACUUGCUGUCGAAGACAUCAUGCAUGGAUAUUAGGUUUAGCCUUCUCUUCUCUGGUGUUUGAUACAAUACAACCUUCAAUGGGACUGGUUUUCUUUUUGGAAUCACACUGAGAAAAGAGACCAAGAACCUCUCUUUUAUUUACAUGAAAAAACAAUAACUGCUACCCCCCAUUAGGGUUUCGGUUAUUGCCAGUUACUUAGAGUUGUUAACCAACUCUAAUUCAAACAUUAUAACUUAAUGGUUUUCCCUCCAUUUACCUAUAUGGCCAUAUAAUCUCUUAUCUUGAUGUCGGCAUAUAUAUAAAUACACUAAGGUUUGAUUACACUCACCCUAUAAAAUCUUACAUCCUUAUGUUGGUCUCACUGGCUAUGUUGGUGCAAGCCCUAAGCUCCAAGGUGCUACUUCCAAAAGGGUAAGUAUUUUAAAGUAUUCUAUUAGAUUUUUUUUAUGUUUUGCAGACAGUGAAUCUUGAUCGCAUUUUAUGACAAGAAUAAACAAGGUUCUACUGUAUUUGUUUGGUAUACUAGACUGACAAGAAAACAUUAACCUGUAACUAAAAUCAAACCGUUUAUGUUUAUAUUGGUCUAUGCUUCAAACACAAUUAUUUUGAAGAGUAAAAUUUGGAAAUGAUCCAUGAACUUUCACCAUAAUUUCAACUAAACUAAAAAUCCGUCAAUUAGGGUCUGUGAGUUUAACAGCUCUAACAUCAUUGAUUAUGUGGAUCAUGUUCAGCUAGUUGCAGGUCUUUUGGGUGUGGAAUCAGGCCAAGAUGCAGUGAUUCGAGCAUUGCUAUACCAGCGCGCAGAGUUGAAAGUGGAACCAUAUGGCAUUACAGUGGCUGAGUUCACAAAUCGCAUUUCGGAACUAAGGAAUAAGCUAGGACACAAAGGUUUGAAAGAUGAAGGCCUUGUGGUUCCCAAACACUUGGGUGCUGAGGGAAAAGUUAGCGGCAACAUUCUCGUUGGAGACGAGUACUCACUUGCAUAUGGCAGGACUCCAGAGGAGAUACUAAGGAUCGUAUAUGGUAGCGGUAAUGAACAUGUACCGGGCGGUUUCUACCCUAAAGGAGCUGACGGCCGGAUUGCUAAAUCUUAUUUGAAAAAUGAAUAGGAGAGAUUUUUUAAUGCAACCGGCACACCACGUGUUAUUAUAUAAAUUGUGCGAUAUGUGUGUUAAAAAAUUAAUAACUUAAAAAAUAAAAUUUCCCACUACUUACAUAAAAACACGUGAUGUACACCCGUGUUCCCAUCACAAUUAAAAAUUUCUCAAGGAAUAGGACAUGAACAAAUAGGACUAGUUUGGUUGCCAUCUAGUUUACCUUCUUCAGAAUGUUUUUUUUUUCUUUGUUUUUUCCUUUUCUAGACAGAAUAAAUCAUGUCCUUAAUUAAUUUGAUGUAAGGAAUCGUUUCACGCUUCAUUUUGUUCGCAUAAAUCCUUCGAGUUUGUUCACACAAUAUUAUAUUAACAGAGCAAGAAAAAUGCAGUAAGAAAAACUCUAAUAAUACGUUGUAGUUUGCAUCUGUUGACAAUACGUUGCAGUUUGCAUCUGUUGACAAAAUUUUGUAUUCGGAAUUCAUGAACAUGACACAUAAGUGAGCAAAUCACACGGAUUACAUUUUUUACCUCCAAAAAAAAAAAGGAAAACCAAUGAAAAAUGCUUGAAAACUUUGAGUUUUAACAAUAAGGACAAAAUCAAAGGUAAAGUGAAUAGUAUCAAAAUUGACUUUUUAGUGUAAAAAUAUGAUUUUUCGUUAAAAUGAAUAAUACCGAAAGCUUUUUGUUAAAGUUCCCAAAAAAAAAAACAUGAAACUAUGUGGGUCACAUACAUAAAAAUUCUUGCACAUUACUACGACAGUGCAAAGCCAGUAUGCCAUAAGAAAAAGAGUUAAAGAUGAGUGUCCUGUUGCAAAAUUUCUGGACAGCAUGUUGCAUUGGAUUCUAGGCUUCCUCCAGACCGCUACCUCUCCCACCCCAUCCUCCGAUACCAGCUAUCGAUCUGGAGAAGCUGCAGGAAAUACAAUUUUGAGUGCUGUUAGCUCAUAUAGAUUUUCAUCUGUACCUAGAUUUGCCACUGGCUUCUCCCUUGUGGAAAGGCUUUUGAUCGUAAGUAGAAGCAGGGCCGGACGGGAAAUUUGGAAAUAACCAAAAUUUGGUCCCUGUAUAGAAUUAUAACCACCCUUUUAAAUUGUUGAUAAUUAUAACCAAAAGUUGAAUGAAAGUAGGAAUAUACCCUUAAUUACUAAAAUCCACCUCUUUUGCUCUUUAACGGUUUAAGAACUAGCAGUGCUAGCUUGAGUUUUUCCACAAUCCUUGCAUCCCCAAAUUCCAUCUGUGUUUCUCUUCCCAGCAUACUCACACAACUCAUGUACUAUUUGAUCAAUAUUAAACACUAAUGCAUGAAUACCUUUCCUUAUCUUUUCCUCCCCUGAGAUGAGAUUCUAGAUCUUGCGUCUUCCAAUACAACUUGCUAAAACCAUGCCUUUUGUAUUCUUCAAUUCGUAAAAAAAAAUUGCCAGAUCCAUACCUUUUACAUUCUUGGUCCAUAAAAGGAACAAAUUAAUUAACCGGCAAUUCAUACAAUUAAAUAAAAUCACAACAAUACAUCCGUUUAUUUUUUUCUUAGAAAAACACCAAAUAAGCUUUAGAUGUAAUCACUACUACAAUAUAAGCUAUCACCGUCAAACUAAAAACUGACAAGAAGUCCAAUUUCUGUCGGAAAUUUGUCACAAAUCCGACAUAAAACAAUGUAAUGUCGGAUUGGAAUAGUGACACCAAUGCUAGCGUCACGAAAGGGCUUCAGUGUGGGCUUGUUCUCUUAAUCCGCACUACUCAGCGUCGGUUAAAAGCGACACUGAUGUUGACGUCGGAUUAAAGCGACGUAUACUUCAACAUUAGGUCGGUUUAAAGCGAUGUGUACUAGCAAUUUAACUAUAAAAUAUCCAACCUACUGUCGGUUUUAACCGACAUCAUGAUAAAAUUAAACAAAUAAAAUAUCCCUUAACCGACGUUAGAUAACAAUUAAAUAAAUAAAACAUACAAACUAGUAAUGGUCUUAACCGACACCACCUUUGUUAAUAAUAAUUAAAAAAAUGUGAAAAUAUGUCUCUGCAUUUGUUUUCAAUUAAUUGUAACGAAAAAACAUUAUAUAACCUUCUCCGAAAAAAGAAAAAAAACAAACGUUAUAUAACAUAACAUACAAAUGGGGUCUUUGGGUGUAGAAUUUCUUGUUAAAUGUAUUCUAUUUCAUAUAAAUAAGGAAGUACAAAUAAAACAUAUAUAGGAGUUAUUAGAGAACCGAUUACAAGAUGAAGAUAAAAAAACUAACAAUUACAUAUAAUACUAAUCAGAGUUCUAUGCUUGCAUUUAAUACUAGCAGAUGCCAUGAUGCUUUUCCAUGCUUGCCUUUGUCAAAGACCACAGAUUUUGUAGCUCCAUGCUUUCUAGUGUCCUUACUCUGCAGAUCCAAAAUGAACAUGCAUAAAUUUUUAUAUGGAUUUUCGAACUACUGAUCUUACUAAACAAGAACAUAAAAGAGGAGCUCAUUGGAGAUUAUACCUUUAAAUGACGGAUCUAGAAUGGAGACAACUUUGUGGUGGUUUUUCCUUAAGAUGUGGUUUGGGGCUAUACCAGUGGUUGCAUCAUGUUUUUUUAUUUUUUUUAUUUUUUAUUUUUUACAAAUCUCAGGUCCCUGCAAAAGAAACAACACAAGCAUGAGGAGUUGAAGAUUUUUUUUCUUGUAUGAUAUAUUUCAAUCGGCAAACCUGAGUGCAUGAAUCGUCAAGGGAAGGUGAGAAGUUUACCUAUUAGUGUGUCGGCACCAAGAUCGGUGCUACUACCCUUCUGGUGAUGCAGUAAAUCCAUGGCUUCGAGGUCUUAUGGGUUGAUGAUGGAAGAUUAAGGUUUGGCUUGCAGAAAUGGAGGUUUGUGUUUGAGAAAAUGUGCAGAGAUGAGCUACAAUUUUAAGGUGUGAUUGGAAGAAGGGAGAGAUAAAUGAUGGAGGUUAGCUUAUGGGGUUGAGGUGAAGCCUCUUAAAAUGAACCAGUGAACUUUCUGACACUUUUUAUUGGAAAUCACAAUGUCAGUUUAAAUUAAUGUUGGUGUCGGUCACACUUUUUGAAAUUCACGUAGCGUCGGUUUAAUGAAACUCGCGUCGAAUUAAAAGACUAGAGCGUCUGUUAAAACCGACACCAACUUCUGACGUACUUUUUGAAAUUCACGUAGCGUCAGUUUAAUGAAACUCGUGUCGAAUUAAAAGAUGAUAGCAUCGAUUCAAACCGACACGAACUUUUGACACACUUUUGAAAUUUACGUAGCGUUGGUUUAAUGAAACUCGCGUCGAAUUAAAAGAUGAUAGCGUCUGUUAAAACUGACACUAAGUCUUUCCAUCCAUUUCCUCGUGCAGAACAAGCGGGAAAUUUCUCGCCUAAUAUUUCAAAUUAUCAUACCAAUGUUGUUGGCUAAAAGCGACAACAUACUAGUUUUAAAAACAAAAAAUGUUUAUCCCAAAGAAAACAAAUAACCAGCUCUUUUUUUAUUUUUUGUUAUCUCAUAUAACAAUUUAAGAUUUUAAUAAAUAAAAUACGUAAUAAAAAACAGAAAUAUAAUUUUAUUAUAAAAUAUCAUCACAUUCUAAUUGAAACAUAGUCUAAUUAAUACUUAAAAUACAUAAAAUAAUUAAUAUAUUUUUACUCUGAUUUUGAUUAUUUUUUUAUAACUACACUCCUUGAUCCUAUAUAAAUACAAUGAAUGAAUUUGAUCUUCAAUUUAAAAUAUUUACACUAGUGGAUGCCACAAAAUCUUAUGUUAUACUUAAUGAAAGUAUAAAUAAACUCUAAGUGCUAGUGAAUCUAUUAUUUUGAUGGGAUACGCAUCCUACAAAACUAAUUUCAACGAUCCAACUGUCAAACUUGUUUGUAUAUGCAUCAAGAUCGCAUAAGCCAAAAAUCGGAAAAAAUAACAUUCAGAGAUCAAGUAACGGGACAAAACUUUUCGAAGGUUAUAAACGAAAAAUCACAGUUUAACGGUUAUUUUAACUCCAAUUUUGAUGAUUUUUUACAGCUACACUCCUUGACCCUAUAUGAAUACAAUGAAUGAAUUUGAUCUUCAAUUUAAAAUAUUUACACUAGUGGAUACCACAAAAUCUUAUGUUAUACUUAAUGCAAGUAUAAAUAAACUCUAAGUGUUAAUGAAUCUAUCGUUUUGAUGGGAUACACAUCCUACGAAACUAAUUUCAACAAUCAAACUGUCAAACUUGUUUGUAUAUGUUUCAAGAUCACAUACGCCAAAAAUAACAAAAAACAAAGAUUCAGAGAUCAGGUAACAGUACAAAACUUUUCGACGGUUAUCAACAAAAAAUCACAAUUUAACGGUUAUUUUAACUCUAAUUUUGAUGAUUUUUUACAGCUACACUCCUUGACCCUAUAUCAAUACAAUGAAUGAAUUUAAUCUUCAAUUUAAAAUAUUUACACUAGUGGAUACCACAAAAUCUUAUGUUAUACUUAAUGAAAGUAUAAAUAAACUCUAAGUGUUAGUGAAUUUAUCGUUUUAAUGGGAUACACAUUCUACGAAACUAAUUUCAUCGAUCCAACCAUCAUACUUGUUUAUAUAUGCUUCGAGAUCGCAUAUGCCAAAAAUCGCAAAAAACAAACAUUCAGAGAUCAAGUAACGGGACAAAACUUUUCGACGGUUAUCAAUAAAAAAUCACGAUUUAACGAUGAUUUUAACUCUGAUUUUGAUGAUUUUUUACAGCUACACUCUUGGGCCCUAUAUGAAUACAAUGAAUAAGCUUGAUCUUCAAUUUAAAAUAUUUACACUAGUGGAUACCACAAAAUCUUAUGUUAUACUUAAUGAAAGUAUGAAUAAACUCUUAGGUGCUAGUGAAUCUAUUGUUUUGAUGGGAUACGCAUUCUACUAUACUAGUUUCAACAAUCCAACCGUCAAACAUGUUUAUAUAUACUUCGAGAUCGCAUGUGCCAAAAAUCGCAAAAAAUAAACAUUUAAAGAUCAAGUAACAAGACAAAACUUUUCGAUGAUUAUAAAUGAAAAUGCACGAUUUAAUGGUUAAUUUAACUCUGAUUUUGAUGAUUUUUUUACAACUACACUCCUUGAUCCUAUAUGAAUACAAUGAACUAAUUUGAUCGUCAAUUUAAAAUAUUUACAGAAGUGGAUAUCACAAAAUCUUAUGUCAUGAUGAUUGAUGAAAAUUGAGGAUUUUGUAAAAGGAAUAACAUGCAAGCUUUGAGUUCCAUUGGCAAGGUUUAAACUUUUGAGAAAGGCUUCACAACCUUGAAAACAAAAACUCUUUCAUUUUGCAUAUCCUUGCACAUUUAACAUUUUGUAAUAGACUAGUAGUGUAUGAAUGUUUGUUUAUUAGGCUCUUAUUUUCAAGUGUAGAUAUAGUACUUAAACGACAAAUUUAUUUUAAUGUUUUGAAGUAAUAUUUAUGUGGCAAUGUGUGGUAUGUGCAAAUUUAAGAAAAAAAAUAUUUUUCUUAACGGGUGUUACACAAAAACAACAGACACGACUCGUUUGCCAGGCCUAGUUGCGUGCCACCUCAUAAACUCAUCCUUAAGAAAGAUGCAAGAGAUGAAGAAGAAAACACGGGGGAGAGUACCAUCGAUCUGUCGCUUACAACCGACACCGGGUUUCAAAAUAUUAAAAUAAAACUAAAAUCUGUGUCGCUCAGAACCGACGCAGGCUUUAAAAUAUUUAAAAACAAUAAUUAGUGUCGGCUAGAAGCAACACUAAUACUUUAUGUUGCUUAAAAACGACAC
This 100133-nucleotide long non-coding RNA is filed under the name Malus domestica (apple). Its description in RNAcentral is "long non-coding RNA (MDOM_LNC016182)". Lineage: Eukaryota; Viridiplantae; Streptophyta; Magnoliopsida; Rosales; Rosaceae. The record is from RNAcentral.